Molecule: long non-coding RNA, 100943 nt
Filed under: Citrus maxima (pomelo)
Lineage: Eukaryota; Viridiplantae; Streptophyta; Magnoliopsida; Sapindales; Rutaceae
Description: long non-coding RNA (CMAX_LNC001170)
Source: RNAcentral
GUUGAUGGUAGGAAAGCAUGUAGGCUUGAAUCUCUUAAAAACUUGGAACACCUUCAAGUAUGUGGUAUACGUAGACUGGGUGAUGUAUCAGAUGUGGGCGAGGCUAAGCGAUUAGAACUUGACAAAAAGAAAUACCUCUCUUGUUUGAGACUUCGGUUUGAUAAGAAGAAAGAAGGAGGAGAAAGGAGGAAGAACGAAGACGAUCAACUACUUCUUGAAGCCCUGCGACCAUCUCUGGAUUUAAAGGAAUUAGAGAUACAGUUCAACCGAGGCAACACUGUUUUCCCCAGCUGGAUGACGUCAUUAACCAACUUAAAGAGUUUAGGUCUCUCUUUGUGCGAAAAUUGCGAGCAGUUGCCUCCUUUGGGAAAAUUGCCAUCCCUCGAACAGCUCUUCAUAUCGUACAUGUCGAGUGUGAAAAGAGUGGGUGAUGAAUUUCUGGGGGUAGAAAGUGAUCGUCAUGACUCAUCGUCAUCUUCAUUAGUUAUUAUUGCCUUCCCCAAAUUGAAAUCACUUAGAAUUGAGGGAUUGAUGGAAUUGGAGGAGUGGGAUUAUGGGAUUACAAGAACGGGAAACACCGUCAUCAACAUCAUGCCCCAUCUUUCUUCCUUGGUAAUUGAUAGUUGCUACGAAUUAAAGGCACUGCCCGAUCACAUUCAUCAAACGACGACAUUGAAGCGAUUGUGGAUUUUGAAUUGUGGGCCUCUGGGAGAACGUUACCGCACGGGGGAAGGAGAAGACUGGCCUAAUAUAUCACACAUUCCCAACAUACAUAUUCGUUAAGAAGGAUUUGCGCAUUUGAGAUUUGGCGUUGACAAGUAAUUUCUUCUCUUACUCUGAUUUGCUUUUGUUGUUGUUUUUAAUCUAGUUAAGAAGUGUAAAUAGCAUUUUGAAUCAAACUCUAUAUCAGAAAUCUGCAAUACAUACUUUCUAAUAUUCUGAUUUUCAUAUCCUAUGAAUAUACGAUUUUUAAUUUGUGAGAUGGGUAACGUUACUGUAAAAGAUUAUUAAUGCAAUAUGAGUAAUUCUUUUGCAGGACAAGUGACCUACAUUUAGUUUGGCUUUGGAGUUGAAUAAUAACCUUUCGAGGUCCCGACAAACAAAAAACGAAGCUUAAUUUGCCACAGAUUGCACGUAUUGCCAUUAUUGACAAUUUUCUGCACAAGUGAUCGAGGGUGAGGUCCUGUCCUGAAUAAAGCUCUCGUGACUGAACUUAGGUUGAUGUCAAAAGAGGUAAAUUAUCGGCAUGCCUGACUAUUUUGACCAUUACAUGAUUCAUAAAUUGAGUGAUUACUUUUCAAGGUUUGCUUACUUAACCGGGUGACCAAUUUCUUGUAACUAAAUGUAUGAUAUGAAAUGAGAAGCUUAUUAGUGGAAGGAUUGCCUGUAACAGAACCCAAAGAAAAUGAAACCAUUUCAAGGCAGCAGCCGGCAGUUGGGAGUGAAUGGAGGGCCUUCACAAAAUUCUCAAGCAGUUGCAAUGCAAUUACGAUCAUCCUCAGCCUCAGGUAAUUUCUUCUCCUGCUUUGUUUUUAUUUGUUACCUAAUUAAGAAGCAUUAUUUGUUUUUAUUUGUUACCUAAUUGAAGGACAAGUGCUGAAGAGUGGGAAUGGUGCUAUAUUGGGGAAUAAUGCAGGAGGAGGUAAAUUAUUGGGAGUUUCUUCAACCUUGUUUUCUUUGAACCAGCGCCUGAUCCACAAGACUCCGUUAAUUUGGCUUUUGAUCGGCUGAUUGAUAAAUUUUCAAUUUCUUUUGUGAUAAAUGUAUAUGUGAAGCAGGCAGCAGGACAUGACUGUGGAAAAGAGAAGAUCUUAGUGAAAGCUGAGACUCAGAUAUUUCUACAAAGUAUGUGUUUUGGCUGAUUUAUCUAAUUCAUGAAAUUUUAUUUCCAUCUGUUACAAGAUCAAACUGAAGCAGAACUCAAAGAAAAGUAUUCUACUUCUUACGGCAAUCUUGCCUUCGUUCAGAUUAUGGAACCAUUUCCAUGCAGCAAAUUCAUCCAAAAGUUUGAAUAAGUUUCAUGGUUGGACACUGUUGGCUUCUUUUUCUUUUGGGGUGCAUUUAGGUGCUAUCAAGUGACAGCCGUAAGUAUGAUUGCACUAAGCUGCUGCUGGGAAAUUCGAGGUUUUGAUGGCUGCCCACGUUAUUGUCAAGAAACUCCUCAUGUAAGAAGUUGUAGUUCUUUUCAUCAGCUUGAACCUAAAACUGUCGCUAUUGAUAACUCAGGUUUUUGUUAUCAACUAUAUCAUCUUUUUCACUGUUUUGAAACUCUUUAAGAUUAAACUUCAGUAAAGUUCUUUCAGUUAUCCACAUAAUCAGGCUGAGGAUACUUUAGUAAAGUUGCUUCAGCUAUUCAAAUGAAAAAUCUCAUUGAUUUGAGACUUCCUUCAUUAUUGUUUUUGAUUAAAAUGCUAAGGGUCCAGAUAAAAUAAUAUUUAAUUGGUGGAAGGUGUCCCUUGGAAGUACAUCAUGAUUAGCUGUUGUGCUAAUCAUGCCAAUGCAUAAUUCGGCCCCUAAUGUGGGUACUCUGUUACAUUGUUCUGCAAAUUCUCCAAAAAAGUUAAAUCAAUAAAUUUUGUAUUAGCUAGAUUAGCUCUAGGUUGUGAGGAGUCUGUCAUAUGGGAGAACCCAUUUCCAGAAAAUAUCUGGUAUUUGUUCCAGUCUUCUAAUGAAUGAAAGUUAUGAUUCCUUUUCAAAAAAAAAAAAGAAUUUUGUAUUAGUUCUAGUGCGUUGACCUAAAUGCUAUUCUAUAUUUUAGUGCCUUAAUUCUAGAACCUUGGCUCCUGCCAGAGCAUGCGGAGAUAAUGGUAGGGAGAGUGUUUGUGUAUUUUAACCAUGAUAAAGCUAAUGUUCCCAAUGAUUUCUGCUGGUGAGACUUGUGAAGAGGGUGAAUGAGGCAACUGCUAAUAUUCCUGGGUGGGAUACAGUAACUAGAGGCUGAGAUCAGGUGGUGGAAUUUUUUGUUUGAUCGAUGAUACCAGAAUUGUCCACAAAAAGUUUGUUGAUACAAAUUACAGGUGAUAGAAAGAGGUAUAGGUGGAGAAGAGAAAUCUGCGAGUCAAAUUAGGGAUAAUUGAUUUGCUGAUGCAAGUUACAUUGAAUAAUAAUAAUAACAAUUGCAUGAAGAUCCCUUAUUAAUCUUGUGUUCUCCUAUCUUUUACAUUCAGCUGGUAUACUUAAGCCUUGCUUGUGGAAUGUUUUAACCUUUAAAUUCACUACCCCUGGAUGUUGGAUUUUCUAGAACUUCAAAAUGAUUAAUGGAGAAAGAUCCCAUUAUCGAUAUCGCUAUAAGAAAUUUUAUUUAUACUUCCAAAGAUACAUUAUAUAUUUAUGUGUAUCUCUUUAUACAUGACAUUUAAGCAUCCAUAAACUGUCAGACAGAGGAAGGGGGUUGAGUGUAAAGAUUCUGUUGACCUAGGGGUUGCCUGCUUAAUGUCACUUGUUAGUGAUCUAUUAUUUAUUUCAUAUUUUGAAGAAUUUAAAGGGCAAUCCUGCUUGUUUGUGUUGUUAUCUCCUUCUAACUUACGGUCGUACCUAAAGAGCAUAGUUUCAUAUGUGUUACCCUGAGAUGUACAGAAUUUCACAUUUGCCUCAGAUUAAGCUUAAUUUCCCACAGAAUAGAGCUGUUGUGACUGAACUUAGGUUGAUGUCAAAAGAGGUAAAUUAUUGGCAUGCCUAGAUAAUUUGACCAUUUCCUAAUUCAUAAGUCUACAUUAAUUUUGAUUUUGAGUUGACUGAUUUCUUUUCAAGGUCUGCUUACUUAACGGAGUGACCAAUGUUUUUCAACUAAAUUUAUCAUAUGAUGCAGGAAGCAGGGCAGGAUAUGAAAUGAGAAGCUCAUUGGUGGAAGUAUUGCCUGUAACAGAACCCAAAGAAAAUGAAACUAUUUCAAGGCAGCAGUUGGCAGUUGCAAGUGAAUGGAGGCCCUUGCCAAAAUUCUCAAGCGGUUGCAAUGCAAUUACGAUCAUCCUCAGCCUCAGGUAAUUUCUUCUCCUGCUUUGUUUUUAUUUGUUCUCUAAUUAGGAAGCAUAAAGUAUCUUGAAUCAUUUUCUGUAUCUGGAAUAUAUGCAAGAGUUUCUAAAAUUUUGAUAUGAGUGUAAUGAUGGUAAUUUCUGUUUUCUGUCUGUCAUCAAAUGUUAGAAAACUUUCAUUGAGACCCUUGAACCGAGUCAUUUUUGACAAGUGAAGUGCUGAAGAGUGAGGAGUAAGAAUGGUGCUAGAUUGGGGAAUAAAGCAAAAGGAGGUAAAUUAUUGGCAGCUUCUUCAGCCUUAUUUUCUUUGGACCAGUGCCUAAUUCACAAGUCUCCGUAAUUUGGCUUUUGACCAGUUGAUAGAUAAAAUUUUAAUUUCAUUGGUGCUAAUGUACCCGUGAAGCAGGCAGAGAAGGACUGUGGAAAAGAGAAGGUUUUUAGUGAAAGCUUAAACUCAGGUAAUUCUAAAAAUUAUAUGUUUUGGCUGAUUUAUCUAAUCAGGAAAUUUUAUUUCCAUCUGUUACAAUAAAACAGAAACAGAACACAAAGAAAAAUAGUCUACCUCUUGUGGCAAUCUUGCCUUCAUUCAGACUAUGAAACCAUUUCCUUUCACCAAUUUCUUCCAAAAGUUUGAACACGUUUCAUGGUUGGACAUAGUUAGCUUCUUUCUCUUUUGGUGCAUUUAGGUGCUAUCAAGUGACAGCCAUAAGUAUGAUUGCAUUAUUGGGAAAUUUUAGGUUUUGAUGGCUCCCCAUGUUAUUGCCAAGAAAUUUUAAGUCCUCAUGUCAGAAGCUGCGUUUCUUUUCAUCAGCCUGAACCCGAACCUGUCACUAUGGAUAACUGAGGUUUUUGUCAUCAACUAUAUCAUCUUUUUCACUGUUUUGAAACUGUUAAGAUUAAACUUCAGUAAAGUUGUUUCAGUUAUCCAUGUAAUCAGGCUAAGGAUAUUUAGCAGCUUAUUUAGGCAACUGCCAGAAUUUAGUUUGUUCGCUCGAAACUUGUAUGGUGACAAGGAUACUGGCAAGGAUAGUGAGAUAGUUUUUUGUGUGAGUGAAUUUUGAAAGCUUGGGUGUUCUGGGAUUUGCAAUUGCAAUCAUCCUCUGCUUUAGGUGAUUUCUUCUCCUGUUCUGUCUUUAUUUUCUCUCUAAUUGAAAGCAUUUCAAUCAAAUUCUGUACCAGGAAUACGAAAAAUUUACUAAUAUUUUAUUUCCAUCUGUUUGCAUUGAUAACUUGGCCGCAUAUGUACUAGUUAAAGAACAAACAGAAGCAGAGUUCAGGAAAAAGUUUCUUCGGCCACCAUAUUUGAAAAUGAAACCAAUUCCAGGAAGCAGUUGGCAGCAAAUUCAUACAAAGUAUAGACAAUGAUGUGCAAAAAGGUGAUUCGCAAUUUCAUUUUUUUAAAAUGAAAUUAUUUGUUAAGUUGGAGCUGAUAUUGUUAGAAGGCCAUUGAGCUAACCUAUGACACUGCUUGCCUAGAUUGCAGGAGGUCAAGGCUCAAAAGAUGCACUGAAUUUUAAAAGGCAUGCAAUAAUUCUUAUGGCCAUUUGUCAAUGGUGGAAUGCUUUUAGCUUCUUUUCCUUUCGUGCAUUUUGGGGUUCUAUCAAGCGACAGCCGUAUGUAUGGAUGGAUAUAGCUGCUGCGUUGAUUUCUAAUGCGGUGGAGUAAUCGUCGUUAGAAUCUGAAUGAUAUGUCUAAGACGUUGCAUGCAUCAAGAAAAUUGCAGAUGAUUAAACCUUGCCAUCUAUGCGUUGUAUGAGGUUAUAGCAACUAUCUAUCUGGUCACCGUUUUAAAAGAAUAAGACAAAGGGAAAAAGAGAAAGAAAAGAAUGAUUCGACAAUGGCAUUAAAGUUCAACAUACCCCAAGAUCUUGUAAUAAUGCCAUUAAUCAUUUCUAGCUAGGCUAGCCUUAGAGAAAAGUGAAACUGUUGCACAGGUAGAAUCACACCCCUCAGAGAUAAUGUGUUUUUAUUCAGCUCUUCGAAUGAAUGAAGUUUAUUUUCUCGUCAAAAAAAAAACUGCUCGUUCCGCUGGUUUCAUACAAUGUCAACUAGAAACAUCAUACUUUCGUAUAAGUUCAUUAUUGUUUCUUGGAAAUAUCAGAAUAUUUCUUAGAGUUUGUAUAAAAUGAAAAGAUUUUAAAAUAUAAAUUUAAUAUUUGUUUAUUACCGUUGUUUGGUCUAAUUUCCUCGGGAGAAUUUUCAGAAUUUAUAGGACAUUAGUUUAUAAUUUGCGCAUUGACAUAUAUCUUAUUUUAUCAUUUUGAAUGAAUUGCACGGCGAGGCUUAUCAACUUUGGAUGAAUCCUCCAAUUGUCGCAGUCCAAGACUGGCUGCAGUGAGUGAAAAUUUACCCAUAUAUAUGCUGGCUAUUUUUAUUGGCGACGAAUUCGUUGUAGUUGGUCCAUCUUGCUAUUCUCGGACAAUAUUAGAGAAAAUAAUCAUAUUAUUUCGCGUGAUGUGACCUUCCAUAACUUAUCAAUUGAAUUACUGUAAAAUUAUUGUGUAAGUUUAGGCCCAAUGGCACUUUAGUUCGAUAGCCUGGAUUUAAAAGGAAAACUAUAUUGCAUUGCUUCAAAAAAAAAAAAUUAAUGUUUUUAAUAUGAAUAUUCUUAACUAUAUUCAGUUAAAAUAAUAUAUUCUUAAUAUUAAUAUUCAUAGAUGAAAUUCUUUUGUGGAUUUAAGAAUAAAAUAUCAAAUAGUUUUAUUUUUCUUUUGUUGUGUAACUUGGACCGAAAAAGAAAAUGAGCUUAACAUGACCCUCCUUCCGGCACUAUGCAUGUUUUUCUUUUAUUGAUGACAGUGCUCUUGGUGCUUCUCAUCUGCUUCUUGCUUUGGUUUCAAACAAGUCUUUCUCCGUCGAGACAUUUAUUGUAAUUUGAUUUGGAGACAUCUGUCGUUCAAAUAUAUUUCAUAUGCAAGCUGUUGAUAAUUCUGCUUGAGAAAGCCUACAAAGCAGCUGUGUGAUGUAAUAGAAGACUAUAUAUGCAAACGGUCAUCAGUUUCUCUUGAAUUCUUUCUUGAGUUUCUUUGAAUUAUUUGUGAAUGAGUUCUUAAUCGGCUGCUGCUCUUCAGGAAAAGGAAAGUGUUGCAAACUGGUGAAGCUGAUCGAUAAAAGCAAUGUACCAUCUUUGCUGGCAUGGAUCGAUGCCAGUGAGUUUUUUUAUUUGUCAACCUUUUUAAUAAUGCAUAUGUUUUUCUUCAACUUGAAGCGGCAUAUAAGACGAAAGAAGUGAUCUUUAAAGCAUUCUAUGGCAUUAUCCUUUCCUAUUAUAUAUAUCCAAUUGCUCCAAAUUAUUUGUAAAUUACUGAACACGAAUGCUGAUGAAUAAACUGAUGGCUCUAUGUAUGUAUGCACAUGCAUGGAGAAAUUUUAAGUCAGACAUUCUCAUAUAUAACUCGUGGGACCAAAUCAUUAAAUAAUCUUGAAAUCAAAGUAAUAAUUAAAUACAAAUAAAUUGCUCGAAUUGUACAUAUAUCUGAAUCAUGUAGUGAAGAAAAUACAACAACAACAACCAAUGGCUCAAAUUCCCCAUCAACUUCUAGUCUCAACACUUUUGAGUGUCAGAAGCAUUACUCUGCUACCAGUUAACAAACAUAUAAUUAGUAAUUUGCCAUUCACUUCCCUUUUAGGCCUAACACAUUUUCUAUAAAGGAGCCACAGAGUGAACUCAGCAGGAAACACUCAAUUUCAACCUACGUAGGACCAGGAAUUUCAACAAAAAAAAAAGUGUGCAAUUGCUUAUCCUAUCCUAUUGCUACUAGAAAGAAAGUGAACAAUUAAUUUCAGUGAAUAAAUUAAAAAAAAUUACUUCUGCAGAUACUCAAGCUAAGAACACAUUAACCCAUUAAAGACUCCAAAUUGCAUCAAACAAAUUGUUGUUAAACAAGUAAAACAAAGAAAGAGAGUUAAGGAAGCUGACCUAGUAGUAGGGGAGCUGAAGAAAGACUGCCAGUGAAUGUAAGAGAAAAUAAAAUGCAAGAAAUGGUGAAGUGCAGCUUUUCAUGUCAACUUGAAAUUGUUUCUUCUGUUUUUUGUAAUCUUUUGGAUUUUUCAAACAAAGAAAAUGAGGAGCAACCAGGGAGAUAAAAAGGGCGCCAAGGCAACUGUGUGUUGGGUUUAGAGCCAAAAAAAAAAAAGAAUAAGACAUCGUGUUCUUGUGGAGACCAGACCUAUUACGUAUAGGGAUGGCAAUGGGGCGGGGUGGGGGUGGGGAUGCCUACCCCAUUCCCCACCCCAUUAAAAAUUUUUGCCUCCAUUCCCCACCCCAUUCCCCAAUAAAUUUAGUGGGUUGGGGAUGGGGAAUCCCCACGUGGGGAAUGAUUCUCCCAUCCCCACCCCAUUCCCCAUUUACAUAUUUUAUAGUAGAUAUAAAAAUAUGAUUUCAGUAAAUUAAAAAUUAGAGACUUAAGAUAAAAUCAUCACAAUAUUAUAAAGUAUUUAAUUUUAAAAAAAAAUCUCUAAAAAUUUGAAACAAUAUCUUAAAAUGAUAUUAAAAGUGAAAAAUAUUUAAAGAAAGCAGCACCUUAAAAGAGAAAAGAAAAUAUAUUAAUGUUUUAAAGUUGAAAAAUAUUGUAGAAUUUUCUUUUAUUCAUAUUCUAUUUAUAUUACAUAAAAAUUAAAAAAAAUUAUUAAUUGACAUUAUAGUUGAUAAAAUAUAAAUUAUUAAAUAAGAAUUAAAAACAUAUUUAUAUAUAAUGGGGAUUGGGGUGGGAGUGGGGUGGGGAGUGCAAUACCAAACCCCACCCCGUUAACAAUUUGGGGAUUAUUUUUUCCCCACUCCCCACCCCAUUCCCCAAAAAUUAUUAAAAAAUUUCCCCAUUUGGGGUGGGGCUCCAUGGGGCCCCAAACCCGUGGAGGAUUUUGCCAUCCCUAAUUACGUAACGUCCCCUUCAAUACCACUUGUUCCGUAUCUGGUUUUUUCUUCGUCUUUUACAUAUUUAUCCUGUGAUUUUACAAUAACUAAAUAAUCCCCGCAUAGUUUGCAAUUUUAUUCAUUUGGGCCCUACAGAUUUCAGUAAUAGGAAUUAUUAAGGGACAAGAGCGCAAAACAGAAACUCUGUCCACUACUGAUGAUAUAACAACGAACCUUUGUAGUUUCUGCCUGUUAAUAUGAAUUGAUCAGGAGUGUUUCCUCACUUACAAAUUACGAAUUUACAAAAUAUGUAUGUAAGUAUGUGUGUACGUACGUGUGUAUGUAUGUACAUAUAUGCAUACACCUAUGUAACAUUUACUUAUACAUUCUUUUGAGUUUAAAUCUUAAUACACAUUUUCAUGAAAUUUUUAUUUUAUUAAGUAUACAACUACAUACAACUACAUUAAUGUAUAUAUUUUUUAUAUAAGACAUGCCGUCCUAUUAUUCAUAAGUAAACAAUGUGUUGUAAAUAGUAUUCUGUGUUUUCUCAAAGUUGACUUUUCGUCUUUUAUUUUCAGACGCAGACGCUAUGUCAUUUUGUAAUCUUCAAAACAUAUGCAGAGCAGAAUUGGUGUUAUAUGAUUUUGUGAUGCAAUAAGAUUUGCACUUCCUGUGCACUCAAUGGAAUCAUUUCUUUGUAACUAAUUGGGUGGUGGAAUGGUGGUCAAAUAUCGAACGAAGACAGAUCUAUCAAACUCCAGAAACAGGGAAACCAUGCCACGCUAGUAGACAAUAUGCUAGUAUGAACAAACUUGUUUGAAUGGCAAAAACGACAUGACCUGCUGUAGUAUUAGUUCUUUCCCGAACCAAAGGGUGAUUUGCUACGUUAGAUCAUGAAAAUUGAAAAAAAAAAUUAACCAAAAUAAAAAUUCUUACGGUAAGAAUAAAAAUUCUUAAGGAAUUAGUUAGUUAAUUGAUUGAUCGAAUUUAAUCUAAAUUGGAAAAUGAUAAGAUAAUUUUGAAUUUUUUAUUAUAAUUAUUAUUUUAAAGUGGGGUGGGUUUAUACAAUUUGAGGCUUUGAGCGGUGUAAAUAUCACUGCUGAAUUAUUAAAUAUACAGUGUAAAAUUUUGACCUUUAAAAUAUUCCUUUUUUUCAUUUAGCACUAUAAGUUUAAAAAUUUAACAUUUUACCUCAAUAAUUAAAUACUUUUAACUUUAAUCUUCAAAUAUUUACCCUACAACAUUCGGACCUAAAUUUUUAAUCCGACUCGGCCCCUGACCCAAGUGGGAAGAAGAUCAGGCUUAUAAGUUAUAACUAUCACCAACAUAACAUCUUCUGGAAAAUAAUAAGAUUACUCACCUGCAAUUAUGUGAUCAAACUAAUGGUAAGCAAAAUAGAACAGCGUUAUUUCAGUCCCCUUUCAGUUUCUUUAUCAUUUUUCUUUUCCUAUUUAUAAGCUUAAUUCGGUCCAAUAUCGGCUAAUUCACUUUGAUUUCACUUUUCUUUCUUUCGGUUCAAAAAAAUUGAACCCAUUGGCUGUCAAUUCAAUUUUGUUGAAAACCAACUUUGCCUGAAUUUGAGUAAUAAUAGAGGAAAAAAAAAGUGUACUUAGCAGAAGAGAUUUCUCAUUUUUUUCUCAUUCAAACUUCUAAAAUAAAGGGAAAAAAAAAACAAGAGUAAUUGUUAAUUAUCAAAAAUUUGUUUAUACUAUUCCACCAAGAAAAUUAUAAAAAAAAAAUUUAAAAAUUGGAGAAGAAAUAUGAGGUGAAAUACGUGGAUGGCUUAGACUAAUAAUGUGAACAAAUUCCUCUCGGAAACAUGUCAUUGUUCAUCCGGACAACACGCGGCAAUGAGAUUCAAGAAUUAAAUGAUAGGAAUCAACUGUAACCUCAUAAACAAAUGGCCUUGGAGUUGUAAACACCAAGCUCGGCAGAUUAAUUAAACAAGAAUAUCCGAAUUUUCUAUGAUAAUCUCUAGGAAACGAUCAGCUAUAAUAUACGAAAUUAAAAUAUUGCAUAUAUUUUUGAACUCAUGCAUUAAUUUCAAAAAUUAUAUCGUAUUAUAAUUUAUUCACAAAAGAAAGAAAAAUUCACUAAUCAAUUGAAUAAAUAUAAGUAUUUCAUCCAGUGUAAUACUUAUAUCAAUUGAAUAAAUAUAAGAAAAAUCACCAAAAUUCACUAAUCAAUUGGAUAAAUAUAAGUAUUUCUUCCAGUGUAAUUUUUGUUUAAUAGAAAAUCUAUUUGAGAUUUUGUGAGAAGAAACUCAACAAUAAAGUGUGAUAGACUUUGUGGGUAUUAAGAGUUUGACAAGUAUUUGAAAUCUGAAGUUUACGAGCAAACAAACUGAAAUCCGAAGUUUACUGAAGUUUACUAUCAAGAGUUUCAAAACAGUGAAAAAGAUGAUAUAGUUGAUGACAAAAACCUGAGUUAUCCAUAGCGACAAGUAACAUACUGAAGUAAGCCGUUGGGAGCUGGCCUGUUCAUGGGCUAUUUUUCUCUGAUGAUCUGCAUUUUUCUUCCUUUUAAGUGAACCUUGACUCGUAUCAAACCUGUCAAAAGAACAGUUCAUCAACUGAGCUGAGAUUUGCUUUCCUUUUUCAAAACCCACCUGAGAUAUUGUAAUUCCCAAAUUUCUCUCUCUCAGCUACACGAGCAAGCAGCCGCUUUUUCACUUCAUCGAAGAAGGUAAGCGAUAUAUCUAUUUCGUCCGAUUGAUUUCUUGUUUCCUUUUCAGUGUUCCGGUAAAUUAUUGGCAUGCCUGACUUUUUGACCAUUACACGAUUCAUAAAUUUAUAUUAAUUUUGAUUUUGAGUUGACCGUUUACUUUUACAGGUUUGCUUACUUUGACUAGGUGACCAAUUUCUUGUAACUAAAUUUAUGACGUGGGCAGGAUAUGAAAUGAGAAUCUUAUUAGUGGAAGGAUUGCCAGUAACAGAACCCAAAGAAAAUGAAACCAUUUCAAGGCAGCAGUUGGCAGUUGGCAGUGAAUGGAGGCCCCUGACAAAACUUCAGUAAACUUCAGAUUUCAGUUUGUUUGCCCGAAAAUUGCAUGGUGACAAGGAUACUGGCAAGGAUAAUGAGAUAGUUUUUGUGUGAAUGAAAUUACGAUCAUCCUCAGCCUCGGGUAAUUUCUUCUCCUGCUUAGUUGUUAUUUGUUACCUAAUUAAGAAGCAUAAAGUAUCUUGAAUCAUUUUCGUUGUCCGGAAUAUAUGCAACAGUUUUUUACGAUCAUCCUGAAUGACUACUAGAGACAGUCAAGCUAAUGACUAUAAAUUAAGCGCUUCUUGGGAGGUAACCCAAGCUUUCUAAACUUUAUUAUUGUCAAUUUUUUUUCAUAUUUUUUUCUUUUCUUUUACUUAUUUUAUUUUGUUUUAUCUAGAUUUUGCACGAGUUCGAGGGUCGAUGAACAUCAACUUUCCACAUGUCUUUCAACGGCUUAGCUACAACUUUACAUCUUCAAGUGCAAAACCGGGGGAGUUUCUCUUUUCCUUUUCUUUUUCUUUACAUUGAGGACAAUGUUUAUUUUAAGUUUGGGGGUGGGAAUAUUUGCUUUUCAUUUUUUUCCCAAAAAAAAAAGAUUUUAAUGCCUAUGAUGAGUUUAUGAUUGAAAAUGAAUAUGGUUCUUAGAAAGGGAUGAAUAUUAUCUUAGUUUAUACUUGAUUCUUGUGUUAGUUUCGUCUUGAUUGAGAUUCUUUAAAGCGAUUCUUUUAGAAUUUUGACUUGAGAUUUGAGAUUGAUACAGCCUAAGUUGAGAAUUUUAGAUUGAGUAAAUGAUUGUUUGCCUCGAUUCUACAUUACUUAAGUUUACCCAGGCACCAUAGUCAGAAAUAGCUACCUACAACCCUUAAGAGUGAAGCUAUCCUCGAGUAAUUUGGGCCUAUGUAUCACCAGUAUGUAGAGGAUAAUCUACCAUGAGAAGAAGGUUACCUUAAGGGGUAGAGUGAAAGCUCCUGACUAUGGACAAAGAAAUGAAAAAAAAAAAGAAAAAAAAAAGAGCACGAGCUUCAAGAAAAAUCAAAAGAAAAUGCUAAUUUAUGCCUGAGAAAAAAAAAAAAAGAUCAAGAUGAUGAGGUUAGUUUGACCUACCCUGUUUAUUAUUCGAGACAAGGGCUGUUGAUGUUGAAGAUCUUGAGAAUGAGUUUUGAUUGAAUUGAUUCACACACAACACAUGAAUCCAAUAUGAGAUGAGGCUGACCAUUGAAUUAAAGUUAGAACUUUGCUAGUAUUUUUAAUUUUCUUUGAGCUAUAUACUUUAUGCAAUCUUUGAGGCAUUUUUUAUGAUGUUUGUGGGUAUCAUCGCUGGAAACCCUCACGAGACUAUAACUCGUCCACUAGGGCCGCCUAGGGGUUUAAAGGCUUGUUGCAUACGCUAAAUGCAAUCGCGAUCACCUGCGAAAGUGGUUUAGUUAGAAUUUUCUUUUCGUAGUUUUUAUUUUAGUUUUUGCUCGAGGACUAGCAAAAUGUUAAGUUUGGGGGUAUUUGAUGUGCUCAUAAUUUAUCUAUUAUUUUAAUGCUUCCAUAACUUAAUUUUAUGUUAAAUUAUAUUUUAUUAUAUUAAUUUUUAUCUUAAUUUUUAUAUUUUGUCAUUGUAGGAAUAUUGAGAAUAUUCAUGAGAAAAGAAGCUUAAAGAGGAAACAAGUUGGAGUAUAAUGGAAAUAAUGUGGAAGCAAGAGGGAAAGAAAUAAAAAGCCAAAUCAAAGAAAAUUUAAUUUAAGCAUCAUGCAUGCAGUCACGUGAUGAAUAAAGGAAGAGAAGAAAAGGUCAAUAGGCUUUUAAUUUCAAGCUAGUUACGUAGAGCCCAUUUGACAAUUUAAAUGGCAAGCUUACAAUAUAUUAAAGGAAGCAAAUAUUUUGGCAUUGUUUGAAAAGGCUAUUCACGUGGAUGGGCUUUGGUUUCAAUUUUGAUUGGCUUAGGAAUGAAAUAGGCGGCUGGGCUUUUGUUUUUAAUUCCUUUCAUAAGAGGAUUUGACAAGCCACAACAUUAUAAAAAGGGAAAAGCCAAGCGGAAGCCAAAAAAAAAAAAAAAAUAAUAGAGCAGCAGCCGCAAGUUUUGAGCAAAACCGAGAGCAGCAUGAAUAAUUUGGAGCAGAAGGAAGACACAUUAAUUCUUGAGUUUUUCUUUCUCUCUUCUCUAUUAUCUUAUUUGAAUGUUUCCCAUUAAAUUCAUGGAUUAUCUUUAUAUUCCCAUGAACUAAUUUAUUUUACUAGAGCUACGAUGUCCUAGUGUUUUAAUCUCUUGGUGAUUUCUAUUACUGCUUGCAUCUUUAUUUGAUUUUUAGUUAUUUUAAUUUUUAAUUUAAAUUCGCUUAUUUGAUUGUUCAAAUAAAUUAGGGUUAGGAUAAUUUCGGUAACUAAUAGGAUAUUCAAUCUCAGUGGGAUGAUACUCUACUCUUCACUAUAUUACUUGUGCCGACUAGUACACUUGCUAAUUUAUGCAAUAGUUGACAGUUGGGAGUGAAUGGAGGCCCUUGACGAAACUUCAGUAAACUUCAGAUUUCAGUUUGUUUGCUCGAAACUUGCAUGGUGACAAGGAUACUGGCAAGGAUAAUGAGAUAGUUUUUGUGUGAAUGAAAUUAUGAUUAUCCUCAGCCUCAGGUAAUUUCUUCUCCUGCUUAGUUGUUAUUUGUUACCUAAUUAAGAAGCAUAAAGUAUCUUGAAUCAUUUUCGUUGUCUGGAAUAUAUGCAACAAUUUUUAAAAUUUUGAUAUGAGUGCAAUGAUUGUAAUUUCUGUUUUCUGUCUGUCAUCGAAUGUAAGACAACUUUAUUAAGAUUCUUGAACCGAGUCAUUUUUGACAAUUGAAGGACAAGUGCUGAAGAGUGGGAAUGCAAAAAGUUUUGUUGUUUUUAGCCUUGUUUUCUUUGAACCAGCGCCUGAUUCACAAGACUCCAUUAAUUUGGCUUUUGAUCAGCUGAUUGAUAAAUGUUCAAUUUCUUUGGUGAUAAAUGUAAUUGUGAAGCAGGCAGCAGGGCAUGACUGUGGAAAAGAGAAGAUUUUAGUGAAAGCCGAGACUCAGAUAAUUCUACGCGUUUUGGUUGAUUUAUAUAAUUCGUGAAAUUUUAUUUCCAUCUGUUACAAGAUCAAACUGCAAUUAGCAAUUUAACAUUCCCUUAAAACCACUAGCUACAUUUCAUCUUUGCACAAUUACACUUAAAAUUCCACUAAAAGAAACUCUUGAGUUGCUCGCAAGCUAUAUAUCAUUAUUCAUUGAAUUCUUACUGUUGAUGCGAGAUUCUGGUUACACUCUUCCGGCUACCAGGAUAUCUGCUCGAUCAACCUCACCUCGACUAGGAUCUCUCCUCGUAUGCUUUCUUCUCCAAGUACUCAUGCGUUCACAGAAACAAGUCAGAGCACGCCGGUUGUUUUCCCGGCGUAAACCCUCCGACGCUCAAGUCAGAUAUGAAGGCUUUGGGAACGCUUGCCACAGAUCUUAUGGCUUUGUAAAUAGUUUUCUCUUCUUUUCAAUUUCCUUAAUCUCUCUUCUAAUCUCGAAAUUGCUAACCCUUUUACCUUCGCUGGCUACCUUUUUAUAGGCCACUUCUGAGCCCAGGCCUUUUUCCCUUUGCGCUCGUCAUCCUCCCACUUCUCGAAAGUGGAUGCUCCAUUUCCGUAGUCGUGGGUGGUUGCGUGGCCCUCGUGCCUAGAUUCUCGGACUGGAAAGCAUGCCACGCCAACUGUCGUUGACCGGGUCUUCUCGAAUCAACCCUUAGCAGGAAUACAGCAGGAAUGGCUUCAGGCUUCUUAUAGGAGAUUGGCCUCGCGGAUGACGUGCUCGUGGACGAGCAGGGUAUUCCUGCUCCUGCUCCUGCUCCCCCGGAUGCCAGGCUCUUACGGGACCCAUCGGCUCGCAGAACUCUACCAUCAGAUAUCUGCUCAUCAUGCCUGGUCUCGUCGACGUAUUUCUCCUAAACACCGGUCCCCCAGUUUCUGGUGUUGGGUAAUGUAGUGGACCAGCAGUAGAAACUCGACAGUACUUGCUCGCGUGGGGUUGGAAAAGGCUUCCAAGAGUCAUGUCGCAUUUAAUUGCGGACGAGGUGAUGUGGCAGAGAUCUAACCCUCCAUUUGAAUUUCAAACCAACGGUUACGAGACCCUUGGGAUUUGGUGCCGUUAAAUGCUGGCAACCCAAGAUUUCGUCCCCAUUAGGAAACCCAAAUCCUUUCGAACGACAAAUUCAUCAUUCACUCCGUCUCCAUCUCUGUCUCUCCGGCAAAGAAGUUCCAGCAUAAAGGCCUCCAUCUCUGUCUUUCACCGACUGAACCAUUACUUCAGGUAUUUCUUCUAUUUCCUUAGUCUCGGAUAGUUGUAGAUAAUUUCUCUUCUCUUUUGCUUGGGUAGUAGUUGGUGGUGGUGUUGUGGUUAGAGCUUAGGGAAUGUCGAAAGGCAAAGAGAAUGUCAUUGAGGUUGACGACGAUGAGUUGGACUUCCUGCCUAGUUUGCUCACCGAUCCUGCUUUUGACCCCGGGAUCCCCUUAGAGCUCAUUAGAUCUAGUGUUGGCACUAGCGCUAGGAGGAUGUCCCCCCAAACAACCUCCACGAGUGGAAGUAGUGGUGAGGAGAGACCCUCUGGCUCGGAAGACACCCUAAGUGAGGAUCAAUGAGGUGACUCUGGGGAGGGGUCUUCACCAGGAACACCGCGACCAGAAGGGUGUAGUACAGUAGGAGGUAGAGCCUUGUCGCGGGAUUAUGCCAUUGAUUACAUGACCUGUACGACCACAUUCAACGAGCUGGAUGACCUCCGGCUCAGGUAUAGCAUUCCUGGUGAAAUUCCUCUCAAGAUCCCAGGAAAGAAGGAUACACCUAGCCGGCCUCCUCGGGGAUACGUUACCCUAUUUUUGGAGAGUUUUAGGCAUGGGCUGAGGUGUCCCUUGCAACCCUACUUUGCCCGGAUUCUUAACGGGCUAAACCUAGCUCCUGGUCAGCUGAACCCCAACGGGUGGAGAGUGCUCUCUGGUCUGUUCAUACUGUGGGACAGAUGUUGUCAAAGCGAGCCCACGGUCGACGAGGUGAAGCACCUGUACCAACUGAAAAGCAGCCCCAAAGACGUCGGCUGGUAUUACUUCCAAUCAAGUACCAAGAUCAGAAAACCCAUAACCGAUCUUCUUACUGGUGAUGGUGGGAAUUGGAAGAGGAAGUUCUUCUUCGCAGGGGGUCCCUUGUUGUUUGCACUUCACUGGUUUGUCUCUAAUCAAAUGUUUGUUUGUGUUGCAGGUUCUUGGGGUGUCCACUUCCCGCUUAAACCUGACCAGCUCAAACGAGUCGAGGCUGUACUAGCCAAUUCCUGCUCGAACCGAGAGCUGUUAACUAUAUACAACUUGCUCGAGUCUCGCUUGAUGCUUCCUGGCCAUAGGAUGGAGGACGCUGUGAUUGGGGCUCUGACCAGGAAACGUUCUCGACCUCCAACCACGAAGAGGGACCAGAGUAAGGACGCCCCUACUGCAAAGCGGGCCAACGUCGUGCAGCAGGUCUCUCCCUUGAAGACUUUACCUCCUGCUCCUGUCAAAGUCGGGGAAACUAGUGGAGCAGCCACAGAUCCUGCUUCCUCUUCUUCUCCUGUCGGCACUCGGUCUCGCUUACCUGACAGCCGAUCAGAACAAUUGGUCCCCUAUCUCAAUGAGUUAUCUAACCUCGUGAGCAAGAAUGACAUGGAGGACUUCGAUGGCUGCACCUUGGGUGAGCUGGUGGGGGCCAUGCAGUAUAGCGCUUUUCACCUCAGCUGCAUGACCACCUAUUACAAGGCCAAGGUUGGGCGCUACGACCGAAAGAUGAAGGAGGACAUUCAAUCGGCGACGACUAGAGCUGGCGUUGCCGAGAAAAAGGCAGGGGAGCUGAAUGUUGAGAACCUCAAGCUGAUGGAGCAGGAAUCUCUUGCUCAAGCAAAAGCCAUUACCCUCGAGGAGGAGCUGACCAAGGUCAAGGGGGAUCUGCAAAGGCAGAAGGCCACGUAUGAGGCUCAGCUCGAAUCCCUCCGCGACUCCCACCGGGCUCACGUCGAGAACUUGGAGAGGGAGGCCAAGAACCAGUAUGACCAGGGACUUCGGCAUUCCUAUCGUUGCAUCAUGGCCGUCCUCGGGAAGCAGCACCCUGAUCUGAAGAUGGAUGAUCUUGCAGUUGGUGUUGCUCAACAUAUGGACGAGGAAGCGGCCAAGGAAGAUGCCGAAGGGGUAGAGCCGAUCGUGAUUGAGGGGGAAAACUCUCCUCCUCGCACAAUCCCUGCUGACGUUGGCGAGGCGAGCACCGCUACUGAUGUUGGCGAGGCGCGCACCCCCCCGGACGCAACUGGUGAUACCCCCCCCCCGCACCUGAGGAGGUCCAGCCAACCAAUGCUGCUCGGCUUACUGAUCCGCCAUCUUCUUGAUAUAUUUCUUGUAUUGUAAUGAACAACGUUGAUGGAGAUUAUCUCCUCUGUUAAUUAUUAACACAUAAAUAAAGAUGUUUUUGAUUAUUUUCGUGUUGUAAUCAUGAGUUAUUUUUCGUUUAAUAAUCUGCCCGUCAUCGUCUGGUUGAGCAGGUUCUGGCCUGGCAUAUGGUUUUACCACAUGCCCUAGAAAAUUCUUCAAUGAUUGAGAUUCUGCUCGCCUUCGCGUGGUCGAGCAGAUCCUGGCACGCUUGGCUUCUGUCUCGCCAUAAACAGGCUUUGAGACUCGACGAGCCUUUGCAUGCCUUAGAAAUAUUUUUUUUUUUCGAUGCUUGGGGGUUCUGCUCGCCUUCGCGUGGUCGAGCAGACCCUGGCACGCUUGGCUUCUGUCUCGCCAUAAACAGGCUUUGAGACUUGACGAGCCUUUGCAUGCCUUAGAGAUUUUUUCGAUGCUUGGGGAUUCUGCUCGCCGUCACGUGGUCGAGCAGAUCUUGGCACGCUUGGCUUCUGUCUCGUCAUAAACAGGCUUUGAGACUUGACGAGCCUUUGCAUGCCUUGGAGAUUUUUUCGAUGCUUGGGGAUUCUGCUCGCCGUCACGUGGUCGAGCAGAUCCUGGCACGCUUGGCUUCUGUCUCGCCAUAAACAGGCUUUGAGACUUGACGAGCCUUUGCAUGCCUUAGAGAUUUUUUCGAUGCUUGGGGAUUCUGCUCGCCGUCACGUGGUCGAGCAGAUCCUGGCACGCUUGGCUUCUGUCUCGCCAUAAACAGGCUUUGAGACUUGACGAGCCUUUGCAUGCCUUGGAGAUUUUUUCGAUGCUUGGGGAUUCUGCUCGCCGUCACGUGGUCGAGCAGAUCCUGGCACGCUUGGCUUCUGUCUCGCCAUAAACAGGCUUUGAGACUUGACGAGCCUUUGCAUGCCUUAGAGAUUUUUUCGAUGCUUGGGGAUUCUGCUCGCCGUCACGUGGUCGAGCAGAUCCUGGCACGCUUGGCUUCUGUCUCGCCAUAAACAGGUUUUGAGACUUGACGAGCCUUUGCAUGCCUUGGAGAUUUUUUCGAUGCUUGGGGAUUCUGCUCGCCGUCACGUGGUCGAGCAGAUCCUGGCACGCUUGGCUUCUGUCUCGCCAUAAACAGGCUUUGAGACUUGACGAGCCUUUGCAUGCCUUGGAGAUUUUUUCGAUGCUUGGGGAUUCUGCUCGCCGUCACGUGGUCGAGCAGAUCCUGGCACGCUUGGCUUCUGUCUCGCCAUAAACAGGCUUUGAGACUUGACGAGCCUUUGCAUGCCUUAGAAAUUUUUCACAGUUUCAAGUGAAUGAAAUUCCUCGACGUUCCAUUAAUUGUAGGAUUCAACUUACAUGAAAAUGUUUGGUCGUAAAAUAAAUAACAGCAAAUACGAACAGAAAGAUCUUGAAAAUAUUAACGACUCUUACUGGAAAUAUUUCCUGAGAUGUGCUGCGUUCCAUGGGCGCUUCACCUCGUGGCCAUCCAUGCGAACCAGCUUGUAAGCUCCUGGUCCCACUAGCUGCUUGACUCUAUAUGGCCCCUCCCAAUUUGGACCGAGCACUCUUUGAGUCGAGUCUUUGGUGUUCUGAUUCACUCUCCUUAACACCCAAUCUCCGACCUUGAACUGCCGUAUGUUCACCUUCUGGUUAUAAUACCGGGCAACCCUCUGCUGGUAAAUGACUGAUCGCUCGGCUGCUUGCUCCCUCUUUUCCGUUAGCAGAUCAAGAUUCAAACAUAUCUGCUCGUCGUUCUCCUGUUCAUUGAAAUGAUAUGUCCGGUGCGUGGUCGUUCCUAUCUCAGUUGGCACGACCGCUUCAUGUCCAAAAGCCAAGGCGAACGGUGUCUCCCCAGUUGCUGUUUUGUGGGUUGUUCUGUAUGCCCAUAGCACACCUGACAGCUCAUCAACCCAUGCACCCUUUUUUGCUCCCAGCCUGGUUUUCAAAAGCCUCUUGAUGGUCUUGUUGGCUGCUUCUACUUGUCCAUUCGAUUGGGGGUGAGCAGGCGAGCAAUACUUCAGCUCUAUUCCGAGGUUCUGGCAGAAAUCCCUGAAGCUGUGAUUAUCGAAUUGUCUGCCAUUAUCCGUUACCAGGGCAUAAGGGAUCCCGUAUCGACAGACCAGGUUUCUCCACACAAAGUCUGUUGUUUUCUUCUCUGUGAUCUUGCUAAGGGCUUCUACCUCUAUCCAUUUCGUGAAGUAGUCUAUAGCAACUAUUGCAUGUGUUGCUGCUCCUCGUCCCUUUGGCAGCGGGCCGAUCAGAUCAAUUCCCCAUUGAGCAAAUGGCCAAGGGGAGGCCAUAGAGGUGAGCUUUUCUGGUGGUUGGUUGGAGAAACUUGCAAAACUCUGGCAACUUACACAGCUCCUGGUCUUCUCCUGUGCAUCCUGGUGCAUUGUCGGCCAGAAAUAUCCCUGCCUUAGAACCUUGUGGGCCAGGGACCUCCCACCAGAAUGAUUCCCGCAAAUUCCUUCAUGUACUUCUCUCAGUACGUAAUCUGCGUCGUCCUCAUCCAAACAUCGGAGGAAAGGUAGUAUAUAUCCUCGCCGAUACAGUACCCCAUCAAUCAUCGUGUAUCUUGAGGCCUGGGCUCUAACCUUCCGAGCUCGCAGCUUAUCUGGUGGUAAUACCCCGUCUCUGAGGUAUGAAAUUAUCGGGUCCAUGCACGAGCAUUUUUGUUCUAUCCGCAACACCCCCAAAUUCUGCUCGAUACUUGGGCUGGACUUCACCUCCAGAGGGACCGACUUUGGCAUUUUUGGGUCGGCUACUGCUGCCAUCCUGGCCAAAGUGUCUGCUCGACUAUUCUGCUCCCUGGGGAUCUGUAUCACCUCCACUGCUUCAAAUUUCCCCAUCAUCUGCCUGACUAUCUUCAGGUACUGCUCCAUCUUCUUCUCUCUUGGUUGGAAUCUUUCGCUGACAUGAUUCGCAACCAGCUGGGAAUAAGUUCUGAUCUUCACUCUGUCUGCUUUCACGGCCUUAGCCAAUUCCAAACCUGCUAUCAAGGCUUCAUACUCUGCCUGGUUAUUUGUGGCUCCAAAUUCCAACUUCACAACAUAAGAGAUCUCCUCCCCCUCCGGGCCUUCCAAGACAAUCCCUGCUCCAGAACCCUGCUCCCCUGAUGACCCAUCCACAUACAUCUGCCAUACUUGAGCUUCGCCACUGUCUGUGACUACAUCUGGUCCAUCUAAACAUACUUCGGGCUCUGUGAAUUCAGCUACGAAAUCGGCCAUUGCCUGAGCCUUUAUCGCUGCUCGGGGUUUGUAGUCUAUGUCGAACUCGCUCAGCUCUAUAGCCCACUUGACGAGCCGACCAGAAGCAUCUGGCUUGUGCACAGUUUGACGCAAUGACUGGUUUGUUAUUACCGAGACCGGGAAUGCUUGGAAAUAUGGCCUCAACUUCCGAGCCGCAACCACAAGGGCAAGUGCCCAUUUCUCCAACGGUGGGUAUCUGGUCUCAGCGUCGAGCAGGGCCUUGCUUGUGUAGUAUAUCGGAUACUGAACUCCUUCUUCCUCUCUCACCAGAACAGAACUGGCGGCCCGAUCCGAUACCGCCAAAUACAGAUAUAACUUGUCCCCAUCCCUCGGUGUGGACAGUAGUGGAGCUUGCUGCAAGUAUUGCUUCAAGUUCUGGAAGGCUUCCUCGCAUUCUGGUGUCCAUUCUGUUUUCUUUCCCCUCCUUAUCACUUAAAAGAAUGGCUGACACUUGUCUGUAACCUUGGAUAUGAAUCUGCUCAACGCAGCCAACCUCCCCGUGAGGCUCUGCAUCUCCUUCAGGUUACGAGGAGACCUCAUCUGCACAAUUGCCUGGAUUUUCUCCGGAUUUGCUUCAAUCCCCCUAUGGCUCACCAUGAAUCCAAGGAAUUUCCCUGACUCGACCCCAAAAGCACACUUCUCCGGGUUGAGCUUCAUCUUAUACUUCCUCAAAAGCCCGAAUGUCUCCUCGAGGUGCCUGACAUGUUCCUUCGAGAUUUUGGAUUUGGUGAUCAUGUCGUCCACGUACACCUCCAUGGUUUUCCCAAUCAACGGCUUAAAGACUUUGUUCACCAGCCUCUGAUAGGUGGCCCCAGCAUUUUUUAGACCAAAUGGUAUUACCCUGUAACAGAACAAACCCUGGUUAGUGAUGAAAGCCGUGCUCUCCUCAUCCUGCUCGUACAUGGGGAUUUGGUUGUAUCCCGAGAACGCGUCCAUGAAACUAAGCAGACCGUGUCCAGCCGUUGAAUCUACUAGUUGAUCGAUCUUUGGUAAAGGGAAGCUGUCUUUUGGGCACGCCUUAUUAAGGUCUGUGAAAUCCACACACAUCCUCCACUUGCCAUUUGCCUUCUUUACCAACACCACAUUCGAUAUCCAUUCAGGGUAAUUGACUUCCCGAAUGAACCCUGCUCUCAAGAGCUUCUCCACCUCGACAUUUAUAGCCUCAUACCUCUCCUGAUUGAAGCACCUCCUCUUCUGCCUUACUGCCCGAGCACCUUUCUUUAUUGCCAGCUUAUGACAUGCUACCUCAGGGUCAAUCCCUGGCAUAUCUUCAUGUGUCCAAGCAAACACAUCUGCAUGAGCCUGUAAGCAUUUCACUAACUCCUGCUUUUGCUCUCCCUUAAGUCUCGACCCGAUUCUGAUUGUUUUUCCCGGAUUCUCUGGUCCCAGGCUUACUGUUUCCAGAUCCUCUACAGGUUCUUGUCUGCCAUUCUUGUUUUCCACUCGGGUAUCGAGGGAUGUUAUCUGCAUUGCUUCCCUUGCUGCUGAGGAGUAGCAGCUUCUUGCGAUCCUCUGAUCUCCUCGUACCACUCCAACUACCCCAUUCACCCGGUACUUCAGAGCCAGAUAAUGGUUGGACAGCAUCGCUUUGCUCAUCCUCAGAAAUGGCCGACCUAGGAUCAUCUGGUAAGGACCUUCCUCAUCCACUACCAUAAAGUCCAGUAUCAUUGUCCUUUCUGUCGGGGAGCUCCCAAUCGUGAUAGGCAGCUCGACCAUGCCCAGAGGGACCAGCCUUCCUCCUCCAAACCCCUUCAAGGAGGUAUUGGUGUAAUCCAACUUCAGGUCUGCUAUUCUCAUCUCCUUCAGGGUUGACUUAAACAACACAUCAACUGAACUCCCUGUGUCAACCAGUAUCCUGUCAAACUUCUUGCUAGCAACAGUGGCCUUGAUGACCAAAGCAUCCUCGUGGGGGUAUAUGAUCCCUUCUUCAUCCUCAUCUGUCCACAUGAUUGGCACUUGCCUGACUCUUGCACGUUUGGCUGCUGGGGUGUUGAAGAAUACCUUUUUGCUGGUCAUGGCGUAUCUAGCAUAAUUUUUCCUCGAUCUGUUAGAAUCUCCGGCCAAUGUUGGGCCCUCAGCUAUAACCCUUACUGCAGGCUGCUCGCGCCUCAAGUUCCUGUCACUCUGCUCCCCUUCACUUGUUGAGGCUACCAUUGGGAAGGUCCCAUCUACGAACUCGUCCAGAUACCGAUUUCUCACUAAAUCUUCAACCUGGGUCUUAAGAUCUCUGCAAUCUGCUGUGGUGUGGCCAUGAGUGCCAUGGAACUUACAAUAGCGUCCCCUAUCCCUCAUGCUGGGUAGCUUGGUUAUUGGAGCAGGGAGGUAUAGCAACCCCCGAUCCUUUAUGGCCUCGUACACCUCGUCCAGGGACAUCUUCAAGGAAGUGUACCGCCCAUAGUCCUAGUUCUGGUCGAUCAGGUGUACUGCUCUUUCUCUGUUUGCUCCGUUCUGGGUUGGGGGCGGUGGCAGUACUUCUGGUCUGCUCCCUCUGCUACCGUGGGAGUGUUGAUGAGCACCAUAUGAUGAAUCAUGCCUUCUCCAAGGCUCCCUAGCUGUGGAACGAGGAGGCUGCGCCCUGCUGCGCUGAUACUGUGGUGGGCUCUGAUGAGGCUGGUAAGCAAUUACCCGACCUCCUGCUCCAUUACCCGAGGCCUGGUGGUCCCUCCUCCUGAUCGGCCCAUUCCCCGGUAAUGCUUUCUUCUCUUUCCUCCCCAACCCUUCUAACUGGUCUAUCUUAAUUCGUGCUGCCUUCUCCUCUUCAAUCUCAAUGUCUCUCUUAGCCUGCUCGUAUGCGGCCGCAUACGUCUGGAUAGCUGGGCUUCUCAAAUUGUACCACAGCCUUCCUAUCUUCACCCUUUCUUUCAAUCCCCUUAACGCCUGAGGGUGGUUGAAGGCUCCCAAGUCGAGGACAGCCCGAUGAAACCUCUUGAUGAAUUCCCGAAGGGUUUCUUGCUCCCCCUGUUUCAUGCUUUUCAGCUCCAUCAUGUCAUCUUCUGGGGCCAUUGCCCCACUAAACUGCUCUGCGAAUUCCUGGCACAUCUGCUCGAAGGUUUUAAUGCUGCCCCGAGGAAGUUUCCUGUACCACUCGCGUGCACGUCCCUCCAGGGAUAGUGGAAACACCCUGCACCUUUGGGGCUGAGAUAAUCCUUGUACCCCCGUUAUGUCAUUGAAGCGUUCUAUGUGCACCAGCGGAUCAGUUCGUCCCGAAUAUCUAAGGUCCGGGAGACGGAAAUCCCUCGGAAUAAUUGCCCUCAUGAUCUCUGCUGCGAGCAGUGAUUCUCCGUCCAGCAUUAUCCUCCAACCAGGAGCUCUGCUCCUUCCUUGCAUAUCGUCAAUUAUCUGCGCUAGUCUGCGCACUUCCUCCUCCAGCUGUACUGCACGACCAGGGUCACGUGCUGCAACUUGAUCCCUCUCUUGCUCUACAUCAUGCAAGUGUUGCCUCAACUCUGUUUCUUCUGCAUUCGCCACCCCGUCGUCCUCGUAAAAAAUCUGUCUUGCCGGGGAUUGCUCUUCUUCUCUAUGAAAUUCUCCCCGUAGAGGUAUGUUACCUCUCUCACCACUAAAUCUCCCGGUGGUUUGACUUCUCCUCGUACCAUCGGGACCUGGUGUCACUCCACCACCUCUCACCAUUUCCUCCUGGGUUACCCUUCGUUCACUCCGCAACUCAUGCAGGAUGGUUGUCAGGGUCUCCAUCUGCUUUUCCAUCCGUUCCAUCCGGUCGAACAUGGCUUUUUCCCGUGCUUCGCUGGCUAUCUCCCUCAGCGUUACAGAAUCGUUAAGCCUCAUAUCACCCCCUUGUGCACUACUUCCUCCUGCCUCCAUUGCUUUUCACUUGCUUCACUCCUCUUCUUGCUAUCAACAGAAGCUUUUUGCUCAGCUCCCCACAGACGGCGCCAAAAUGUUGAUGCGAGAUUCUGGUUACACUCUUCCGGCUACCAGGACAUCUGCUCAAUCAACCUCACCUCGACCAGGAUCUCUCCUCGUAUGCUUUCUUCUCCAAGUACUCCUGCGUUCACAGAAACAAGUCAGAGCACGCCGGUUGUUUUCCCGGCGUAAACCCUCCGACGCUCAAGUCAGAUAUGAAGGCUUUGGGAACGCUUGCCACAGAUCUUAUGGCUUUGGAAAUAGUUUUCUCUUCUUUUCAAUUUCCUUAAUCUCUAUUCUAAUCUCGAAAUUGCUAACCCUUUUACCUUCGCUGGCUACCUUUUUAUAGGCCACUUCUGAGCCCAAGCCUUUUUCCCUUUGCGCUCGUCAUCCUCCCACUUCUCGAAAGUGGAUGCUCCAUUUCUGUAGUCGUGGGUGGUUGCGUGGCCCUCGUGCCUAGAUUCUCAGACUGGAAAGCAUGCCACGCCAACUGUCGUUGACCGGGUCUUCUCGAAUCAACCCUUAGCAGGAAUACAGCAGGAAUGGCUUCAGGCUUCUUACAGGAGAUUGGCCUCGCGGAUGACGUGCUCGUGGACGAGCAGGGUAUUCCUGCUCCUGCUCCUGCUCCCCCGGAUGCCAGGCUCUUACGGGACCCAUCGGCUCGCAGAACUCUACCAUCAGAUAUCUGCUCAUCAUGCCUGGUCUCGUCGACGUAUUUCUCCCAAACACUUACCACAUAUAUGUCACCUUUCAAUCAAUUGUUGAAAAAUUCAAAUUUGGAAUUCAAAUACAUGCAUUCAAAUUUGGAACACUUUGAACGGUCCGAUUCAAAACUUCAUAUUCCAAUUAUAUUCAUAAGACAAAUGGAACACUUUGAACGGCUUGUGUCCGAGCAUUGUAGUUUGAUUUAUUUUGAUGACAUUACCUUUUGACAUUGAGAUUCUUUCAGGAUUUAAACAUUCUUUUUAAAACCAAAUUAUUAAAAAAAAAUAACUAACAUAUAUUAUUUUAUUAGUGCUUUUUAAAUCAAAUAUACAUAGGAGAACUGUAAUUCUUAGCAAUCAAUUUUCCACUAAAUACACCUGCAACAAACUAUUAAUAACAAAGUGAUAGAAAAUACCUGAUUUUUCAUACUUUCUAAUUUCUUUUGGUCCUAAAAUAUGGGCAUUUGUGUAAUAAUAAGCCCAUGUGGAUCUCUAUGCCAUGAGUUUGAUAAAUAGCUAUCAAGGAUCACUUAUUAAGCUAAAAAUAUUUGGAGGACAAAAUUGUAAAACUAAAAGGGUGGAGCAAAUAUGGCUAUCUAGGAUUAAAUAGUAAGUCAACUAUAUUUAAAGGAUAAAAUAUUAAAACUUGAAUUGUGAUAUUAAAAAUAUCUCAACUAUUAUAUUAUUAAACCAUAUGUUCUAAUAGUUUUUUUUUUAAGCUUCAAAAUGUUCAGGAUUUUAGAUUGAAACAUUUUCAAUUGAAAUAAUUUGGUGCAGUCACAAGUUAAGAAAGAAAAAGUUGUCCCAUUGGUCAUUUCACAAAAAUGAAAGCCCUGUAUAACAUGGACGUGAAUGGAAACCCAAUUGUUUGUGUUUGAUUAAUUGAUUUCAAGCUUUAUCUAACCUUUGGACCUGGAUACUUUACUGCGGCCUCUAAGCGCUAUAAAUUUUUUUGGGGAUAAACGGCGCUUCAAUGAGGGCAUCUCCAAUGCUUAACACCAUUUUGGUGUAACACCAACAUUAAAAAUAUACAUUUUUCACACUAAAUUACUAUUUCAUCUCCAACCCAUUUACACCAAAUUUUACACCAAAAAUAAUAUUUUUUUUAUUCUUUUAAUUCUCAAGAAUUAAUUCAAUUAACACAAUAAAUACUACUAUUAACAUAGAUAAUUAAGUAAUAAGUAAUUUUAUCAAUUAACAAAAAAAAUAGAAAAUUAUUAAAUUUGCAUUUAAUUAACUAAAUUAGUACAUUAUGAAAAUUAAACAUUACAUUAAUAUAGAAAAAUACAAUAAAAAUAAUAAUAAUUUUAUAUCUAAUAUUUUGAUGAUAUUGGAGGAUCUAAUAAUGAUCUUCCAGAUUAUUAAAUAAUUGUUCUAAUUUAUACUAGUAGUAGUAGCUUUUUUAAUUUGUGUUAAUUUAAUUUUGUAAUAUGUAAUAUAGUAAUUAAUGUUAUUGGCAUUUUAUUUUUAUUAUUAAUUUUUGUGUUGAAUUUUUUUAUUUAAAAUAUUAGUAUAAUAUUAAAAAAUUAAAAAUGAAAUAAAUAAUAACAAAAAUAAUAAUAAUAACUUAAAAUAUUAUAUAAAAAAGGACAUAUAUGUAAAUAAGAAAAAGUAAUAAAGAUAUUUAGGACUCUUUUUUCCUAGCACCAAAUGAAUAGUGUUACACCAUAUUUGGUGCAAUACUAUUCAUAACACCAAUUUGCUGUUCGUUUUGAUGUUACAUUGGAGAAGCAUUUUACACAAAAAAUGGUGUAAAAGGUAGUUUGGUGUUAGUUUUGGUGUCACAUUGGAGAUGGCCUGGAAAAACACUUGAAAACUUUGGAUUUUUGGUUCGUCCAGUUACGGUGUUAUGCUAAUGGGGUUAAAAGUUCCGAUCCAAUGAGUUAGGAUGGAAUAUGAAUAUAUAAAUUCCAUAGCAUGUAAGGACUAGGAUUUGUUUGUUCAUAUCAAGAAAAAAAAGAUCCGAAAAUUUGAUGAUCAGAAGAUGAAGACACGUUUAUUACAGAGAAACAAACGACAACAUGAUACUAGUAGUAGUUAUUCUUUUCAUCCGAUAUAUUACAUGGUAAUAUCACUACUCGUUCCACUGGUUUCAUAUACACCAUCGAUCAGCAACAUGAUAAUUUUGUGUCAGUUCAUUUUGUUUGUAGGAAAGAGCAGUGUAUUUCUUAGAGCUUGAAAAUAAUAAAAAGAUUUUAAAAUAUAAAUUGCAUAUUUGUUUAUUACAGUUGUUUGGUCUAAUUUCUUAUGUAGAAUUGCUUGUCAUUCUUUGGACGUUAUUGAUUAUAUUUUUGUCAGACUUGGCGUAUAUAUUCACACAUACGUUUUAUUUUGUCAUUUUGUAGAACAUUUUUACACGCCAUAUUAUCACGACUCUUCUCUGUCUGAAUAAGAAGAAAGCAUAAUGCGACCCUCCAAUAGCUUAAUCUAUGGAAUUAUCGUGUUUUGUAAGUUGAGGUCCAAUGGCGUUUUGGCACAUCAUAUGAUAGCCCACUAUAUUGCGUUGCUUUACAAAAGAUUAAUAUUUUGAAAAUUAUUAGGUAAGUUUAGGCUCAGUGGCACUUUAACUCAUGAUAUGAUUGUCCAGGUUUUCGAGGACCACUAUAUUCUAUUGAUUUAAAAAAAAUUAAUAUUUUUUAAUAUUAAUAUUCUAAAUUAUAUUCAGUUCAAAUAUUAAAUAUUAAAUACAUUCUUAAUAUUAAUAUUCUUAGAUGAAAUUCUUUUGCUGACUUAAGAAUAAAAUAUUAAAUAAUUUUAUUUUUCUUUUAUUCUGUAACGUGGACCCAAUAAAAAAAGGAAAUGAAUUUAAUAAAACCUUCAUUCAAAAUCUUCAUUCCGCCACCAUGCAUGUUAAUUGUUUCCAAAUUCCAACCUCCGUACUCUCUUGAGGAGUUUCCCAUUCAUCAAUUAUUAUUUUUUAUAAUCCAUACCAUCCUGAUAUAAUUAAACACCAUUAAUAAUGUACCAACCUUUAAAUAGUAAUUAAUUUAUUUAUCUAAUUCACCAAAUGUUUUUUCCGGUACAUAUCUCCAUUGGUAUCAAGAAGAAGCAGAACCCAAAGAAAUGUUUCUUGCAUCUUCAUAUUUGUGCGAAUUCAUCCUUUCAUUGAGAAUAACCAUUUCCAGGCAGCAGUUGGCAAUCAAUUCAUGCGCACGUCGAUGCUAUUCAUAGAUACUAAAGACAAUGAUGAACCAAAGGUGAUAAAUCAUAAAUGCAUAAUUACCAAACCUCCAUCCUUCUCUCAUUAUGAUUUGAUUUUAAAUGAAUUAUUGCUUGGUAACAUUAUUUCCAACCAUUGCAAGACCUUUUUUUUGGAGAAAUUUCAAUUGAAAGUGAAACCUUUAGACAUUUACCUAAUGAAGUUAGUUAAUCGGGAGGGUCGGAAAAAAAAAGUUGACGCAAGUCAAUACACAAUAAUCAAUUAAAUCCGGAGUGACUAAAACAGAGCCACUACUUUUUAAAAAAUAUCUGCAUUAAUCACUUUCUCCAGCAACUAGUCAGCUACACACGAAUCAAUUUCUCUCCUCGUUUGUCAUCCAAAAUUAUUCACCAAUACCAUGGCUGAUGCAAUCGUUUCCACUAUCUUGGAGCAGCUGAUUUCCUUCGCUGCUGAAGAGAUAAAACAACAGGUGAUCGAAGUUUCACCCCUCAUAUUACAAAUACUUCCAAUGAUUUUAAUUGGCUUUGUUUUUAUCAAAAACAUUAUAUAUUUUUGCUUUUUUUUUAUUUAUCUGAUAAUUUUAUAUUUUGAAAUUUGAAUUGAAUUUAAUUAAAAGGUGAUGUAGUAACCACUCAUUUUUAUUUUAUUUCAUUUCUAUUCUCGAUAACUAACCAUAUUUUGGUAACUUAAUAUGACUCUCGUACAUAAGAAAUGAUCAAAACCCACAAUUUUAACUAUGUAUAAAUAUUCAACGUUGAGCUAAGGUUUUGCAGAACAUUCAAGUUUAUCAAAUAGUCAUUAAUUUAAUGUUUUAGUAAAACCUCAACUCAUCACUGAAUCCCAUAGCUAUUACUUAGACUCUAUGAAAAAUUUCAUAGUUUUCUUACAUUCUUUCAGUUUGGUAAGUGAUUUCAUAUAAUUUCUGUUCAAUAUAAAUUUUAAUUUGGUUUCUUAUAUACUCUCUUUGCUGAAUUUGUAUCUUUUAUGAUUCUUAGAUUUUGGGCUCUAACAUUUUAGGAUUUGAUAGUCACAUUUUAUGCCAUGCUUAGAUUGAUUUUCAUGAUUUUUACUACCCAUUAAGUGACUUAGAAUUUGACAAAAGUUUGAAAGGAAAUCUGCUUCAGGAUUCUGUUUUAAUUGACCUUUUAGUGGAAAUAGGAUGCUUAUAACUUAAUGUGGAUGGUUCGUAAAAUCAUGAAAUUUGGAUAGAAUUAACUAGAAAUAUGUACAAGACUCUCCAUGAAGUCUCAUAAUUUUUCAUUCGGUCUGGGGUGGUACAGGUGAAACUUGUGGUUGGUGUUGAAAAAGAAGUGAAAAGCCUUACCAGCCAUCUUCAAGCCAUUCAAGUUGUGCUCGAUGAUGCAGAGGAAAAGCAAGUGAAGGAAAAAGCUGUUAGUCUUUGGCUGGGUAGGCUCAAGUAUGCAUCCUACGACAUUGAAGAUGUGUUGGAUGAGUGGAUCACAACAAGACGCAAAUUGCAAAUUGAGGGUGGCAUUGGUGAAAAUGCUCUUGUUGUUCCUCAUAAGAAAAAGAAGGUAUGUCUCUGCUUUCCCGGCUCUUGUUUUGGAUUCAAACAAGAAGAAUUUGGUUUCAAACAAGUCUUUCUCCGUCAUGACAUUGCCGACAAGAUCAAAGAAAUCAAUGAAGAGCUACAUGAUAUUGCCGCUCAAAAAGACAUGUUUGAUCUUGUUAAGAGUGGCAAUAAAAGUAGUGAAAGACCAAGGCGUGUACAGAGUACCUUCUUGAUUGAUGAGGAAGAGAUUUGUGGCAGAGUUGGUGAGAGGAAUGAACUCUUAAGCAAGCUGUUGUGUGAGAGUAGCGAGCAACAAAAAGGCCUUCAUAUCAUCUCAAUCGUUGGUAUGGGAGGCAUAGGGAAAACAACUCUUGCACAACUAGCUUGUAAUCAUGACGAGGUGAAGAGAAAGUUCGACAAAAUUCUGUGGGUGUGUGUAUCAGAAACUUUUGAGGAGUUUAGGGUUGCCAAAGCGAUCGUUGAAGUUUUGGAUGGUCGUGAAUCUCAUUUAGCUGAAUUCCAUUCUCUUCUUCAACAUAUUUAUGAAUCCAUUGCAGGGAAGAGCUUUCUUCUUGUCUUAGAUGACGUGUGGGAUGGAAAUUACUUGAAAUGGGAACCAUUCUACCGUUGUCUAAAGAAUGGUCUCCAUGGAAGUAAAAUUUUAGUUACCACACGUAAAGGGUCAGUCGCAUCCAUGAUGGGAUCCAUAGAUAUUAUCUCCGUUAAGGAGUUAGCUGAAGAGGAAUGUUGGUUGUUGUUUAACAAGAUAGCAUUUUUUGAUCGGUCCAUCGAGGAACGUGAAAAAUUAGAACAAAUUGGGCAAAGAAUUGCAGGCAAGUGCAAAGGUUUACCUCUUGCAGCAAAGACAAUAGGGAGUCUCAUGCGUUCUAAACAAACUGAAGAAGAGUGGAAAAGAAUUUUAAAUAGUGAUUUAUGGAAAGUAGAAGAGAUUGAGAAAGAUGUUUUGUCCUCUUUAUUGUUGAGUUAUAAUGAUUUGCCAUCUAGAGUAAAAAGAUGUUUUUCAUAUUGUGCUGUCUUUCCAAAAGACUACAAUAUAGAAAAAGACAAACUAAUCACGUUAUGGAUGGCUCAAGGUUAUCUUAGUGCAGAAGAAGAUGAAGAGAUGGAGACAGUAGGUGAAGAGUAUUUUGGCAUCUUAGCUUCUCGCUCAUUUUUUCAAGAGUUUAAGAAAAGUUAUGAUAAUCGGAUUAUAGAGUGUAAGAUGCAUGAUAUGGUACAUGAUUUUGCCCGAUUUGUAAGUCAAAAUGAAUGUUUUUCGAUGGCAAUCAAUGGUAGUGAAGAACCAAACGCCACAAACUCUCUUGAUGAGAAGGUCCGUCAUUUAAUGUUAAUCUUUAGUAUAGAGGCUUCAUUACCUGUUUCCACUUGUAGAGUUAAAAGAAUUCGUAGCCUCUUAAUUAACGAUAGUAGAUCUGAUCAUUCAUUAUUAAAUGGUGAGAUCCUAGAAGAAUUAUUUAGGGAAUUGACAAGUUUAAGGGCAUUAGAUUUUUGCAAAUCGUAUAACGCAAGUUGGUCUUCGACUCUGGAGAUUCCGAGAAACAUAGAAAAGCUGGUACAUUUAAGAUACCUUAAUUUGUCUUAUCAGGGAAUAAAGAAACUACCGGAGACAUUAUGCGAGUUGUAUAAUCUAGAAAAGUUAGAUAUUAGUUAUUGUUAUAAGCUAGAAGAAUUACCUGAAGGGAUUGGGAAGUUAAUAAACAUGAAGCAUUUACGAAAUAGAGGUACUAGUUCUUUAAGGUACAUGCCAGUAGGGAUUGGGAGAUUAACGGGUCUUAGGACCUUGGGUGAGUUCCACGUGAGUGCAGGAGGAGGUGUUGAUGGUAGGAAAGCAUGUAGGCUUGAAUCUCUUAAAAACUUGGAACACCUUCAAGUAUGUGGUAUAUGUAGACUGGGUGAUGUAUCAGAUGUGGGCGAGGCUAAGCGAUUAGAACUUGACAAAAAGAAAUACCUCUUCAGUUUGACCCUCGAGUUUGAUAAGACGGAAAGAGGAGGAGAAAGGAGGAAGAACGAGGACGAUCAACUUCUUCUUGAAGCCUUGCGACCACCCCUGGAUUUAAAGGAAUUAGAGAUACGGUACUACCGAGGCAACACUGUUUUCCCCAGCUGGAUGGCGUCAUUAACCAACUUAAAGAGUUUACAUCUCCAUAGGUGCGAAAAUUGCGAGCAGCUGCCUCCUUUGGGAAAAUUGCCGUCCCUUGAAAAUCUCUACAUAUGGCGCAUGGAGAGUGUGAAGAGAGUGGGUGAUGAAUUUUUGGGGAUAGAAAGUGAUCAUCAUGACUCAUCGUCAUCUUCAUCAGUUACUAUUGCCUUCCCCAAAUUGAAAUCACUCACAAUUUAUUCGAUGCUGGAAUUGGAGGAGUGGGAUUAUGAGAUUACAAGAACAGGAAACACCGUCAUCAACAUCAUGCCACGUCUUUCUUCCUUGACAAUUGUUGAUUGCACCACAUUAAAGGCACUGCCCGACCACAUUCAUCAAACGACAACGUUGAAGGAAUUGAGCAUUUUUAUGUGUUGGCUUCUGAACAAACGUUACCGCAAGGGGAAAGGAGAAGACUGGCCUAAAAUAUCACACAUUCCCAACCUCCGUAUUGGGCUUUGACAAGUAAUUUCUUCUCUCACUCUGAUUUGCUUUGUUGUUGUUUUUAAUCUAAUUAAGAAGCGAAAAUAGCAUUUUGAAUCAAACUCUAUAUCAGAAAUCUGCAAUACUUACUUUCUAAUAUUCUGAUUUUCAUAUCCUAUGAAUAUACGAUUUUUAAUUUGUGAGAUGGGUAACGUUACUGUAAAAGAUUAUUAAUGCAAUAUGAGUAAUUCUUUUGCAGGACAAGUGACCUACAUUUAGUUUGGCUUUGGAGUUGAAUAAUAACCUUUCGUGGUCCCGACAACCAAAAAACAAAGCUUAAUUUGCCACAGAUUGAACGUAUUGCCAUUAUUGACAAUUUUCUGCACAAGCGUGACUGAACUUAGGUUGAUGUCAAAAGAGGUAAAUUAUUGGCAUGCCUGACUAUUUUGACCAUUACAUGAUUCAUAAGUUUACAUUAAUUUUGAUUUUGAGUUGAGUGAUUAGUUUUCUAGGUUUGCUUACUUUAACUGGGUGACCAAUUUCUUGUAACUAAAUGUAUGAUGUGAUGCAGGAAGCAGGGCAGGAUAUGAAAAGAGAAGCUUAUUAGAGGAAGGAUUGCCAGUAACAGAAUCCAAAGAAAAAGAAACCAUUUCGAGGCAGCUGUUGGCAGUUGGCAGUGAAUGGAGCCCCUUGAAAAAAUUCCCAGGCCGUUGCACUGCAAUUACGAUCAUCCUCGGCCUCAGGUAAUUUCUUCUCCUGCAUUUUUGUUAUUUGCUAUCAAGUGACUAUUUUAAGUAUGAUUGCAUUAAGCUUCUGCUGGGAAAUUUGAGGUUUUGAUGACUGCCCAUGCUAUUGUCAGAAGCUGCGGUUCUUUUCAUCAGCCUGAACCUGGACCUGCCGCUAUGGAUAACUCAGGUUUUUUUUUUUUUUUUAAUCAACUGCCAUCUUUUCCACUGUUUAGAAACUCUUAAGAUUAAACUUUAGUAAAGUUGUUUUAGUUAUCCAUGUAAUCAGGCUGAGGAUACUUAGCUGCCUAUUUAGGCAAAUGUCAGAAUUUAGUUUGUUCGCUGGGAACUGGUGUGGACUGGCAAAGGAUGAUGAGAUAGUUUUUUGAGUGAGUAAAUUUUGGGAGCUUGAGUGUAUUGGGAUUUGCAAUUACAAUCAUCGUCUGCCUCAGGUGAUUUCUUCUCCUGCUCUGUCAUUGUUUGUUCUCUAAUUCAAAAGCAUAAAAUAUUUCAAUCAAUUUUUAUGCCAGGAAUAUGCAAAAGUUUCUAAUAUUUUAUUUCCAUCUGUUACAAGAUCAAACUGAAGCAGAACUCAAACAAAAGUAUGCUACUUCUUGCGGAAAUCUUGCCUUUGUUCAGAUUAUGAAACCAUUUCCAUGCAGCAAAUUCAUCCAAAAGUUUGAAUAAGUUUCAUGGUUGGACACUGUUGGCUUCUUUUUCUUCUGGGGUGCAUUUAGGUGCUAUCAAGUGACAGCUGUAAGUAUGAUUGCACUAAGCUGCCGCUGGGAAAUUUGAGGUUUUGAUGGCUGCCCAUGUUAUUUUCAAGAAACUAUUGAUGUAAGAAGCUGUGGUUCUUUUCAUCAGCUUGAACCUGAAACUGUCGCUAUGGAUAACUCAGGUUUUUGUUAUCAACUAUAUCAUCUUUUUCACUAUUUUGAAACUCUUAAGAUUAAACUUUAGUAAAGUUGUUUCAGCUAUUCAAAUGAAAAACUCAUUGAUUUGAGACUUCCUUCAUUAUUGUUUCUAAUUACAAUGCUAACGAUCCAGAUAAAAUAAUAUUUAAUCGGCGAAGGUGUCCCUUGGAAGUACAUCCUUCUUUUUCUUUUAUUAUAUAAAUUCUUGCAAUGAGCUUAGUGAAGCUGUUGUGCUAAUCAUGCCACUGCAUAAUUUGGCCCCUAAUGUGGGUACUCUGUUACAUUGUUCUGCAAAUUCUCCAGAAGUUAAAAUCAAUAAAUUUUCUAUUAGCUCUAGUGCUUUGACCUAAAUGCCAUUCUAUAUUUUGAUUACAAUGUUUUAACCUUUAAAUUAACUACCCCUAGAUGUUGGAUUUUCUAGAACUUCAAAAUGAUUAAUGGAGAAAGAUCCCAUUAUCGUUAUUGCUAUAAGAAAUUGAUUUAUGCAUCCAAAGAUACAUUAUAUAUUUCUGUGUCUCUAUUUGUAGAUGACAUUUAAGCAUCCAUAAACCGUCAGACAGAGGAAGGGGGUUCAGUGCAAAGAUUCUGUUGACCUAGGGUUGACUGCAUAAUGUCACUUGUUCGCAAUCUAUUAUUUAUUUUAUAUUUUGAAGAAUUUAAUGGGUAAUCCUAAUUGUUUGUUUUGGCAGGUAUGUGUUGUUAUCUCCUUCUAUCUAACAGUCGUACCUAAAUAGCAUAGUUUCAUCUGUGUUACCAUGUGAUGUACAUAAUUUCACAUUUGCCUCAGAUUAAGCUUAAUUUCCCACAGAAUAGAGCUGUCGCGACUGGACUUAGGUUGAUGUCCAAAGAGGUAAAUUAUUGGCAUGCCUAGAUAAUUUGGCCAUUUCCUAAUUCAUAAGUCUACAUUAAUUUUGAUUUUGAGUUGACUGAUUUCUUUUCAAGGUCUGCUUCCUUAACGGAGUGACCAAUGUUUUUCAACUAAAUUUAUCAUAUGAUGCAGGAAGCAGGGCAGGAUAUGAAAUGAGAAGCUCAUUGGUGGAAGUAUUGCCAGUAACAGAACCCAAAGAAAAUGAAACUAUUUCAAGGCAGCAGUUGGCAGUUGCAAGUGAAUGGAGGCCCUGACAAAAUUCUCAAGCGGUUGCAAUGCAAUUACGAUCAUCCUCAGCCUCAGGUAAUUUCUUCUCCUGCUCUGUUUUUAUUUGUUAUCUAAUUAAAAAGCAUAAAGUAUCUUGAAUCACUUUCUGUAUCUGGAACAUAUGCAGCAGUUUCUAAAAUCUUCAUAUGAGUGUAAUGAUGGUAAUUUCUGUUUUUUGUCUGUCAUUGAAUGUUAGACAACUUUCAGUGAGACUCUUGAACCGAGACAUUUUUGACAAAUGAAGGACAAUUGCUGAAGAGUGGGAAUGGUGCUAGAUUGGGGAAUAAAGACAAAGGAGGUAAAUUAUUUGCAGUUUAUUCAGCAUUAUUUGCUUUGGACCAGCGCCUGAUUCACAAGUCUCCAUAAUUUGGCUUUUGACCAGUUGUUAAUAAAUUUUUUAUUCCAUUGGUGCUAAAUGUACACGUGAAGCAGGCAGAGCAGGACUGUGGAAAUGAGAAGGUUUUUAGUGAAAGCUUAAACUCAGGUAAUUCUAAAAAGUACAUGUUUUUGCUGAUUUAUCUAAAUCAGGAAAUUUUAUUUCCAUCUGUUACAAGAUAAAACAGAAACAGAACACAAAGAAAAAUAUUCUACUUCUUGUGGCAAUCUUGCCUUCAUUCAGACAAUGAAACCAUUUCCUUUCACCAAUUUCUUCCAAAAGUUUGAAUAAGUUUCAUGGUUGGACAUAGUUAGCUUCUUUUUCUUUUGGUGCAUUUAGGUCCUAUCAAGUGACAGCCAUAAGUAUGAUUGCAUUAUUGGGAAAUUUUAGGUUUUGAUGGCUCCCCACGUUAUUGCCAAGAAAGUCCUCAUGUCAAAAGCUGCGGUUCUUUUCAUCAGCCUGAACCCGAACCUGUCGUUAUGGAUAACUCAGGUUUUUGUCAUCAACUAUAUCAUCUUUUUUACUGUUUUGAAACUCUUAAGAUUAAACUUCAGUAAAGUUGUUUCAGUUAUCCAUGUAAUCAGGCCAAGGAUAUUUAGCAGCUUAUUUAGGCAACUGCCAGAAUUCAGUUUGUUUGCUCGAAACUUGUAUGGUGACAAGGAUACUGGCAAGGAUAGUGAGAUAGUUUUUUGUGUGAGUGAAAUUUGAAAGCUUGGGUGUUCUGGGAUUUGCAAUUGCAAUCAUCCUCUGAGUCAGGUGAUUUCUUCUCCUGCUCUGUCUUGAUUUUCUCUCUAAUUGAAAGCAUAAAGUAUUUCAAUCAAAUUCUGUACCAGGAGUACAUAAAAGUUACUAAUAUUUUAUUUCCAUCUGUUUGCAUUGAUAACUCGGCAUAUGUUCUAGUUAAAGAACAAACAGAAACAGAGUUCAGGAAAAAGUUUCUUCGGCCACCAUAUUUGAAAAUGAAACCAUUUCCAGGAAGCAGUUGGCAGCAAAUUCAUAUGGAGUGUAGACAAUGAUGAGCAAAAAGGUGAUUCGCAAUUUCUUUUUUUUUUAAGUGAAAUUAUUUGUUAGAUUGAAGCUGAUAUUGUAAGAAGGCCAUUGAGCUAACCUAUGUCGUCACUUGCCUAGAUUGCAGGGGGUCAAGACUCAAAAGAAGCACUGAAAUUUAAAAAGCAUGGAAUAGUUCUUUUGCCAUGUGUCAAUUAAUGCAAGUUUGAAUAAGUUUAUUGGCUGAACGAUGUUAGCUUCUUUUCCUUUCGUGCACUUUGGUAUGCUAUCAAGUGACAGCCGUAUGUAUGGCUUGCAUAUAGCUGCUGCUGGGAAAAUUGACGAUUUCAUGGCUGGCCGUGUUAUUGUCUUAAAUUAGUUGUGAUAAGCUGUUGCUUGGAGAUUCUGUUGCCAAGACUUUGCUCACAUCAGAAGCUGUGGAAUCUGAACCCUUCGUUAUGUAUCAUCUUUUUCAUUGUUUUAAAACUCUCAGGAUUAAACUUGAGCGAAUUUGUUCGGUUGUCUAUAUAAUCAUGUAUUGAGUAAACUCUCAGGAUACUGAGGGUGAGAGAAAUUAGAGGGUGUAUAGGGAUUUGGAUUUGUUAGGAAGUUAUCAUUUUUAUUUUUAUUUUUAUUUUUUUCCCAGAAAAUCUUCUGGUGGUGCUAUAUUUUCAAACGACAGUCCGAUUCAAAACUUGAUAUUCCAAUUAUAUUCAUAAGCUUCUACAGUUAUCUUCAAAAAGACAAAUGGAAGGCUUUGAACGGCUUGGGUCUGAGUAUUGUAGUUUGAUUUAUUUUGAUGAAAGUACCUUUUGACAUUGAGAUUCUUUCAUGAGUUAAACAUUCUUUUUAAAACCAACUUAUUAAAAAAAAAAAGUAACUAACAUAUAUUAUUUUGUUAGUGCUUUUUAAAUCAAAUAUAAAAAAGAGAACUGUAAUUCUUAGCAACCAAUUUUUCACUGAGUACACCUACAACAAACUAUUAAAAAAUAAAGUGAUAGAAAAUGCCUGAUUUUUCGUACUUUCUAAUUACUUUUGGUCCUAAAAUAUGGCAAUUUGUGUAAUAAUAAGCCCAUGUAUAUCUUUAUGCCAUUAGUUUGAUAAAUAGCUAUCAAGGAUAACUUAUUAAGCUAAAAAUAUUUGAAGGAUAAAUUGAUUUAUGCAUCCAAAGAUACAUUAUAUAUUUCUGUGUCUCUAUUUAUAGAUGACAUUUAAGCAUCCAUAAACCGUCAGACAGAGGAAGGGGGUUCAGUGCAAAGAUUCUGUUGACCUAGGGUUGACUGCAUAAUGUCACUUGUUCGCAAUCUAUUAUUUAUUUUAUAUUUUGAAGAAUUUAAUGGGUAAUCCUAAUUGUUUGUUUUGGCAGGUAUGUGUUGUUAUCUCCUUCUAUCUAACAGUCGUACCUAAAUAGCAUAGUUUCAUCUGUGUUACCAUGUGAUGUACAUAAUUUCACAUUUGCCUCAGAUUAAGCUUAAUUUCCCACAGAAUAGAGCUGUCGUGACUGGACUUAGGUUGAUGUCCAAAGAGGUAAAUUAUUGGCAUGCCUAGAUAAUUUGGCCAUUUCCUAAUUCAUAAGUCUACAUUAAUUUUGAUUUUGAGUUGACUGAUUUCUUUUCAAGGUCUGCUUCCUUAACGGAGUGACCAAUGUUUUUCAACUAAAUUUAUCAUAUGAUGCAGGAAGCAGGGCAGGAUAUGAAAUGAGAUCUCAUUGGUGGAAGUAUUGCCAGUAGCAGAACCCAAUGAAAAUGAAACUAUUUCAAGGCAGCAGUUGGCAGUUGCAAGUGAAUGGAGGCCCUUGACAAAAUUCUCAAGCGGUUGCAAUGAUGGUAAUUUCUUCUCCUGCUUUGUAUUUAUUUGUUAUCUAAUUAGGAAGCGUGAAGUAUCUUGAAUCAUUUUCUGUAUCUGGAAUAUAUGCAAGAGUUUCUAAAAUUUUGAUAUGAGUGUAAUGAUGGUAAUUUCUGUUUUCUGUCUGUCAUCAAAUGUUAGAAAACUUUCAUUGAGACCCUUGAACCGAGUCAUUUUUGACAAGUGAAGGACAAUUGCUGAAGAGUGGGAAUGGUGCUAGAUUGGGGAAUAAAGACAAAGGAGGUAAAUUAUUUGCAGUUUAUUCAGCAUUAUUUGCUUUGGACCACCGCCUGAUUCACAAGUCUCCAUAAUUUGGCUUUUGACCAGUUAAUAAAUUUUUAAUUCCAUUGGUGCUAAAUGUACACGUGAAGCAGGCAGAGCAGGACUGUGGAAAUGAGAAGGUUUUUAGUGAAAGCUUAAACUCAGGUAAUUCUAAAAAGUACAUGUUUUUGCUGAUUUAUCUAAAUCAGGAAAUUUUAUUUCCAUCUGUUACAAGAUAAAACAGAAACAGAACACAAAGAAAAAUAUUCUACUUCUUGUGGCAAUCUUGCCUUCAUUCAGACAAUGAAACCAUUUCCUUUCACCAAUUUCUUCCAAAAGUUUGAAUAAGUUUCAUGGUUGGACAUAGUUAGCUUCUUUUUCUUUUUGGUGCAUUUAGGUCCUAUCAAGUGACAGCCAUAAGUAUGAUUGCAUUAUUGGGAAAUUUUAGGUUUGGAUGGCUCCCCAUGUUAUUGCCAAGAAAGUCCUCAUGUCAGAAGCUGCGGUUCUUUUCAUCAGCCUGAACCCGAACCUGUCGUUAUGGAUAACUCAGGUUUUUGUCAUCAACUAUAUCAUCUUUUUUACUGUUUUGAAACUCUUAAGAUUAAACUUCAGUAAAGUUGUUUCAGUUAUCCAUGUAAUCAGGCUAAGGAUAUUUAGCAGCUUAUUUAGGCAACUGCCAGAAUUCAGUUUGUUUGCUCGAAACUUGUAUGGUGACAAGGAUACUGGCAAGGAUAGUGAGAUAGUUUUUUGUGUGAGUGAAAUUUGAAAGCUUGGGUGUUCUGGGAUUUGCAAUUGCAAUCAUCCUCUGAGUCAGGUGAUUUCUUCUCCUGCUCUGUCUUGAUUUUCUCUCUAAUUGAAAGCAUAAAGUAUUUCAAUCAAAUUCUGUACCAGGAAUACGUAAAAGUUACUAAUAUUUUAUUUCCAUCUGUUUGCAUUGAUAACUCGGCGGCAUAUGUUCUAGUUAAAGAACAAACAGAAACAGAGUUCAGGAAAAAGUUUCUUCGGCCACCAUAUUUGAAAAUGAAACCAUUUCCAGGAAGCAGUUGGCAGCAAAUUCAUAUGGAGUGUAGACAAUGAUGAGCGAAAAGGUGAUACGCAAUUUCUUUUUUUUUUUUUUUAAGUGAAAUUAUUUGUUAGAUUGAAGCUGAUAUUGUAAGAAGGCCAUUGAGCUAACCUAUGUCGCCACUUGCCUAGAUUGCAGGGGGUCAAGACUCAAAAGAAGCACUGAAAUUUAAAAAAGCAUGCAAUAGUUCUUUUGCCAUGUGUCAAUUAAUGCAAGUUUGAAUAAGUUUAUUGGCUGAACGAUGUUAGCUUCUUUUCCUUUCGUGCACUUUGGUAUGCUAUCAAGUGACAGCCGUAUGUAUGGCUUGCGUAUAGCUGCUGCUGGGAAAAUUGACGAUUUCAUGGCUGGCCGUGUUAUUGUCUUAAAUUAGUUGUGAUAAGCUGUUGCUUGGAGAUUCUGUUGCCAAGACUUUGCUCACAUCAGAAGCUGUGGAAUCUGAACCCUUCGUUAUGUAUCAUCUUUUUCAUUGUUUUAAAACUCUCAGGAUUAAACUUGAGCGAAUUUGUUCGGUUGUCUAUAUAAUCAUGUAUUGAGUAACCUCUCAGGAUACUGAGCAGGCAAAUGUUAUAACUCGGUUUGUUAGCCAAAAACUUGUUGAAGAUUCUUGACAAAGCUGCAUCAAGUGAAUUGUCGGAGCUCUGAGGGUGAGAGAAAUUAGAGGGUGUAUAGGGAUUUGGAUUUGUUAGGAAGUUAUCAUUUUUAUUUUUAUUUUUAUUUUUUUCACAGAAAAUCUUCUGGUGGUGCUAUAUUUUCAAACGACAGUCCGAUUCAAAACUUGAUAUUCCAAUUAUAUUCAUAAGCUUCUACAGUUAUCUUCAAAAAGACAAAUGGAAGGCUUUGAACGGCUUGGGUCUGAGUAUUGUAGUUUGAUUUAUUUUGAUGAAAGUACCUUUUGACAUUGAGAUUCUUUCAUGAGUUAAACAUUCUUUUUAAAACCAACUUAUUAAAAAAAAAAAGUAACUAACAUAUAUUAUUUUGUUAGUGCUUUUUAAAUCAAAUAUAAAAAAGAGAACUGUAAUUCUUAGCAACCAAUUUUUCACUGAGUACACCUACAACAAACUAUUAAAAAAUAAAGUGAUAGAAAAUGCCUGAUUUUUCGUACUUUCUAAUUACUUUUGGUCCUAAAAUAUGGCGAUUUGUGUAAUAAUAAGCCCAUGUAUAUCUUUAUGCCAUUAGUUUGAUAAAUAGCUAUCAAGGAUAACUUAUUAAGCUAAAAAUAUUUGAAGGAUAAAAUGGUAAAACUAAAAGGGUGGAGUAAUAUAGUUAUUUAAGAUUACAUAGUAAGUCAACUAUAUUCGAGGGAUAAAAUAUUAAAACUUGAAUAGUGAUAUUAAAAAUAUCUCAGCUAUUAUACUAUUAAACCAUAUGCCGUAAUAAUAUUUUUUUUCAAACUUUAAAAAAUUCAGGAUUUUAAAUUAAAACAUGGAUUUCUUUAAGAUGCUAUAUGUGUUUUUACAGUAUUGAUAGUGGGAUUAGUGUGGACCUUUAGAUGAAAGAGUUUUAAUCUGAAUCAUUCAUUUAAUAUAAUAGAUAAUUAAAUAAUUAAUUAAAAUAUAUCAGGUAACUUAUAGGUUGCAGGUAAAAAAUUAAUUUUUUAAUUUUAAAUUAAAAUUAAUUUGGAACAAAACCAUCCACACCCCUAAGGUUUACUUAAAUGAUCAUAUAAAUCCCUUUAGUUUCUACAUAGUUAUACAAACCCUCUUAAUUUCAUAAAUUAUUAUUAUACUUUUAAUUAAAACAACCUAAAUGAAUAUAAAUAUAGUAAUAGGAUAGAAAUAAUAAAUAAAUAUCAGAUGAAACAAAUAAAAUAUUACAAUAAAUACAAUUAAUUAAAUAACAUGUAGGAUGAAAAUUUUAUUCAUAUUAAGUUAUUAUUAGUCGAUCUCGAUGGAUUUACUCAAAUUAAUUAAUCCAAAAUUUAAUUUUAAGAUUGAUAUUAAUAUGGACAUAAUUAAAUAAGAUGUUGUAAUAUAUAUUACUUUGAAUGUUAAGUAUAAUUAUCUAAUAUUAUUAGUAUGUGAAAUAGAUUUUAAUAUUAUUAAAAGAAUAUGACAAUAUAUAAUUUUGACAUAAAUUUUUUAGUAUUCAUAAUAUUUUAUAAAUUUUAUCUUAUUUUAUAUAUUAUAUUUUUUAAUUUUAAUGUAUUAUAUAUGAUCAUUUAAGCAAAUUUUGGAGGUGCGGUGGUCUUUUCCCUAUUAAUUUUGUAGCAUAUUUAAAGUGUUAUAUCAUACAUCAUACAUCGCACUUUUGUUAAAGUAUUAUGUUAUUAAAAAUUAAACUUUGCAUUUAUAAUAUACUACCAUUUUAAUGUAAAUGUAACAAAAAAUAUGAAGAUAUUUUUAAGUAGUCAAUUGUAGCUUUCUAUUACAAAAUAGCAGUAUAGAAAUACAAUUGGUAAAAUGUAAUAAAAAUGGUAUGGAAAAAAGUUAGUAGAGGCAAUUAUUUUUGUAGUUGCUAAAACAUAUGAAGUGACACACACACACACACACACACACAUCAAGUACUUGUAUGUUCCCCUAACUUUUAUUAAUAGGAAGGAAAUUAAAUUCGUAAUUUUCCCGGUGAAUUAUGAAUUGAUAAAUGAAAUAUAAAUAUUAGUAAAAAUUAAUUUGUCGACUAAAGAAGUAAACCAUAUUUUAUGGGCAUUUAAUACAUUACUUUAAGGUCAAAUGAGAUAUAUCACAUGAUAUUUGAUACAGUAGUCCAAUUUUCAACAUUUGCAUAUAGUUUCUAAGCUAGUAAUCUAAUAAAAUAUACCAAAUGAGAAAUUCAAGGCUAUUAUUUAUAUUUCACAAUUGGACAAACACCAUACAUUAGAAUAAAAAAAUCUCACAGUACAGACGACAUCUGUUUGCAUGUUUUGAAAAUAGAUUUUGAAAAUAGUUUAAUUACAUGAUAAUUAAAUUAUAUUAUAAAACUAAGAAUAUGAUUUAAGUACUAUUUUAGCAAUUUUGAGUCUCACAUUGAGUAUUCAAGUUAAUUAAAUGUUGAAACUCUUUUCUAUUUGGCUUGAAAUCACUACUUAAUUAAAUUACAAAAAGUCGAUAAUGAAUGAUGUAGGACACAUAUGUAAAAUAAAUUUUAAAGUGUAAUUAAACAUUCCUAUCAAUAUUAGUUUCGUAUACAUGUUCAUAUAUUUUAUUGAAACCAUAUAUAAUUAAAUUUUGUGUAAUUAAGUAAAAUAUAUUAUUCAAGUGAAUUUAUGAGAAUAUUUAAAAUUAUAGGGGUGGUCACUGAAAUUUGCCAAACUUGAGCCAACCGUGCAUGAUCCAAACAAUUUAUUUUAAUAAUUCUCAAUAUGUUAGUCUGUUUGACUGUUGGCAAAAUAAAUUCCUAUCAGCAAUGCAACACAAUUCAAAAUCAUAUCUGCAUACAACGAACAAUAUCUCAUCAAAGAUCAAAUUAUACAUUUUUUACACCAAAGCAUAAAUAUCUAAAUUAUCCCUCUUCAACUCACCAAGCUCAUACCUAACAACAGCAAGAUUAAAUGUCAUUUGAUCCAUCUUUUUUAGUAAGCUUUAUCAAUUCUUCUCAUGGUUGCAAUUUUGAAAGCUCGCUUCGCUAUUUCCAUUUGCUUUUAUGCUUUGUUUGAGCUCCAUCUUUUCUCUCCAUCUACAUUUUACACUGUAAAAAAAAUUUUAAAAAAAUUACAAAGCUUCUUAUACUAGAAUAUGAGCAACAAUAUAAAUAAUAAACAAUAAAGUUAUGAUAGCACAACAUACUCAUUAAAGUGCUUCUUUUUUUUUUUCAACAAGAAAUUACUACUGAAUUAAAGAAUUGGCUUUGCAUUAAGGUUUGCCUUCAAUAACUCAACUCCCCACUUGGGUUUUGUCGUUUUCUUAAAAUCUCUGCUCAAUCAAUUUAAAGAUCCAUUUUUUUUUUCUUUCCAAAGAUCUAAAAGCAAUGUCUUUUAUUGGUACCCAACAAAAAUGCAAGGUCUGUGAGAAGACAGUUUGUCCAGUUGAGCAGUUAUCUGCUGAUGGGGUUGUUUAUCACAAGUCUUGCUUCAAGUGCUAUCACGGCAAAGGCACACUCAAGCUAAGCAAUUACUCAUCCCUGGAAGGUGUUCUUUACUGUAAGCCUCACUUUGAGCAGCUUUUGAAGGAGUCGAGUAACUUCAACCAGAAUUUCCAAUUACCUGCAAAGUCAGCUGAGAAGUUAACUCCUGAGCUGAGAAGGUCGCCUAGCAAAGUUGCCAGCAUGUUCUCUGGGCCCAAUAAAAAUGUGCUUCUUGCAGUAAAACAGUGUGUCCGUGGGAGAAGGUAGCAGUGGAAAACCAAGCCUCUCACAAGACAUGUUUCAAGUGCUCACAUGGUGGUUAUUCCAUUAGCCCGUCAAAUUACGCAGCCCUAGAAGGCAUCUUGUAUUGCAAACAUAAUUUCUCCCAAUUGUUCAAGGAAAAAGGCAGCUACAACCACCUUAUAUCAAAUCUGCUCCCAUGAAGCGUGCUGCAGUCUCUGUUCAAGAAGCUUGAACACGUUAUGUUAUCUUCCAUAAAUCUUAUUUGGCGUGGGUUUUCUCUGGCUUGAGGGUGUGCUUUCUAUUUUGAUCCCUCUUGUUGUUUUUGCGGGGAACUACCAAACCUUCGGUUCCCUCUGCUUCUUUGGAUCAUCUUUGUUUGGACAAAUUUCAUGUAAUUAGAGAUACCGAUUUAUGGGAGGCAUAAUCCCAUGGUCGUAAAUUGACCAUUUUCUGGCAAUGUUCUUUUUAAAAAGAGAUGAGCAGUUGUUUAAAAAAAAAAAAAAUUGCUUGCCUUCAUCAUUGUAUAUUACCAAACUGCUAUGUAUAGCUGCUAACUAUGAGCAUCCGAAAAUAUGGUGCAUCGUGAUUCAUGUAGUGCAAUAUGGCUACCAACGCAUCCUAAAUGGAGUAUUACUCAGUUAGUCAGCAAAAUAAGACAACAUAACUGAUAUUAAAAAAAAAAAAAAACUACAUUAAUAAGUGGGCAAGAUCAUGCCAGUUUAACUUUUCGCGCGUCGCUGCUGGAGAUGAUCAAAUCGGGGCAUAGAAAAGGAGAAUGGAAUCAGAGGCUAAGAUUAAUAAGUGGGCUUCUGCUUGCUUUGCCCUCUUUCUUAAACGAUUGGUAGACUGCUGCUUCCGCCGAUUAACCGGGUCUUCAACCACUGCUUUUACUGCCUGCCAUCUUGUUGUUUGUCGAAGGGAUGAAUUCGAGUCGAAAAGAGAAAGCGCGCUGAAAAAGAUAAAUCACUAGUGGUUAACUGCUGACUCAGCCAAGUGUUGGCUUCACUUGAUUCACCGAUUGAGGUUAUUUUGUCUUCUAUCUAAUGCAGCGAAGAAGCUUUGCUGCUUAACAUGCUGCAAUGCAACUUUAUCCUUUGAAGUUCACACUCCAGGGCUGCGCACUUUAUGUAAUCCUAUGAGUAAAAAGAAUUUGUUUUCAAAUGUGAAAAAAGAAAAUGUAAGGUAGUAACUAAAUAUAUUAUAGCAUCAAAGCAAGAUUUGAUAUGAAUUUAGUACAACAAAGAACAUCAAAUCUGUGAUUCCUUGUCUAAUGUCACCAUCGAGCAACAAAUUUAAAAGCCUACCUAUCAAAUACACGAGGCAAUAAACGGAGAAAAAGUUGAAUUACAAGAACAAGUUUACAAUUCUUGUCAAUGGUUAAUGAUUUGUGAACUGAGAUAUCAUUCAAGAAUCCAAUUUCAAUACAACAACCUAAAAGAUAAACAGAUGAUGAAUUUUAUGAGAUAAAAAAGGAGAUCGUGUUUUAUCGUAUCUCUAUUUUCUUUCUUUUUAAAUUUAUGAGAUAAAGCGGUUGGUCCAGUUACGGUGUUAUGCUAACGGGUUUAAAGGUUCCGAUCCAAUGAGUUAGGGUGGAAUAUGAAUAUAUAAAUUCCAUAGCAUGUAAGGACUAGGAUUUGUUUGUUCAUAUCAAGAAAAAAAAUCUGAAAAUUUGAUGAUCAGAAGAUAAAAACACUUAAACACGUUUAAGUAUCAAUAAAUACUUGCUGCUGUAGUUUGAAAAUAAAAUGAGUUUAUCUUGUUGCUGUUUGAUAAAAAUUUAUACUAUUUUUAUUAAUUUUGUCAAAAUCAAUAUUUAGACAUUAUAUUUACCAAGCAUUAUCAUUUUUUUAAUCUCAUAAUUAAUUAAAAUUUUCAUUUCAUUCAAUACAGUAAUUAAUUAGAAUUGUAGCAUAAGCCCAUUUUAAUUUUCUUUCUUUAGGCUAUAUACGCUACUUAUAAGAAAAACUUAUGGACCAUUGACCUAGGCUUAUACAAUAAGCCAAUUUAGAAAUUGUAGACUCACUCUAUGGAUUACUCAUGAGUUGUGGAUGAUGAGUUCUUCACUAACGAAGUGCAUUGGAUAUCAUAUAACGUAAAAACACACAUUGUCAUUAGUCUAUUGCAAGCAUUCCCAUUUGGCACCGAAUCUUUCUCAUUAGCCUAUUGCAAGCGAUCCCAGCCACUUGGAAUCAAAAUUUAGUGAAUUUACAUAUGUUGUCUCGAAGUGGUGUCUCUUAUGGUUGGGUGUUUUUAUAAAUUUCUUAAUUGCUUCGAAUACCAUGGCUGAUGCAACCGUUUCUACUAUCUUGGAGCAGCUGAUUUCCUUCGCUGCUGAAGAGAUAAAACAACAGGUGAUCGAAGUUGCACCCCUCAUAUUACAAAUGCUUCCAAUGAUUUUAAUUGGUUUUGUUUUUAUCAAAAACAUUAUAUAUUUUUUCUUUAUUUUAUUUAUCUGGUAAUUUUAGAUUUUGAAAUUUGAAUUGAAUUUAAUUAAAAGGUGAUGUAGUAACCACUUAUUUUUAUUUUUUUUUAUUUAUAUUCUCAAUAACUACUCAUAGUUUGGUAACUUACUAUAACUUCCAUAUCUAAGAAAUGAUCCAAACCCACAAUUUUAACUCAAGUUUGUCAAACAGUCAUUAAUUCAAUGUUUAGUAAAAAAAACACUUCUCAGCACAGAAUUCCAUGUCCAUUACUUAGACUCUAUGAAAAAUUUCAUAAUUUUCUUACAUUCUUUGAGUUUGGUAAGUGAUUUCAUAUAUUUUCUAUUCAAUAUAAAUUUUAAUUUGUUUUCUUAUAUACUCUCUUUGCUGAAUUUGUAUCUUUUAUGAUUCUUAGAUUUUGGGCUCUAACUUUUUAGGAUUUGAUAGUCACAUUUUAUGCCAUGCUUAGAUUGAUUUUCAUGAUUUUUACUACCCGUUAAGUGACUUAGAAUUUGACAAAAGUUUGAAAGGAAAUCUGCUUCAGGAUUCUGUUUUAAUUGACCCUUUAGUGGAAAUAAAAUGCUUAUAACUUAAUGUGGAUGCUAUGUAAAAUCAUGAAAUUUGGAUAGAAUUAACUAGAAAUAUGUACAAGACUCUCCAUGAAGUCUCAUAAUUUUUCAUUCGGUCUGGGGUGUUACAGGUGAAGCUUGUGGUUGGUGUCGAAAAAGAAGUGAAAAGCCUUACCAGCCACCUUCAAGCCAUUCAAGCUGUGCUCGAUGAUGCAGAGGAAAAGCAAGUGAAGGACAAAGCUGUUAGACAUUGGCUGGGUAGGCUCAAGUAUGCAUCCUACGACAUUGAAGAUGUGUUGGAUGAGUGGAUCACAGGAAGACGCAAAUUGCAAAUUGAGGGUGGCAUUGGUGAAAAUGCUCUUAUUGCUCCUCAUAAGAAAAAGAAGGUACGUUUCUGCUUUCGUGCCUCUUGUCUUGGAUUCAAAACAGAAGAAUUUGGCUUCAAACAAGUCUUUCUACGUCAUGACAUUGCCAACAAGAUCAAAGAAAUGAAUGAAGAGCUACAUGAUAUUGCUACUCAAAAAGACAUGUUUAAUCUUGUUAAGAGUGGCAAUAACAGUAGUGAAAGACCAAGGCGUGUACAGAGUACCUCCUUGAUUGAUGAGGAAGAGAUUUGUGGUAGAGUUGGUGAGAAGAAUGAACUCAUAAGCAAGCUGUUGUGUGAGAGUAGCGAGCAACAAAAAGGCCUCCAUAUCAUCUCAAUUGUUGGUAUGGGAGGCAUAGGGAAAACUACUCUUGCACAACUAGCUUGUAAUCAUGACGAGGUGAAGAGAAAGUUCGACAAAAUUCUGUGGGUGUGUGUAUCAGAAACUUUUGAGGAGUUUAGGGUUGCCAAAGCAAUCGUUGAAGCUUUGGAUGGUCGUGAAUCUCAUUUAGGUGAAUUCCAAUCUCUUCUUCAACAUAUUGAUGAAUCCAUUGCAGGGAAGACCUUUCUUCUUGUCUUAGAUGACGUGUGGGAUGGAAAUUACUUGAAAUGGGAACCAUUCUACCGUUGUCUAAAGAAUGGUCUCCAUGGAAGUAAAAUUAUAGUUACCACACGUAGUGGGUCCGUUGCAUCCAUGAUGGGAUCCAUAGAUAUUAUUCCCAUUAAGGAAUUAGCUGAAGAGGAAUGUUGGUUGUUGUUUAACAAGAUAGCAUUUUUUGGUAGGCCUAUUGAGGAACGUGAAAAAUUAGAACAAAUUGGGCAAAGAAUUGCAGGCAAGUGCAAAGGUUUACCUCUUGCAGCAAAGACAAUAGGGAGUCUCAUGCGUUCUAAACAAACUGAAGAAGAGUGGAAAAGAAUUUUAAAUAGUGAUUUAUGGAAAGUAGAAGAGAUUGAGAAAGAUGUUUUGUCCUCUUUAUUGUUGAGUUAUAAUGAUUUGCCAUCUAGAGUAAAAAGAUGUUUUUCAUAUUGUGCUGUCUUUCCAAAAGACUACAAUAUAAAAAAAGACGAACUAAUCACAUUAUGGAUGGCUCAAGGUUAUCUUAGUGCAGAAGCAGCAGAACAAGAUGAGGAGUUGGAGACUAUAGGUGAAGAGUAUUUUGGCAUCUUAGCUUCUCGCUCUUUCUUUCAAGAGUUUGAGAAAAGUUAUGAUAAUCGUAUUAUAGAGUGCAAGAUGCAUGAUAUGGUACAUGAUUUUGCCCGCUUUGUAAGUCAAAAUGAAUGUUUUUCGAUGGCAAUUAAUGGUAGUGAAGAACCAAACGCCACAAACGCUCUUGAUGAGAAGGUCCGUCAUUUAAUGUUAAUAUUUAGUAAAGCGGCUUCAUUACCUAUUUCCACUCUUAGAGUUAAAAGAAUGCGUACCCUCUUAAUUAACGAUCAUUCAUUAUUAAAUGCUGCGAUCCUAGAAGAAUUAUUUAGGGAAUUGACAAGUUUAAGGGCAUUAGAUUUUGGCGGAUCGUACCACUCAACGCGGUUGUUGACUCCGGAGGUUCCGAGAAACAUAGAAAAGCUGGUACUACCGGAGACAUUGUGUGAGUUAUAUAAUCUAGAAAAGUUAGAUAUUAGUGAUUGUUUUAAUCUUAAAGAAUUACCUGAAGGGAUUGGGAAGUUAAUAAACGUGAAGCAUUUACUAAAUAGAGGUACUAAUUCUUUAAGGUACAUGCCAGUAGGGAUUGGGAGAUUAACAGGUCUUAGGACCUUGGGUGAGUUCCACGUGAGUGCAGGAGGAGGUGUUGAUGGUAGGAAAGCAUGUAGGCUUGAAUCUCUUAAAAACUUGGAACACCUUCAAGUAUGUGGUAUAAGUAGACUGGGUGAUGUAUCAGAUGUGGGCGAGGCUAAGCGAUUAGAACUUGACAAAAAGAAAUACCUCUCCAGUUUGACCCUUUGGUUUGAUAAGGAGGAGGAAGAAGAAGGAGAAAGAAGGAAGAACGAGGACAAUCAACUUCUUCUUGAAGCCCUGCGACCACCUCUCAAUUUAAAGGAAUUAGAGAUUGAGUACUACCGAGGCAACACUGUUUUCCCCAGCUGGAUGACGUCAUUAACCAACUUGAAGAGUUUAGAUCUCUCUUCCUGCGAAAAUUGCGAGCAGCUGCCUCCUUUGGGAAAAUUGCAGUCCCUUGAAAAUCUCCACAUAUGGCGCAUGGAGAGUGUGAAGAGAGUGGGUGAUGAAUUUUUGGGGAUAGAAAGUGAUCAUCAUGGCUCAUCUUCAUCUUCAUCGGUUAUUAUUGCCUUCCCCAAAUUGAAAUCACUUUCAAUUGAGGUUCUGCGCGAAUUGGAGGAGUGGGAUUAUGGGAUUACAAGAACGGGAAACACCGUCAUCAACAUCAUGCCACGUCUUUCUUCAUUGACAAUUAAUUACUGCUCCAAAUUAAAGGCACUGCCCGACCACUUUCAUCAAACGACAACAUUGAAGGAAUUGCACAUUUGGAAGUGCAGGCUUCUGGAAGAACGUUAUUGCAAUGGGGAAGGAGAAGACUGGUCUAAGAUAUCACACAUUCCCAACCUCCAUAUUGGGCUUUGACAAGUAAUUUCUUCUCUUACUCUGAUUUGCUUUGUUGUUGUUUUUAAUCUAAUUAAGAAGCGUAAAUAGCAUUUUGAAUCAAACUCUAUAUCAGAAAUCUGCAAUACUUACUUUCUAAUAUUCUGAUUUUCAUAUCCUAUGAAUAUACGAUUUUUAAUUUGUGAGAUGGGUAACGUUACUGUAAAAGAUUAUUAAUGCAAUAUGAGUAAUUCUUUUGCAGGACAAGUGACCUACAUUUAGUUUGGCUUUGGAGUUGAAUAAUAACCUUUCGAGGUCCCGACAACCAAAAAACGAAGCUUAAUUUGCCACAGAUUGCACGUAUUGCCAUUAUUGACAAUUUUCUGCACAAGCGUGACUGAACUUAGGUUGAUGUCAAAAGAGGUAAAUUAUUGGCAUGCCUGACUAUUUUGACCAUUACAUGAUUCAUAAGUUUACAUUAAUUUUGAUUUUGAGUUGAGUGAUUAAUUUUCUAUGUUUGCUUACUUUAACUGGGUGACCAAUUUCUUGUAACUAAAUGUAUGAUGUGAUGCAGGAAGCAGGGCAGGAUAUGAAAAGAGAAGCUUAUUAGAGGAAGGAUUGCCAGUAACAGAAUCCAAAGAAAAAGAAACCAUUUCGAGGCAGCAGUUGGCAGUUGGCAGUGAAUGGAGCCCCUUGAAAAAGUUCCCAAGCCGUUGCACUGCAAUUACGAUCAUCCUCGGCCUCAGGUAAUUUCUUCUCCUGCAUUUUUGUUAUUUGCUAUCAAGUGACUAUUUUAAGUAUGAUUGCAUUAAGCUGCUACUGGGAAAUUUGAGGUUUUGAGGACUGCCCAUGCUAUUGUCAGAAGCUGCGGUUCUUUUCAUCAGCCUGAACCUGGACCUGCCGCUAUGGAUAACUCAGGUUUUUUUUUUUUUUAAUCAACUGCCAUCUUUUCCACUGUUUAGAAACUCUUAAGAUUAAACUUUAGUAAAGAUGUUUUAGUUAUCCAUGUAAUCAGGCUGAGGAUACUUAGCUGCCUAUUUAGGCAAAUGUCAGAAUUUAGUUUGUUCGCUGGGAACUGGUGUGGACUGGCAAAGGAUGAUGAGAUAGUUUUUUGAGUGAGUAAAUUUUGGGAGCUUGAGUGUAUUGGGAUUUGCAAUUACAAUCAUCCUCUGCCUCAGGUGAUUUCUUCUCCUGCUCUGUCAUUGUUUGUUCUCUAAUUCAAAAGCAUAAAAUAUUUCAAUCAAUUUUUAUACCAGGAAUAUGCAAAAGUUUCUAAUAUUUUAUUUCCAUCUGUUACAAGAUCAAACUGAAGCAGAACUCAAUCAAAAGUAUGCUGCUUCUUGCGGAAAUCUUGCCUUUGUUCAGAUUAUGAAACCAUUUCCAUGCAGCAAAUUCAUCCAAAAAUUUGAAUAAGUUUCACGGUUGGACACUGUUGGCUUCUUUUUCUUCCGGGGUGCAUUUAGGUGCUAUCAAGUGACAGCUGUAAGUAUGAUUGCACUAAGCUGCCGCUGGGAAAUUUGAGGUUUUGAUGGCUGCCCAUGUUAUUUUCAAUAAACUAUUGAUGUAAGAAGCUGUGGUUCUUUUCAUCAGCUUGAACCUGAAACUGUCGCUAUGGAUAACUCAGGUUUUUGUUAUCAACUAUAUCAUCUUUUUCACUAUUUUGAAACUCUUAAGAUUAAACUUUAGUAAAGUUGUUUCAGCUAUUCAAAUGAAAAACUCAUUGAUUUGAGACUUCCUUCAUUAUUGUUUCUAAUUACAAUGCUAACGAUCCAGAUAAAAUAAUAUUUAAUCAACGAAGGUGUUGAUUGAUUUGAGACUUCCUUCAUUAAUGUAGACUUCCUUCAUUAUUGUUUCUUUUUCUUUUAUUCUAUAAAAUCUUGCAAUGAGCUUAGUGAAGCUGUUGUGCUAAUCAUGCCACUGCAUAAUUUGGCCCCUAAUGUGAGUACUCUGUUACAUUGUUCUGCAAAUUCUCCAGAAGUUAAAAUCAAUAAAUUUUCUAUUAGCUCUAGUGCUUUGACCUAAAUGCUAUUCUAUAUUCUGAUUACAAUGUUUUAACCUUUAAAUUAACUACCCCUAGAUGUUGGAUUUUCUAGAACUUCAAAAUGAUUAAUGGAGAAAGAUCCCAUUAUCGUUAUUGCUAUAAGAAAUUGAUUUAUGCAUCCAAAGAUACAUUAUAUGUUUCUGUGUCUCUAUUUAUAGAUGACACCUAAGCAUCCCAUUAUCUAUUAUUUAUUUUAUAUUUUGAAGAAUUUAAUGGGUAAUCCUAAUUGUUUGUUUAGGCAGGUAUGUGUUGUUAUCUCCUUCUAUCUUACAGUCGUACCUAAAUAGCAUAGUUUCAUCUGUGUUACCAUGUGAUGUACAUAAUUUCACAUUUGCCUCAGAUUAAGCUUAAUUUCCCACAGAAUAGAGCUGCCGCGACUGGACUUAGGUUGAUGUCCAAAGAGGUAAAUUAUUGGCAUGCCUAGAUAAUUUGGCCAUUUCCUAAUUCAUAAGUCUACAUUAAUUUUGAUUUUGAGUUGACUGAUUUCUUUUCAAGGUCUGCUUCCUUAACAGAGUGACCAAUGUUUUUCAACUAAAUUUAUCAUAUGAUGCAGGAAGCAAGGCAGGAUAUGAAAUGAGAAGCUCAUUGGUGGAAGUAUUGCCAGUAAGAGAACCCAAAGAAAAUGAAUCUAUUUCAAGGCAGCAGUUGGCAGUUGCAAGUGAAUGGAGGCCCUUGACAAAAUUCUCAAGCGGUUGCAAUGCAAUUACGAUCAUCCUCAGCCUCAGGUAAUUUCUUCUCCUGCUCUGUUUUUAUUUGUUAUCUAAUUAAGAAGCAUAAAGUAUCUUGAAUCACUUUAUGUAUCUGGAAUAUAUGCAGCAGUUUCUAAAAUUUUGAUAUGAGUGUAAUGAUGGUAAUUUCUGUUUUUUGUCUGUCAUUGAAUGUUAGACAACUUUCAGUGAGACUCUUGAACCGAGACAUUUUGGACAAAUGAAGGACAAGUGCUGAAGAGUGGGAAUGGUGCUAGAUUGGGGAAUAAAGACAAAGGUGGUAAAUUAUUUGCAGUUUAUUCAGCAUUAUUUGCUUUCGACCAGCGCCUGAUUCACAAGUCUACAUAAUUUGGCUUUUGACCAGUUGUUAAUAAAUUUUUAAUUCCAUUGGUGCUAAAUGUACACGUGAAGCAGGCAGAGCAGGACUGUGGAAAUGAGAAGCUUUUUAGGGAAAGCUUAAACUCAGGUAAUUCUAAAAAUUAAUUCUGAUUGUUCCGAUUUAUCUAAAUCAGGAAAUUUUAUUUCCAUCUGUUACAAUAAAACAGAAACAGAACACAGAGAAAAAUAUUCUACUUCUUGUGGCAAUCUUGCCUUCAUUCAGACUAUGAAACCAUUUCCUUUCACCAAUUUCUUCCGAAAGUUUGAACACGUUUCAUGGUUGGACAUAGUUAGCUUCUUUUUCUUUUGGUGCAUUUAGGUGCUAUCAAGUGACAACCAUAAGUAUGAUUGCAUUAUUGGGAAAUUUUAGGUUUUGAUGGCUCCCCAUGUUAUUGCCAAGAAAUUUUAAGUCCUCAUGUCAGAAGCUGCGUUUCUUUUCAUCAGACUGAACCCGAACCUGUCACUAUGGAUAACUGAGGUUUUUGUCAUCAACUCUAUCAUGUUUUUCACUGUUUUGAAACUCUUAAGAUUAAACUUCAGUAAAGUUGUUUCAGUUACCCAUGUAAUCAGGCUAAGGAUAUUUAGCAGCUUAUUUAGGCAACUGCCAGAAUUCAGUUUGUUCGCUCGAAACUUGUAUGGUGACAAGGAUACUGGCAAGGAUAGUGAGAUAGUUUUUUGUGUGAGUGAAAUUUGAAAGCUUGGGUGUUCUGGGAUUUGCAAUUGCAAUCAUCCUCUGCUUUAGGUGAUUUCUUCUCCUGUUCUGUCUUUAUUUUCUCUCUAAUUGAAAGCAUAAAGUAUUUCAAUCAAAUUCUGUACCAGGAAUACGAAAAAUUUACUAAUAUUUUAUUUCCAUCUGUUUGCAUUGAUAACUUGGCCGCAUAUGUACUAGUUAAAGAACAAACAGAAGCAGAGUUCAGGAAAAAGUUUCUUCGGCCACCAUAUUUGAAAAUGAAACCAUUUCCAGGAAGCAGUUGGCAGCAAAUUCAUACAAAGUAUAGACAAUGAUGAGCAAAAAGGUGAUUUGCAAUUUCAUUUUUUUAAAAUGAAAUUAUUUGUUAAGUUGGAGCUGAUAUUGUUAGAAGGCCACUGAGCUAACCUAUGACACUGCUUGCCUAGAUUGCAGGAGGUCAAGACUCAAAAGAUGCACUGAAUUUUAAAAGGCAUGCAAUAAUUCUUAUGGCCAUUUGUCAAUGGUGGAAGGCUUUUAGCUUCUUUUCCUUUCGUGCAUUUUGGGGUUCUAUCAAGCGACAGCCGUAUGUAUGGAUGGAUAUAGCUGAAGGACAACAUUUGUCCAUGAGGUUCCUAAAAUCGCAACUUUUGUGCAGUAAAAUUAAAACGGACGGCGGAAGCUCUAGAAACCUCGGAUCGGCUUCAUUCAAAAACUAAAAUCAAGAGGAAAGAUUGAAGUUUAAUUACCUCACUUGCAGUUUCGAAAAAGACUUCUUGAGGUAGGAGAAAACGACUGAAAACAGCAAGCUACGAACACUGUCCAGAAAAUACAGCUCUGCACGAACAGCUUCUGUUUUGCCACGAUCUGAGAUCCUUAAGCACCCCAAUUGUGAUGCCUCUAAUUAUUCCACACUUAUAAAUGUUCUAGGAGUUCAGAGGAUUUUGAAUCACGAAAUUUCGUUUAGAAAUGAGAGAGAUAAUGAUGAAACAUGAAUGCUAGUUCAUGAUGAUUCCCCUUCCACCAAAUAAAGCACCAUUAUGUCUAAUAAUGGCACCAAACAUUAUCAUGUGCUAGACCCAUCCACUUAGCUAUAAUUUAUUGAAAGUGAUCUUAUCACUUAAAUAAAUUAUUUAAUCAAAUUAAUAAAUAGCUAAAUUAAUUAAUUUCGUAAUUAAUUAAUUAACCCCAUUUUGAUCAAAUCAAAUGGUUAAAUGUGGGCUCAUUUUGUGACAUGUUCUAAUGCUUUCUCUUAAUCCAUAUUAGAUCCAAUAAAAGCCCAAAAUUCUAAACCCAAAAAUGGUCUAGAAGUCCAUAAUCAUAUAUGAACCCGAACAUGUCCAAAAUGGUCAUUUUACGUGCUCGAUAUUACAUAAUGUUUAAUGGAGGAUUUACGAAAUUUAUUUUGUUCCUUAAACUAUUUAUGGAACAUCUAAAUUUCUAUCUUAAAUCAUAUUUAAGAUAUAUUUAUAUAUAUAUGUAUAUUCAUUCUCAAUGAAUUAUAAUAUAAAUAUUGAUUUUCCUAAAAAUAGGAAAUUUAACUUCUCAUUUUCUAGUAACUCCUUUUUCAUUUCUAUUUAAUGUGUGACCUUUUAGGUUCUUAGUUAUAAGGUAGUAGAACUAUUUUAAUGAUAACUCUUUAUUCAUUAAAUGAUGCUAAACUCUUUAGUCAUCAAUUAGAACUCUUCUAAUGACCUUAAGAUGCAUUGAUAAUACGCUUUACCAAUAUUGAUCUUAAGGUUUCUACAAGUCAUGAGUGACACCUAGCAGUAUAUCACAACUAUCCAAAUAACAAGAAUUGUUGGAUCUAUAGAACCUAUUCCAUUGUACCUCUAUGUCUUGGUCUCUUCAUCAUCCAUGUCCAAAGAAAAGCACGGCUUAUGGUUUAUUAUGUUAAGCACUUAUGCUUUAUCUCAAAACAAAUCUAAAUGAACUUGACAUGAAAAUAUAAUUUGAACUCCUUCAAAUAUAUUUCACCUUGGCCAAGGAUUUCUCAUGCCAAUUCAUAUUAUCUCAUAGGGACAUCCUUUUUGUAUAUUACAAAGUGAUGAAUUCCAUAUUGGCCAUGCACUAGUCUUCAUACAUAUCCAACCAUGACAGUUAUUGCUAGAUCUCUUCCGUGAUUAGGAAUCAAUCAUUAUGCAUUCACAUAUCAGAGAUGUCUAUGUAUAAGACAUCUGUUAUGCCUCAGGUCUAAAAACCAUUACUAAACAUAGUGUUUAAUACAAUGUAUAAUAAGCCAUUAACACUCAAGACCAUAUAGCUUACUAUAUUUGGUCAAGUUUAGUAAACUUGUUCUCUCAACAAGUAUCUAUGUGUUUGACUUGACAUCUCAUGUCAAUGAUAUGAAACUCACCAUCUAUUUUAGUAUCACAUACCAUAAGGAGUCAUAACACAUACUAGUGUUUAUAGAAAUUUAUAAUGUCCAAUCAUAAAUCCACCACUAGGAACUAUUUUAGAAGUAUAGUACAAAGGAUACACGUUUCAUAUUCUCGACAAACUCGAGAAUGUGUUCCUUAACUAUUUUACAUCUUGGACUAUAUUCAUUAAAUUAAUUAAUGAAUAUUGAUAACUUUGCCAUUUUAUAAAUAUCAAAAUGCUAUUCAAAUACGAUAAUUCCCUAAACAAACAAACACCAUUUGAUUGGCCUUUAGGGCAUAUUACUAACAAUCUCCCACUUGCACUAAAGCCAAUCGCUAUGGUAUCUCAUACCCAUCUUCUCAAGAUGACGAUCUAACUCUUGUUGAGUAAGUGCUUUAGUCAGAGGAUCCGCAGUGUUAUCAGCGGAGGCUACUUUCUGCAUAGUGAUAUCACUCCUUCCAAUGAUUUCUUUGAUAAUGUGAUAUCUUUUUUCUAUGUGUUUGGACUUCUAGUGAGACCUUGGUUCCUUAGCUUGUGCUAUAGCUCCAUUGUUGUCACAAUAUAAAGAGAUUGACAACGCAAUGGUUGGAACCACUUCAAGUUGUUGAAUAAACUUCCGUGUCCAAACAGCUUCUUUUGCUGCAUCUGAUGCAACUAUAUAUUUCGCUUCAGUGGUAGAAUCUGCAGUAAUUGUUUGCUUAGAACUUUUCCAGCUUACUGCUCCACCAUUGAUAGUGAAUAAAAUCCUGAUGUAGAUUUUCUAUCAUCUACAUCUGACUGGAAAUCUGAAUAUGUGAAGCCUUCAAUUUUUAGCUUACUUUCUCCAUAUGUUAAGAACAAAUCUUUAGUUCUUCUGAAGUACUUAAAGAUAUUCUUAACUGCGGUCCAAUAUUCCUCACCCGGAUUACUCUGGUAUCUGCUAGUGACACUCACUGCAUUGAGCUAUAUCCGGUCUAGUACAUAGCAUAGCAUACAUAAGACUUCCAAUUGCAGAAGCAUAUGGAAUCUUAUUCAUUCGCUCUAUCUCAUCAUAAGUUUUAGGACUCAUGCUUUUAGAGAGAUGAAUUCCAUGUCUGAAGGGUAUAAAACCCCUUUUGGAAUCCCACAUAUUAAAUUUCUUUAAUAUCUUUUCUAUGUACUUAGCUUGACAUAGACCUAUUAAUUUUCUGGAUCUAUCUCUAUAAAUCCUGAUUCCCAAGAUAUACAUUGCAUCUCCUAGGUCUUUCAUGGAGAAGUUUUGAGAAAGCCAAAUUUUGACAGAAGACAUUUGUCCAAUGUCAUUUCCUAUAAGUAAUAUGUCAUCUACAUAUAGCACAAGGAAAGAUAUUGCACUCCCACUAACCCUUUUGUAAACACAUGGUUCAUCCUCAUUCUUGAUGAAACCAAAUGAUUUGAUUGCAUCAUCAAAUCGGAUGUUCCAGCUCCUGGAGGCUUGUUUUAGCCCAUAAAUGGACUUUCUUAGCUUGCAUACUUUAUGAGGAUUUGUCUUAGAUUCAAAACCACAAGGUUGUAUCAUAUAGAUAUCUUCCUCAAUGUACCCAUUAAGAAAUGCAGUUUUGACAUCCAUUUGCCAAAUCUCAUAGUCAUAAUAUGCUGCUAUAGCCAAUAAGAUUCUGAUGGACUUUAGCAUGGCUACUGUUGAAAAGGUUUCCUCAUAGUCGAUACUUUGUAUUUGACGAUAACCUUUAGCUACCAACCUUGCUUUAUAGGUCUCUACCUUUCCAUCUAAGCCGAUCUUCCUCUUGAAGAUCCACUUGCAUCCAAUAGGUAUAAUACCUUCGGGUGGAUCCACUAGAGUCCAGACUUGAUUGGUUCUCAUAGAGUCCAUCUCUAAAUCCAUGGCUUCAAGCCAUUUCUUAGAGUCAAUAUCUGAUAUUGCCUCUUCGUAACUAGUAGGAUCAUCUCUAUGAUUUGUAUCACCCAAUAAAAAAUAUAUCGUUCAUCUGAUGAAGAAAACCAUAUCUUUCUGGUGGGUGAAUUAUUCUAUUAGAUCUACGGAGCUGCUGUGUUCCUUGUGUUUGUACUUGAACAAGUUCUUCAUUGGAUUUAUCCUCAUUAGAAUUCUCAAUAAAUUCUAUUUUUCUUCCUUGUCCACCUUCUUGAAUAAACUCUUUUUCAAGAAAUAUGACAUUUCUACUGACCAAUACCCUUUGAUCAGAUUGGAUGUAAAAGUAAUAACCCAAAGUUUCCUUUGGGUAUCCAAUGAACCUCCCACUAUCCGCUUUAGCUUCAAGUUUCUCACUCUUGAGUCUCUUGAUAAAAGCAGGACAUCCCCAAAUCCUAAGAUGAUUUAGGCUUGGUUGUUUACCAUACCACAUCUCAUACGGUAUUUUAGGUACAGACUUGGAAGGUACUCUGUUUAGUACAUAUGUUGCAGUAAGGAGAGCAUAUCCCAAAGAGAAAUUGGUAAGUCUAUAUAACUCACCAUUUAUCGCACCAUGUCUAACAGUGUGCGAUUUCUCCUCUCAGAUACUCCAUUAAGCUCUGGUGUACCUGGAGGUGUCCAUUGUGAAACAAUACCAUUUUCUUUAAGGUAAGACUGGAAUUCUCCACUGAGAUAUUCACCACCUCGAUCUGAUCGUAGGGUUUUAAUAACUUUUCCAGUCUGUUUCUCUACUUCAUUUCGGUAUUCUUUGAACUUUUCAAAGGCUUCAGAUUUAUAUUUCAUUAAGUAUACUGAACUAUACCUUGAGUGAUCGUCGAUAAAAGUUAUGAAGUAGUAAUAUCCACCCCUUGCCAUUUCAUUAAAUGGUCCACAUACAUCAGUAUGUAUAAGUUCAAGUAAAUCAGUGGCCCUUGUACUUCGUCCAACGAAGGGUGCCCUGGUCAUUUUUCCUUGAAGGCAUGAUUCACAAGUUGGAUAAGGUUCUAAACCAAAUGGACCUAUUAGUCCAUCUUUAGCCAAUUUUGUGACUCUAUCUUCUCCAAUAUGACCUAGCCUUAAAUGCCACUUAUAUUUGGGGCUUAUUUCUUCUCUUUCACGUUUAUGUGUUAUGGUAUUUACAUUCACAACAUGCUCAUUAUUUUCUUUCAUGUUUAGUACAUAUAGAUCAUUAUCUAAAGUACCAUGUGCAACAUAUUUAUUCUCAUGAUAAAUAUUACAAAUUUUAUUUCUGAAAUAAAAUUCAUAAUUGUCUUUGCAUAAACAUGAAAUUGAAACUAUGUUCCUUACAGCAGAAGGAACAAAUAAACAAUCAUUCAAACUUAUUACAUGCCCAGAUGUCAUUUUUAAGAAAAAUGUCCCUAUAGCUGAGGCAGCAACUAUUGCUCCAUUUCCCACUCUAAGAGACACUUCUCCUUGUUUAAGUCUUCUACUUCUUUUCAGAUCCUGCAUUGACAUACAAAUAUGUGCGGUCGCAGCAGAAUCUAAAAUCCAAGAAGUAGAAUGAAUGAUUGAAAUAUUAGUUUCAAUAAUGAGCAUACCUUCAGAAGGAUUCUCUUUAGGCUUGACUUUCAAGCUGUUGAGGUAAGAUUUGCAAUUCCUCUUCCAAUGCCCAUUCUUACCGCAAUGGAAACAUUUUCCCUUGUCAUUGGGCUUAUUAGCUUUCCCCUUCUUAAUCCCACCUUUAGCCUUGGGUUGAAACUUUUUCUUUUUACCCUUUUUAGUUGAGGGCCCUUCUAUAGCCAUAACAUCUUUUGGCUUCUUUAUGCAAGUUUCAGCAGUAUUAAGCAUCUUUAGCAGUUCAGCAAGACUGCACUCCAUUUUAUUCAUGUUAAAAUUCAUGAUAAAUUGAGAGCAUGAGUCUGGCAAGGACUGUAGGAUAAGGUCGAUAGCUAAUUCCCCAUCCAUUGAGAAAUUAAGAGCUUCCAGCUGCUCUAUGUAGUCAAUCAUUUUGAGUACAUGAUCAUUGACCGAUCCUUCAGUCAUUCUCAUUCUGAACAGUUUCUUAGAUAUCUCAUACCUAACUGUUCUGCUUUGUUCACCAUACAACUCUUGUAAAUGAAGUAUCAUGGAACUUGCAUCAGGCAUAUUUUCAUGUUGCCUUUGUAGUUCAUUGGACAUCGAUGCCAAUAUAUAGCUUUUAGCACUUAGGUCAUCAUCUUGCCACUUCUGAUAAGUGACACGAUCUGCCUCACUUGCUCCCUCAGGAAUUUCAUUUAGAUUAGAUGUAUCAAGAACAUAGCUAAUUCUCUCAUAAUUAAGAACAAUUCUUAAAUUUCUGAACAAAUCAACGUAAUUAGGUCCCGUCAAACGGUAGUUUUCCAGAAUUCGUGCUAACAGAUUAUUCAUUAUUAAGUAUUUCUGCAGAAAGUAUAAAUUAAAUUAUUAGCAUUUUAUUUUAUUAUAAUCUAUUUGAUUUUGGUCUUUAAACCAAAUAGUGCCUCCUGUUGAGUGUUAGAAAAUGCAUAUUUAUAAAGGAGAAAACCGUCAUUUUACAUUUCAAGUCUUAUUAACAACCCUUACUUUUAUGUAUUUAACAUUCUUGUGAUUUAAUUACAUGUGUUUAUUUUAAUUAAGUAAUUUAUGUAUUUUAGGGGCAUUAUAGUCAUUUCACAAUAAAAGAGAGAUCAGACGGCAAAACGGACAUCACUUUUGAACUCAGGACGGUCGAAAACCUUAGGAGGAGCAUAAAAGGAAAAAUGACACUAUUCACAUGUACGGUACUAUUCACGGGUACGGUAUUGUCUACGUUACUGUUCACGACAAUGUUCACAUAGACGGAUCAAUGACGUGGCAUUGAUUGAUGACGUGGCAUUGACUGAUGAGGUGUCACGAUCCUGUUGGACUAAAAUUCUUAUAUACUGUUGAUGGUGACGUGGCAGCAUAUUAGUGGACGAAAAAUCUCGCGUACGGUGCAUGCAUCACACAGGAUUAUUUUCAACCAAACCGCGUUACUGUUCAUCCGGGUCAAACCGUGUUACUGUUCAUCCGCGUGGUCAAACCGUGGACUCUUGACUGAUGACGUGGCGCAAUCUUGAGCGUCCAAACUGUUUUUAAUCCGAUGGCCAUGAUUUACUCCAUGUAUCUAUAAAAAGGGGGCCUCUCCCCCCUAAUUUGAUAUCUCUGAAUCCAUUUUUGGGAUCCAUUUUCUGUAAUUCCUUCUCCAUCUUGUAUUUUCUUCAUAUUUUAAUAAAUUUCCAUUUUGCCCCUAGUUCAAUUAUGAGUGGCUAAUUUUCUUUCAAGCUUGGGUUGAAGGUGAAGUCUCAACAUGUGUCAUGGGCUUUAUUUGGUAAAUUUAUUUUCUCUUCCCCUCUAGUUUUUGUGGAUGUUUUGACUUCUCGUCGACAAAUAAUACUAAUCUUGUCUAGUACCGCCUUGGUUUCACCGGCCUUCUAGUACAAGGUUAUUAUUAUUUGGCACGAUAAGCCCUUAGCACCAUAUUGAUUAGAGCGUGGUUCAUGAGGUGUGGAUUCCCCCUUCAUGAUUUAAUUGGCAUUAAUACGGAUUAUAUAGCCCAUGAUGCAUGUUGAUACGGAUCCAGAUACCCAAGUACGUCAAUUUAAUAGAUUUCAUUUUCAAGUUAUUCUUGCCAUUUCAAUUCCAAUUUUAGAAUUUAUUCUCGCCAUUUUAAUUUAAGUUUUAGCAUAUUCCAAAUCAUUUCAACCACAAAUCCCACCACCCAUUUCCAAAAUUAAUUCUACACAUAAUUAAAAUCCACCUCCUCGUGGGAUCGACACUCGUCACCAUUAGUCUAUACUACAAUAGAUUCGUGCGCUUGCGAGUACAUUAAAAUUUGCACAACACGUCCCACUAUUUUAUCAUUUCCUUACACUCCCAUAUGUAAGAAACGGAAACUCUCAUUGGUAAAAGUUUCUAGUAGGAAUCAGAUUCUCAUUAGCCUAAGUUUACCUCACCUAACAGUUCUUGGCUUACUUAUUAUAAUGAGUAGGUAACUCUUACCAAAUGCAUCUCAUGCAUGUACCGAUUAUCCUUCGGCCUCUAAAUCAUUAAUACCUCACCUGACAGUUCUUAGUAUAAAUGAUUUAGUUAAGUUUACCCUAAUACCCUUGCAUAUUUUCAUAACGUCUUACUAACUUCACCUAACAGUUCUUGGUAGCUUAAUGUAUGAAUUACGCAUCAUCGCAUGAUAUAUGGUUUAUUUUCAACAUUUUAAUGAAUGAGUAGCCCAUGUAUCUAUGACAACUAGCCCAAGCAUAAAAUAUUUUAAAUAUUCCAUUGGUAUUAGUAGGCCAUGAUGGAUAUUCUCAAUAUUCAUCAUUACAACUUAACAAUAAUUAUGUUUAUUUAAUUAGGGAGUAUUUGGUCAUUAUUAUGGUCUCACUUUUUAGCAUGUUAUUCCAUUUUCAAUAUUCAAAUAUGUCUAAGCACCCUAAUAUACAUCUCAUGCAUAUUAUAGACAAGCCAACUAAGGAUGAUCAUGGAAUUUUCUAAUAAAACCAAUUUGAGCCAAAAUUAGUUUUAAGGUCCACCUAGGUAUCAAGCAAACAAUAAUAAUUAUGAGACAUCCCAUGCCUCAAAUUAUCAAGCAAACAAUAAUGAUUAUGAGACAUCUUAUGCCUCAAAUUAUUACAAUUAUUAAUUUCUAUUUGAAUGGCCAAAAUAUCAUUGGAAGUGAUGCAACGAUCCACAAAGACUUCUUACUCCAACCUCCAAGGCAUCGCAACGUCCCUCCUUUGACAAUCAUCUUGUAGAAAUUACAUAUUUAGAAGAAUUGGAGUACAAAUUUAGGGGUAAUGGGAUACAAUCAGAUCUUAAUAGAAGGAGAGACAUGCAAGUCCCUAUUUAAAAAUAUAACAACCAUUUAAGCCUUUAGAAAUCGGCCAAAUCAACAAAUAAAUCAAUAGAUCAUUCAAUCACACAUAUAUUCAUUCAUCACAUGACAUAAAUAUAUCAUAAAAUAUCUAGGUCUUUCCAUGAUCGUCCUUCAUGCUAUUAUAAAUGGAAAUAACAUAAAUCAUGCUUCAAAAAUGCGAAAUUGAAUGAAGAUGGCUCUGAUACCACUUGAAGGACAACAUUUGUCCAUGAGGUUCCUAAAAUCGCAACUUUUGUGCAGUAAUAUUAAAACGGACGGCGGAAGCUCUAGAAACCUCGGAUCGGCUUCAUUCAAAAACGAAAAUCAAGAGGAAAGAUUGAAGUUUAAUUACCUCACUUGAAGUUUCGAAAAAGACUUCUUGAGGUAGGAGAAAACGACUGAAAACAGCAAGCUACGAACACUGUCCAGAAAAUACAGCUCUGCACGAACAGCUUCUGUUUUGCCACGAUCUGAGAUCCUUAAGCACCCCAAUUGUGAUGCCUCUAAUUAUUCCACACUUAGAAAUGUUCUAGGAGUUCAGAGGAUUUGGAAUCACGAAAUUUCGUUUAGAAAUGAGAGAGAUAAUGAUGAAACAUGAAUGCUAGUCCAUGAUGAUUCCCCUUCCACCAAAUAAAGCACCAUUAUGUCUAAUAAUGGCACCAAACAUUAUCAUGUGCUAGACCCACCCACUUAGCUAUAAUUUAUUGAAAGUGAUCUUAUCACUUAAAUAAAUUAUUUAAUCAAAUUAAUAAAUAGCUAAAUUAAUUAAUUUCGUAAUUAAUUAAUUAACCCCAUUUUGAUCAAAUCAAAUGGUUAAAUGUGGGCUCAUUUUGUGACAUGUUCUAAUGCUUUCUCUUAAUCCAUAUUAGAUCCAAUAAAAGCCCAAAAUUAUAAACCCAAAAAUGGUCUAGAAGUCCAUAAUCAUAUAUGAACCCGAACAUGUCCAAAAUGGUCAUUUUACGUGCUCGAUAUUACAUAAUGUUUAAUGGAGGAUUUACGAAAUUUAUUUUGUUCCUUAAACUAUUUAUGGAACAUCUAAAUUUCUAUCUUAAAUCAUAUUUAAGAUAUAUUUAUAUAUAUAUGUAUAUUCAUUCUCAAUGAAUUAUAAUAUAAAUAUUGAUUUUCCUAAAAAUAGGAAAUUUAACUUCUCAUUUUCUAGUAACUCCUUUUUCAUUUCUAUUUAAUGUGUGACCUUUUAGGUUCUUAGUUAUAAGGUAGUAGAACUAUUUUAAUGAUAACUCUUUAUUCAUUAAAUGAUGCUAAACUCUUUAGUCAUCAAUUAGAACUCUUCUAAUGACCUUAAGAUGCAUUGAUAAUACGCUUUACCAAUAUUGAUCUUAAGGUUUCUACAAGUCAUGAGUGACACCUAGCAGUAUAUCACAACCAUCCAAAUAACAAGAAUUGUUGGAUCUAUAGAACCUAUUCCAUUGUGUCUCUAUGUCUUGGUCUCUUCAUCAUCCAUGUCCAAAGAAAAGCACGGCUUAUGGUUUAUUAUGUUAAGCACUUAUGCUUUAUCUCAAAACAAAUCUAAAUGAACUUGACAUGAAAAUAUAAUUUGAACUCCUUCAAAUAUAUUUCACCUUGGCCAAGGAUUUCUCAUGCCAAUUCAUAUUAUCUUAUAGGGACAUCCUUUUUGUAUAUUACAAAGUGAUGAAUUCCAUAUUGGCCAUGCACUAGUCUUCAUACAUAUCCAACCAUGACAGUUAUUGCUAGAUCUCUUCCGUGAUUAGGAAUCAAUCAUUAUGCAUUCACAUAUCAGAGAUGUCUAUGUAUAAGACAUCUGUUAUGCCUCAGGUCUAAAGACCAUUACUAAACAUAGUGUCUAAUACAAUGUAUAAUAAGCCAUUAACACUCAAGACCAUAUGGCUUACUAUAUUUGGUCAAGUUCAGUAAACUUGUUCUCUCAACAAGUACCUAUGUGUUUGACUUGACAUCUCAUGUCAAUGAUAUGAAACUCACCAUCCAUUUUAGUAUCACAUACCAUAAGAAGUCAUAACACAUACUAGUGUUUAUAGGAAUUUAUAAUGUCCAAUCAUAAAUCCACCACUAGGAACUAUUUUAGAAGUAUAGUACAAAGGAUACACGUUUCAUAUUCUCGACAAACUCGAGAAUGUGUUCCUUAACUAUUUUACAUCUUGGACUAUAUUCAUUAAAUUAAUUAAUGAAUAUUGAUAACUUUGCCAUUUUAUAAAUAUCAAAAUGCUAUUCAAAUACGAUAAUUCCCUAAACAAACAAACACCAUUUGAUUGGCCUUUAGGGCAUAUUACUAACAAUAGCUGCUGCGUUGAUUUCUAAUGCGGUGGAGUAAUCGUCGUUAGAAUCUGAAUGAUAUGUCUAAGACGUUGCAUGCAUCAAGAAAAUUGCAGACGAUUAAACCUUGCCAUCUAUGCGUUGUAUGAGGUUAUAGCAACUAUCUAUCUGGUCACCGUUUUAAAAGAAUAAGACAAAGGGAAAAAGAGAAAGAAAAGAAUGAUUCGACAAUGGCAUUAAAGUUCAACAUACCCCAAGAUCUUGUAAUAAUGCCAUUAAUCAUUCUCUAGCUAGGCUAGCCUUAGAGAAAAGUGAAACUGUUGCACAGGUAGAAUCAAACCCCUCAGAGAUAUGAUGAGUUCGUGAUGCUUGCAUUUUAUUGAUGCUGAUGAUUCGUUGAAUGUUUUAUGUUUUUGAUUUUUAAGUAUUCCGGAUCGAAGUUUGUGUCUACGCGGAAAUUGUAAAGGCAGCAUAUAAAGUACUCGUCGUUCUUUAGAUUUUAUUGAGUACACUUUUGUCACAUUUAGCGUAUGCUAUACACUACUGAUUUGCGCAUUGACAUAUAUCUUAUUUUAUCAUUUUGAAUGAAUUACACGGCGAGGCUUAUCAACUUUGGAUGAAUCCUCCAAUUGUCACAGUCCAAGACUGGCUGCAGUGAGUGAAAAUUUACCCAUAUAUAUGCUGGCUAUUUUUAUUGGCGACGAAUUCGUUGUAGUUGGUCCAUCUUGCUAUUCUCGGACAAUAUUAGAGAAAAUAAUCAUAUUAUUUCGCGUGAUGUGACCUUCCAUAACUUAUCAAUUGAAUUACUGUAAAAUUAUUGUGUAAGUUUAGGCCCAAUGGCACUUUAGUUCAUCACAUGAUAGCCUGGAUUUAAAAGGAAAACUAUAUUGCAUUGCUUCAAAAAAAAAAUUUAAUGUUUUUAAUAUGAAUAUUUUUAACUAUAUUCAGUUAAAAUAAUAUAUUCUUAAUAUUAAUAUUCAUAGAUGAAAUUCUUUUGCGGAUUUAAGAAUAAAAUAUCAAAUAGUUUUAUUUUUCUUUUGUUGUGUAACUCGGACCGAAAAAGACAAUGAGCUUAACAUGACCCUCCUUCCGGCACUAUGCAUGUUUUUCUUAUAUUAAUGACAGUGCUCUUGGUGCUUCUCAUCUGCUUCUUGCUUUGGUUUCAAACAAGUCUUUCUCCGUCGAGACAUUUAUUGUAAUUUGAUUUGGAGACAUCUGUCGUUCAAAUAUAUUUCAUAUGCAAGCCGUUGAUAAUUCUGCUUGAGAAAGCCUACAAAGCAGCUGUGUGAUGUAAUAGAAGACUAUAUAUGCAAACGGUCAUCAGUUUCUCUUGAAUUCUUUCUUGAGUUUCUUUGAAUUAUUUGUGAAUGAGUUCUUAAUCGGCUGCUGCUCUUCAGGAAAAGGAAAGUGUUGCAAACUGGUGAAGCUGAUCGAUAAAAGCAAUGUACCAUCUUUGCUGGCAUGGAUCGAUGCCAGUGAGUUUUUUUAUUUGUCAACCUUUUUAAUAAUGCAUAUGUUUUUCUUCAACUUGAAGCGGCAUAUAAGACGAAAGAAGUGAUCUUUAAAGCAUUCUAUGGCAUUAUCCUUUCCUAUUAUAUAUAUCCAAUUGCUCCAAAUUAUUUGUAAAUUACUGAACACGAAUGCUGGUGAAUAAACUGAUGGCUCUAUGUAUGUAUGCACAUGCAUGGAGAAAUUUUAAGUCAGACAUUCUCAUAUAUAACUCGUGCUACCAAAUCAUUAAAUAAUCUUGAAAUCAAAGUAAUAAUUAAAUACAAAUAAAUUGCUCGAAUUGUACAUAUAUCUGAAUCAUGUAGUGAAGAAAAUACAACAACAACAACCAAUGGCUCAAAUUCCCCAUCAACUUCUAGUCUCAACACUUUUGAGUGUCAGAAGCAUUACUCUGCUACCAGUUAACAAACAUAUAAUUAGUAAUUAGCUAUUCACUUCCCUUUUAGGCCUACCACAUUUUCUACAAAGAAGCCAUAGAGAAUCAGCAGGAAACACUCAAUUUCAACCUAUGUAGGACCAGGAAUUUCAACCAAAAAAAAAAAAAGUGUGCAAUUGCUUAUCCUAUCCUAUUGCUACUAGAAAGAAAGUGAACAAUUAAUUUCAGUGAAUAAAUUAAAAAAAAAAUUACUUCUGCAGAUACUCAAGCUAAGAACACAUUAACCCAUUAAAGACUCCAAAUUGCAUCAAACAAAUUGUUGUUAAACAAGUAAAACAAAGAAAGAGAGUUAAGGAAGCUGACCUAGUAGUAGGGGAGCUGAAGAAAGACUGCCAGUGAAUGUAAGAGAAAAUAAAAUGCAAGAAAUGGUGAAGUGCAGCUUUUCAUGUCAACUUGAAAAUGAUUUUUCUGUUUUUUUUUUUUUUUUUUUUUUGUAAUCUUUUGGAUUUUUCAAACAAAGAAAAUGAGGAGCAACCAGGGAGAUAAAAAGGGCGCCAAGGCAACUGUGUGUUGGGUUUAGAGCCAAAAAAAAAAAAAAAGAAUAAGACAUCGUGUUCUUGUGGAGACCAGACCUAUUACGUAACGUCCCCUUCAAUACCACUUGUUCCGUAUCUGGUUUUUUCUUCGUCUUUUACAUAUUUAUCCUGUGAUUUUACAAUAACUAAAUAAUCCCCCCAUAGUUUGCAAUUUUAUUCAUUUGAGCCCUACAGAUUUCAGUAAUAGGAAUUAUUAAGGGACAAGAGCGCAAAACAGAAACUCUGUCCACUACUGAUGAUAUAACAACGAACCUUUGUUUUUUUCUUUUUCUUUUUUUAAAAAAAGAGUAACAAAAUAUCAUUAGACAAAUGAAAAUAUUAUCUAACAUCACCCUACUGAUGAUAUAACAACGAACCUUUGUAGUUUCUGCCUGUUAAUAUGAAUUGAUCGGGAGUGUUUCCUCAAUUAAAAAUUACGAAUUUACAAAAUAUGUAUGUAUGUACGUACGUAUAUAUGUAUGUACAUAUAUGCAUACACCUAUGUAACAUUUACUUAUCCAUUCUUUUGAGUUUAAAACUUAAUACACAUUUUCAUGAAAUUUUUUAUUUUAUUAAGUAUACAACUACAUUAAUGUAUAUAUUUUUUAUAUAAGACAUGCCGUCCUAUUAUUCGUAAGUAAAACAAUGUGUUGUGAAUAGUAUUCCGUGUUUUCUCAAAGUUGACUUUUCGUCUUUUAUUUUCAGACGCAGACGAUAUGUCAUUUUGUAAUCUUCCAAACAUAUACAGAGCUGAAUUGGUGUUAUCUGAUUUUGUGAUGCAAUGAUAUUUGCACUUCCUGUGCACUCAAUGGAAUCAUUUCUUUGUAACUAAUUGGGUGGUGGAAUCUAUCAAACUCCAGAAACAGGGAAACCAUGCCACGCUAGUAGACAAUAUGCUAGUUUUAACAAACUUGUUUGAAUGGCAAAAACGACAUGACCUGCUGUAGUAUUAGUUCUUUCCCGAACCAACGGGUGAUUUGCUACGUUGGAUCAUGAAAAUUGAAAAAAAAAAUUAACCAAAAUAAAAAUUCUUAAGGAAUUAGUUAGUUAAUUGAUUGAUCGAAUUUAAUCUAAAUUUGAAAAUGAUAAGAUAAAUUUAAAUUUAUUAUUAUUAUUAUUAUUUUAAAGUGGGUGGGUUUAUACAAUUUGAGCGGUGGAAAUAUCACUGCUGAAUUAUUAAAUAUACAGUGUAAAAUUUUGACCUUUAAAAUAUUCCCUUUUUUUUUAUUAUUUAGAACUAUAAGUUUAAAAAUUUAACAUUUUACCUCAAUAAUUAAAUACUUUUAACUUUAAUCUUCAAAUAUUUACCCUACAACAUUUGGACCUAAAUUUUUAAUCCGACUCGGCCCCUGACCCAAGUGGGAAGAAGAUCAGGCUUAUAAGUUAUAACUAUCACCAACAUAACAUCUUCUGGAAAAUAAUAAGAUUACUCACCUGCAAUUAUGUGAUCAAACUAAUGGUAAGCAAAAUAGAACAGCGUUAUUUCAGCCCCCUUUCAGUUUCUUUAUCAUUUUUCUUUUCCUAUUUAUAAGCUGAAUUCGGUUCAAAAUCGGCUAAUUCACUUUGAUUUCACUUUUCUUUCUUUCGGUUCAAAAAAAUUGAACCCAUUGGCUGUCAAUUCAAUUUUGUUGAAAACCAACUUUGCCUGAAUUUAAGUAAUAAUAGAGGAAAAAAACAAAAGAGUACUUAGCAGAAGAGAUUUCUCAUUUUUUUCUCAUUCAAACUUCUAAAAUAAAGGAAAAAAAAACAAGAGUAAUUGUUAAUUAUCAAAAUUUUGUUUAUACUAUUCCACCAAGAAAAUUAUAAAAAAAAAAUUUUAAAAAUUGGAGAAGAAAUAUGAGGUGAAAUACGUGGAUGGCUUAGACUAAUAAUGUGAACAAAUUCCUCUCGGAAACAUGUCAUUGUUCAUCCGGACAACACGCGGCGAUGAGAUUCAAGAAUGAAAGGAUAGGAAUCAACUGUAACCUCAUAAACAAAUGGGCUUGGAGUUGUAAACACCAAGCUCGGCAGAUUAAUUAAACAAAAAUAUCCGAAUUUUCUAUGAUAAUCUCUAGGAAACGAUCAGCUAUAAUGUACGAAAUUAAAAUAUUGCAUAUAUUUUUGAAUUUUUGAACUCAUGCAUUAAUUUCAAAAAUUAUAUCGUAUUAUAAUUUAUUCACAAAAGAAAGAAAAAUUCACUAAUCAAGUGAAAUCGUAUUCUUAUUGAAAUGAAUUCCAGUAAUUGGAUAAAUAUAAGUAUUUCUUCCAUUGUAAUUUUUGUUUAAUAGAAAAUCUAUUUGAGAUUUUGUGAGAAGAAACUCAACAAUAAAGUUUGAUAGACUUUGUGGAUAUUAAGAGUUUGACAAGUAAUUGAAAUCUGAAGUUUACUGAAGUUUACGAGCAAACAAACUGAAAUCCAAAGUUUACUGAAGUUUACUAUCAAGAGUUUCAAAACAGUGAAAAAGAUGAUAUAGUUGAUGACAGAAACCUGAGUUAUCCAUAGCGACAAGUAACAUACUGAAGUAAGCCGUUGGGAGCUGGCCUGUUCAUGGGCUAUUUUUCUCUGAUGAUCUGCAUUUUUCUUCCUUUUAAGUGAACCUUGACUCGUAUCAAACCUGUCAAAAGAACAGUUCAUCAACUGAGCUGAGAUUUGCUUUCCUUUUUCAAAACCCACCUGAGAUAUUGUAAUUCCCAAAUUUCUCUCUCUCAGCUACACGAGCAAGCAGCCGCUUUUUCACUUCAUCGAAGAAGGUAAGCGAUAUAUCUAUUUCGUCCGAUUGAUUUCUUGUUUCCUUUUCAGUGUUCGGGUAAAUUAUUGGCAUGCCUGACUUUUUGACCAUUACAUGAUUCAUAAAUUUAUAUUAAUUUUGAUUUUGAGUUGACCGGUUACUUUUAUAGGUUUGCUUACUUUGACUAGGUGACCAAUUUCUUGUAACUAAAUUUAUGACGUGAUGCAGGAAGCUGGGCAGGAUAUGAAAUGAGAAUCUUAUUAGUGGAAGGAUUGCCAGUAACAGAACCCAAAGAAAAUGAAACCAUUUCAAGGCAGCAGUUGGCAGUUGGGAGUGAAUGGAGGCCCCUGACAAAACUUCAGUAAACUUCAGAUUUCAGUUUGUUUGCUCGAAACUUGCAUGGUGACAAGGAUACUGACAAGGAUAAUGAGAUAGUUUUUGUGUGAAUGAAAUUACGACCAUCCUCAGCCUCAGGUAAUUUCUUCUCCUGCUUAGUUGUUAUUUGUUACCUAAUUAAGAAGCAUAAAGUAUCUUGAAUCAUUUUCGUUGUCUGGAAUAUAUGCAACAGUUUUUAAAAUUUUGAUAUCAGUGUAAUGAUUGUAAUUUCUGUUUUCUGUCUGUCAUCGAAUGUAAGGCAACUUUAUUAAGACUCUUGAACCGAGUCAUUUUUUACAAUUGAAGGACAAGUGCUGAAGAGUGGGAAUGCAAAAAUUUUUGUUGUUUUUAGCCUUGUUUUCUUUGAACCAGCGCCUGAUUCUCAAGACUCCAUUAAUUUGGCUUUUGAUCAGCUGAUUGAUAAAUGUUCAAUUUCUUUGGUGAUAAAUGUAUAUGUGAAGCAGGUAGCAGGGCAUGACUGUGGAAAAGAGAAGAUUUUAGUGAAAGCCGAGACUCAGAUAAUUCUACGCGUUUUGGCUGAUUUAUAUAAUUCGUGAAAUUUUAUUUCCGUCUGUUACAAGAUCAAACUGCAAUUAGCAAUUUAACAUUCCCUUAAAACCACUAGCUACAUUUCAUCUUUCCACAAUUACACUUAAAAUUCCACUAAAAGAAACUCUUGAGGUGCUCUGAUGAGCAUAUAAUAUAUACAUAUUUUACCCUUAAUUAAAUAAUUGCUAGUUAUAUUUAUUUGUUAUUUUUAAUUAAUUGAAUUAUUUUAUUGCAUAGAGAAUUAAUUGAAGAUUGGAAAUAAAAAGUGCAAAAAGAAUAACAAUUUAGGAGAAUAUUAGUUGAAGUCAUGACAGAGUUAAGAGCCAAGAGCAAUUUGCAUUGAAUUUUAAUUCUCCAAUUGAGUUGCACGUGCAUGGCAUUGCAAAAGUGGAAAGCAAUUUAAAUGGGGCCCACACUUGACUUUCAAAAGUGGAAUUAAUGGCUUAUGGUGGCGUUAUUAUGGAAGCUUUGUUUUAUAAUUGGAAAAGGAUUUUAAUUAGUAGACAAAGAGGAUUCGGUGGUUAAGCAUUAUAAAAAGAGCGUUUUGGCUUUUGAAUGAGGGGAGCCGCCAGAGGACGGAAACAAAAGGGCUGGAAGAGAGCAAUCGGUAGUAGCAAUAUUUCGGCUUCCAUGGCUGAUUUUAUUUCUUGUGUUGCUCUCAAUUUAAGUAUGUCUAGCUAAUUUUCUUAUGCUGAGGUUAAGGAUAAAACCCUAUUUAAUGAAAUAAUUAUCUUUUUAUUUAAUUAAUUCCUUAUAUAUGUUCUUUGAUGAUUAUGGUUUUUAUUUCACAUGAUUAAUUGGAUGUUAAUAAAAUCUUUUCAUCAAUUCUGUCAUGCAUUAUUGAUUGUUAGGAUUAAUAUUCGAUUAAUUCUAUACUUGGAUCUAUAAAGUUUAUACAUGAUUAUCUUUGAUUUUAUGUCUUUCAUUAAAUUGUUGACAUGGAGUGCUUAGGAAACUUUGACUCUUUGUUAUUCAAUAUGUUUACAUGAGAUUCUUAGAUGUCAUACUAUUAAGCAGAAAAAAACCUACAUAAGAUUAAUUUUAUUUGGGCUUAAUUGUUAUAUCCAUGAGAUGACAUAGAUAGAUUUCGAGUUGUCACUCUAAAAUUGGGGAUUAAUUAAUAAUUAGCUAAUUACUAGUUGAAUAGUGGUGGAUUCUGAAACCUUAGUAAUUUGUCUUAUUGAUUUCUCAUUUGCUUUAAUUGUUUUCUUAGUUUAAUUAGUUUAAUUUCUCUUAAAACUCAAUUUGCUCAACUAAGUUAGAAUUAAUAUUAAUUUUAGAUUUAAAUUAGACUUUUCAAUUUAUAACAAUCCCUGUGGGAUCGACCUCGUGCGCUUGCGAAUAUAUUAAAAUUUUCACAACAUGCUCGCAAGCUAUAUAUCAUUAUCCAUUGAAUUCUUACCACAUAUAUCUCACCUUUCAAUCAAUCACAUAAUAAUCAAUAUACAUAUUGUAAGAAUUCAACAAAUGGAGAACAUAAUAUACUAUAAAAGCAUCCAAAAUUUUUCCUUCUCAAAUUAUUACUAAACUUCUUGAACAAGUUGAAGAUUGGGGGGAAAAAGUGCAAGAAGGAAAAGCAUUAUUCUACUAGCUUCUAGAAAGCAAAAUACCUUCUGCUGAUUGCACAUUGGAAUGGGAAUAAGUUGGUAAACAUAUAAGUUACAUAAAUUAUUUUGGAUAAUUCUGCUGGUGAAUUAAUUAUCUUAAAAUCACCCUUUUAUUUUUAAAAAAAUCUUAAGUUAUUUUUCAUAUAUCUUAAGAAGACAAACAAACUUUCAUCGACUCUCCUUUUUUAGCUUUUCCCUUCAAUAAUGUUAGAAAUUCUAACAUUUGAGUCAUGCUUGAGCUUAAUACUAUAUAUCACUCAUUUAUUAGAUGUUGAAUUUUUUAAAUUAUAAAGUUAUUUGACUACCAUCCAAUGAAUGAAUGUCACGUCAUUUAAAACUCAAAGAAAAGUAUUCUACUUCUUGCGGCAAUCAUGCCUUCAUUCAGACUAUGAACCAUUUCCUUUCACCAAAUUCUUCAUAAACAUUGAGUAAGUUUCAUGGUUGGACAUAGUUAGCUUCUGUUUCUUUUGGUGCAUUUAGGUGCUAUCAAGUGACGGCCGUAAGUGUGAUUGCAUUAUUGGGAAAUUUUACGAUUUGAUGGUUCCCCACGUUAUUGCCAAGAAAGUUCUCAUGUCGGAAGCAGCGGUUCUUUUCAUCGGCCUGAACCCGAACCUGUCGCUAUGGAUAACUCAGGUUUUUGUCAUCAACUAUAUCAUCUUUUUCACUGUUUUGAAACUCUUAAUAUUAAACUUAAAGUAAACUUCAGAUUUCAGUUUGUUUGCUCGAAACUUGUAUGGUGACAAGGAUACUGGCAAGGAUAAUGAGAUAGUUUUUUGUGUGAGUGAAUUUUGAGAGCUUGAGUGUUCUGGGAUUUGCAAUUGCAAUCAUCCUCUGCUUCAGGUGAUUUCUUCUCCUGCUCUGUCUUUAUUUGCUCUCUAAUUGAAAAGCAUAAAGUAUUUCAAUCAAAUUCUGUACCAGGAAUACUUAAAAGUUACUGAUUCUUUAUUUCCAUUUGUUUGCAUUGAUAACUUGACGGCAUAUGUACUAGUUAAAAAACAAACAGAAGUAGAGUUUAGGAAAAAGCUUCUUCGGCCACCAUAUUUGAAAAUGAAACCAUUUCCUAGAAGCAGUUGGCAGCAAAUUCAUAUAAAGUGUACACAAUGAUUAGCAGAAAGGUGAUUCACAAUUUCAUUUUUUUUUUAAAUGAAAUUAUUUGUUAAGUUGGAGCUGAUAUUGUUAGAAGGCCAAUGAGCUAACCUAUGACACUGCUUGCCUAGAUUGCAGGAGGUCAAGGCUCAAAAGAAGCACUGAAUUUUAAAAGGCAUGCAAUAAUUCUUAUGGCCAUAAGUCAAUUCAUGUAAGUUUGAAUAAGUUUAAUGGUGGAACGCUUUAAGCUCCUUUUCCUUUCGUGCAUUUUGGGGUGCUAUCAAGUGAUCGCCGUAUGUAUGGAUGCACAUAGCUGCUGCUGGGAAAUGUGAGGUUUUCAUGGCUGGCCGUGUUAUUGUCUUAAAUUAGAUGUGAUAAGCUGUUGCUUGGAGAUUCUGUUGCCAAGACUUUGCUCACAUCAGAAGCUGUGGAACCUCAACCCUUCUCUAGAUAUCAUGUUUUUCAUUGUUUUAAAACUCUCAGGAUUAAACUUGAGUAAACUCUCAGGAUACUGAGCAGGCAAAUGCCAUAACUCGGUUUGUUCUUCAAAAACUUGUUUAAGAUUCUUGACAAAGCUGCAUGAAGUGAAUCUUGGGAGCUUUGAGGGUGUAUAGGGAUUUGGGUUUAUUAGGAAGUUAUAUAUGUAUUUCGUCACUUAUCAUUAUCAUUUUUAUUUUCACAGAAAACCUUCUGAUGGUGCCAAAUUUUCAAACACCGGUCCGAUUCAAAACUUCAUAUUCCAAUUAUAUUCAUAAGACAAAUGGAACACUUUGAACGGCUUGUGUCCGAGCAUUGUAGUUUGAUUUAUUUUGAUGACAGUACCUUUUGACAUUGAGAUUCUUUCAUGAUUUAAACAUUCUUUUUAAAACCAAAUUAUUAAAAAAAGUAACUAACAUAUAUUAUUUUAUUAGUGCUUUUUAAAUCAAAUAUACAUAGGAGAACUGUAAUUCUUAGCAAUCAAUUUUCAACUAAAUACACCUGCAACAAACUAUUAAUAACAAAGUGAUAGAAAAUACUUGAUUUUUCAUACUUUCUAAUUUCUUUUGGUCCUAAAAUAUGGGCAUUUGUGUAAUAAUAAGCCCAUGUGGAUCUCUAUGCCAUGAGUUUGAUAAAUAGCUAUCAAGGAUCACAUAUUAAGCUAAAAAUAUUUGGAGGACAAAAUUGUAAAACUAAAAGGGUGGAGCAAAUAUGGCUAUCUAGGAUUAAAUAGUAAGUCAACUAUAUUUAAAGGAUAAAAUAUUAAAACUUGAACUGUGAUAUUAAAAAUAUCUCAACUAUUAUAUUAUUAAACCAUAUGUUCUAAUAGUUUAUUUUUUAACCUUCAAAAUGUUCAGGAUUUUAGAUUGAAACAUUUUCAUUUGAAAUUAUUUGGUGCAGUCACAAGUUAAGAAAGAAAAAAUUGUCCCAUUGGUCAUUUCACAAAAAUGAAAGCCCUGUAUAACAUGGACUUGAAUGGAAGCCCAAUUGUUUGUGUUUGAUUAAUUGAUUUCAAGCUUUAUCGAACCUUUGGACCUGGAUACUUUACUGCGGCCUCUAAGCGCUAUAAAUUUUUUUGGGGAUAAACGGCGCUUCAAUGAAGGCAUCUCCAAUGCUUAACACCAUUUUGGUGUAACACCAACACUAAAAAAUAUACAUUUUUCACACUAAAUUAUUAUUUCAUCUCUAACUUAUUUACACCAAAUUUUACACCAAAAAAAAUAUUUUUUUUAUUCUUUUAAUUCUCUAGAAUUAAUUCAAUUAACACAAUAAAUAUUACUAUUAAUAUAGAUAAUUAAGUAAUUUUAUCGAUUAACAAAAAAAAUAUAGAAAAUUAUUAAAUUUGUAUUUAAUUAACUAAAUUAGUACAUUAUGAAAAUUAAACAUUACAUUAAUAUAGAAAAAUACAAUAACAAUAAUAAUAAUUUUAUAUCUAAUAUUUUGAUGAUAUUGGAGGAUCUAAUAAUGAUCUUCCAGAUUAUUAAAUAAUUGUUCUAAUUUAUACUAGUAGUAGUAGUUUUUUUAAUUUGUGUUAAUUUAAUUUUGUAUUUUUAAUUUUGUAAUAUAGUAAUUAAUGUUAUUGGCAUUUUAUUUUUAUUAUUAAUUUUUGUGUUGAAUAUUUUUUAUUUAAAUUAUUAGUAUAAUAUUCAAAAAUUAAAAAAUGAAAUAAAAAUAAUAACAAAAAUAAUAAUAAUAACUUAAAAUAUUAUAAAAAAGGACAUAUAUGUAAAUAAGAAAAAGUAAUAAGGAUAUUUAAGACCUUUUCUUCCUAGCACCAAAUGAAUAGUGUUACACCAUAUUUGGUGCAAUACUAUUCAUAACACCAUUUUGUUGUUGGUUUUGGUGCUACAUUGGAGAAGCAUUUUACACUAAAAAUGGUGUAAAAAGUGGUUUGGUGUUAGUUUUAGUGUCACAUUGGAGAUGGCCCGGAAAAGCACUUGAAAACUUUGGAUUUUCGGUUCAUCCAGUUACGGUGUUAUGCUAACGGGGUAAAAGGUUCCGAUCCAAUGAGUUAGGAUGGGAUAUGAAUAUAUAAAUUCCAUAGCAUGUAAGGACUAGGAGUUGUUUGUACAUAUCAAGAAAAAAAAGAUCCGAAAAUUUGAUGAUCAGAAGAUGAAGACACGUUUAUUACAGAGAAACAAACGACAACAUGAUACUAGUAGUAGUUAUUCUUUUCAUCCGAUACAUUACAUUGUAAUAUCACUGCUCGUUCCACUGGUUCCACUGGUGUAAUCAUCCAAAUUCCAACCUCCGUACUCUCGAGAGGAGUUUCCCAUUCAUCAAUUAUUAUUUUUUAUAAUCCAUACCAUCCUGAUAUAAUCAAACAACAUUAAUAAUGUACCAGCCUUUAUAUAGUAAUUAAUUUAUUUAGUUGCCCACCUAAAAGAAUCCUGCAGGAAAUACUGGUUAAAAAAUUUAUUAAAUUUGCUUACCUCUGUAUCAUUAUAUAUAUAAAGACUGAAAUCCAAAUGAAAUAUUUUAUCAUUCAUUCAGCAAACACUUAUAAUUCACGAAUAGUGAAUCUAUGCAUUGAAAAUGUGGAUUAAGAAUUAUAACACAUGAAUUCAAACAUACCCUCGUGAAGUUAAGAAUAAGUUCCUACUUCAAAUGAUUUUUUUAUCUAAUAAAGCAAUCACUUUCAUUAAACGACAGCGUUGAAGGAAUUGUGCAAUUUUUACGUUCUUUUCUAGACAGACGUUACAGAGAUGGGGUAAGUAGAGGGCUGGCCUCAGAUAUCUCACAAUUGUUAGUGAGAUAAAAUGUUAUUGUAAAAGGCGUUUAAUAGAAUAAUAUUAAUUAUUUUGCAUUGUUAUAACAAUAUUUUUUUCUUUUGACAGUUCUGCAGGACAAGUGAUCAGAGCUCAAUGAAUAUAGCCGUGGAGGCACAGCAGAGCAGGAUUAUGAAAAAGAGAAGCUUAUUACAGGUCAUUCAAGUUUACUUGCUUUUAUAUAAUAACUGUUUUGGCCGAUUUAUCUAAUUCAACAAAUGUCAUUUCCGGUACAUAUCUCCAUUGGUAUCAAGAAGAAGCAGAACCCAAAGAAACGUUUCUUGCAUCUUCAUAUUUGUGCGAAUUCAUCCUUUCAUUGAGAAUAACCAUUUCCAGGCAGCAGUUGGCAAUCAAUUCAUGCGCAAGUCGAUGCUAUUCAUAGAUAUUAAAGACAAUGAUGAACCAAAGGUGAUAAAUCAUAAAUGCAUAAUUACCAAACCUCCAUCCUUCUCUCAUUAUGAUUUGAUUUUAAAUGAAUUAUUGCUUGGUAACAUUAUUUCCAACCAUUGCAAGACCCUUUUUUUUUUUUUUUUUUUUGGGAGAAAUUUCAAUUGAAAGUGAAACCUUUAGACAUUUACCUAAUGAAGUUAGUUAAUCGGGAGGGUGGAAAAAAAAAAGUUGACGCAAGUCAAUACACAAUAAUUAAUUAAAUCCGGAGUGACUAAAACAGAGCCACUACUUUUUCAAAAAUAUCUGCAUUCAUCACUUUCUCCAGCAGCUAGUCAGCUACACACGAAUCAAUUUCUCUCCUCGUUUGUCAUCCAAAAUUAUUCACCAAUACCAUGGCUGAUGCAAUCGUUUCCACUAUCUUGGAGCAGCUGAUUUCCUUCGCUGCUGAAGAGAUAAAACAACAGGUGAUCGAAGUUUCACCCCUCAUAUUACAAAUACUUCCAAUGAUUUUAAUAAAUUUUGUUUUUAUCAAAAACAUUAUAUAUUUUUGCUUUUUUUUUUAUUUAUCUGAUAAUUUUAGAUUUUGAAAUUUGAAUUUAAUUUAAUUAAAAGGUGAUGUAGUAACCACUUAUUUUUAUUUUAUUUCAUUUAUAUUCUCAAUAACUACUCAUAUUUUGGUAACUUACUAUAACUUCCAUAUCUAAGAAAUGAUCCAAACCCACAAUUUUAACUCAGCACGAAUAUUCAAUGGUGAUCUAAGCUUUUGCAGAACACUCAAGUUUGUCAAACAGUCAUUAAUUCAAUGUUUAGUAAAAAAAAACACUUCUCAGCACAGAAUUCCAUGCCCAUUACUUAGACUCUAUAUAUGAAAAAUUUCAUAAUUUUCUCACAUUAUUUGAGUUUGGUAAGUGAUUUCAUAUAAUUUCUUUUCAAUAUAAAUUUUAAUUUGGUUUCUUAUAUACUCUCUUUGCUGAAUUUGUAUCUUUUAUGAUUCUUAGAUUUUGGGCUCUAACUUUUUAGGAUUUGAUAGUCACAUUUUAUGCCAUGCUUAGAUUGAUUUUCAUGAUUUUUACUACCCGUUAAGUGACUUAGAAUUUGACAAAAGUUUGAAAGGAAAUCUGCUUCAGGAUUCUGUUUUAACUGACCUUUUAGCGGAAAUAAGAUGCUUAUAACUUAAUGUGGAUGCUAUGUAAAAUCAUGAAAUUUGGAUAGAAUUAACUAGAAAUAUGUACAAGACUCUCCAUGAAGUCUCAUAAUUUUUCAUUCGGUCUGGGGUGUUACAGGUGAAGCUUGUGGUUGGUGUCGAAAAAGAAGUGAAAAGCCUUACCAGCCACCUUCAAGCCAUUCAAGUUGUGCUCGAUGAUGCAGAGGAAAAGCAAGUGAAGGACAAAGCUGUUAGUCUUUGGCUGGGUAGGCUCAAGUACGCAUCCUACGACAUUGAAGAUGCGUUGGAUGAAUGGAUCACAGGAAGACGCAAAUUGCAAAUUGAGGGUGGCAUUGGUGAAAAUGCUCUUAUUGCUCCUCAUAAGAAAAAGAAGGUACGUUUCUGCUUUCGUGCCUCUUGUCUUGGAUUCAAACAAGAAGAAUUUGGCUUCAAACAAGUCUUUCUACGUCAUGACAUUGCUGACAAGAUCAAAGAAAUCAAUGAAGAGCUACGUAAUAUUGCCACUCAAAGAGACAUGUUUAAAUCUGAGAGUGGCAGUAAAAGUAGUGAAAGACCCAGGCGUGUAUAGAGUACCUCCUUGAUUGAUGAGGAAGAGAUUUGUGGUAGAGUUGGUGAGAGGAAUGAACUCUUAAGCAAGCUGUUGUGUGAGAGUAGGGAGCAACAAAAAGGCCUUCAUAUCAUCUCAAUCGUUGGUAUGGGAGGCAUAGGAAAAACAACUCUUGCACAACUAGCAUGUAAUCAUGUUGAGGUAAAGAGAAAGUUUGACAAACUUUUAUGGGUGUGUGUAUCGGACCCUUGUGAGCAGUUUAGGAUUGCCAAAGCGAUCGCUGAAGCUUUAGGCAUUCCCUCUUCUAAUUUAGGUGAAUUUCAAUCUCUUCUUAAACUUAUAUCUGAAUCUAUUACUGGAAAACGAUUUCUUCUUGUCUUAGAUGAUGUGUGGGAUGGAGAUUGCAUAAAAUGGGAACCAUUCUACCUUUGUCUAAAGAAUGGUCUCCAUGGAAGUAAAAUUUUGGUUACCACACGUAAAAAAUCAGUUGCAUCUAUGAUGGGAUCUACUGAUACUGAUAUUGUCACUGUCAUGGAAUUGGCUGAAGAAGAAUGUUGGUCGUUGUUUAAGCGGUUAGCAUUUUUCGGUCCGUCUAUUAAUGAUUGUGAAAAAUUGGAACAAAUUGGGCCAAGAAUUGCAGGCAAGUUUAAAGGUUUGCCUAUUGCUGCAAAGACAAUAGGGAGUCUCAUGCGCUCUAAACAAAUUGAAGAAGAGUGGGAAAGGAUUUUAAAUAGUGAUUUAUGGAGAGUAGAAGAGAUGGAGAAAGGUGUUCUGUCCUCAUUGUUGUUGAGUUACAACGAUUUGCCGUCCAAAGUAAAAAUAUGUUUUUCCUAUUGUGCUGUCUUUCCAAAAAACUACAAUAUAAAAAAAUAUGAACUAAUUACAUUGUGGAUGGCUCAAGGUUAUCUUAGUGCAGAACAAAAUAAGGAGAUGGAGACUAUAGGUGAAGAGUAUUUUAGCAUCUUAGCUUCUCGCUCUUUCUUUCAAGAGUUUCAGAAAAGUUAUGAUAAUCGUAUUAUAGAGUGCAAGAUGCAUGAUAUGGUACAUGAUUUUGCCCGAUUUAUAAGUCAAAAUGAAUGUUUUUCAAUGGAAAUUAAUGUUAGUGAGGAACCAAACACCAUAAACUCUCUUGAUGAGAAGGUUCGUCAUUUAAUGUUGAUCAUUGGUAGGGAGGCUUCAUUUCGUGUCCCUACUUGUAGAGUGAAAAGAAUCCGUAGCCUCUUAAUUGAUAAUAGUAGAACUUCUUGUUCGUAUUUUAAUGGUGAGAUCCUAGAAGAAUUAUUUAGGGAAUCGACAAGUUUAAGGGCAUUAGAUUUUUGGGGAUCAUAUGACGUAAGCCCAUUUUGGACUCUAAAGAUUCCAAGAAACAUAGAAAAUCUAGUACAUUUAAGAUACCUUAACCUGUCUUGUCAGAACAUAAGGAAACUACCGGAGACAUUAUGUGAGUUAUAUAAUCUAGAAAAGUUAUAUAUUACUCGUUGUCUGUAUCUUGAAGAAUUACCUGAAGGGAUUGGGAAGUUAAUAAACAUGAAGCAUUUACUAAAUUAUCGUACAGAUUCUUUAAGGUACAUGCCAGUAGGGCUUGGGAGAUUAACGGGUCUUAGGACCUUGGAUGAGUUCCAUGUGAUUGGAGGAGGAGGUGUUGAUGGUAGGAAAGCAUGUUGGUUUGAAUCUCUUAAAAACUUGAAACACCUUCAAGUAUGUGGUAUACGCAGAUUGGGUGAUGUAUCAGAUGUGGGCGAGGCUAAGCGAUUAGAACUUGACAAAAAGAAAUACCUCUCUUGUUUGAGACUUUGGUUUGAUAAGAAGGAGGAAGGAGGAGAAAGGAGGAAGAACGAGGACGAUCAACUUCUUCUUGAAGCCUUGCGACCACCCCUGGAUUUAAAGGAAUUAGAGAUACGGUACUACCGAGGCAACACUGUUUUCCCCAGCUGGAUGACGUCAUUAAUCAAUUUAAGGAGUUUAGAUCUCUCUUUGUGCGAAAAUUGCAAGCAGCUGCCUCCUUUGGGAAAAAUGCCGUCCCUUGAAAAACUCAGCCUAUUGCACAUGCGGAGUGUGAAAAGAGUGGGUGAUGAAUGUUUGGGGAUCGAAAGUGAUCAUCAUGGCUCAUCUUCAUCUUCAUUAGUUAUUAUUGCCUUCCCUAAAUUGAAAUCACUCACAAUUUCUUCCAUGUUGGAAUUGGAGGAGUGGGAUUAUGGGAUUACAAGAACGGGAAACACCGUCAUCAACAUCAUGCCACGUCUUUCUUCCUUGGAAAUUGUUGCCUGCCCCAACUUAAAGGCGCUGCCCGACCACAUUCAUCAAACGACAACAUUGAAGGAAUUGCGCAUUGUGCAUUGUGGGCUGCUGGAAGAACGUUACCGCACGGGGGAAGGAGAAGAGUGGCCUAAGAUAUCACACAUUCCCAGCAUAGAUAUUGAUUAAGAAGGAGAAGAGUGACCUAAGAUAUCUCACAUUCCCAACCUCGAGAUUUGGCCUUGACAAGUAAUUCCUUCUCUUACUCUGAUUUGCUUUGUUGUUCUUUUUAAUCUAAUCAAGAAGCAUAAAUAGCAUUUUGAAUUAAACUCUGUAUCAGAAAUCUGCAAUACAUAUUUUCUAAUAUUCUGAUUUUCAUAUCUUAUGAAUGUACGAUUCUAAUUUGCGAUAUUUAACGUUGCUGUAAAAUAUUAUUAAUGCAAUAUGAGUAAUUCUUUUGCAGGACAAGUGACCUACGUUUAGUUUGGCUUUGGAGUUGAGUAAUAACCUUUCGAGGUCGCCACUAUAAAAAAGCGAAGCUCAAUUUGCCACAGAUUACAUGUAUUGCCAUCAUUGACAAUUUUCUGGAUAAGUGAUGAAGGGUGAGAAUGGUGCUAGAAUAUUGAAUAAAGCUGUCGUGACUGAACUUACGUUGAUGUCAAAAGGGGUAAAUUAUUGGCAUGCCUAGCUAAUUUGACCAAUACCUGAUUCAUAAGCCUACAUCAAUUUUGAUUUUGAGUUGAGUGAUUAAUUUUGAAGGUUUGCUUACUUAACUGGUAACCAAUUUCUUUUAACUAAAUGUAUCAUAUGAUGCAGGAAGCAGGGCAGGAUAUGAAAUGAGAAGCUUAUUAGUGGAAGGAUUGUCAGAAACAGAACCCAAAGAAAAUGAAAACAUUUCGAGGCAGCAGUUGGCAGUUGGCCGUGAAUGGAGCCCCUUGAAAAAAUUCCCAACCCAUUGCACUGCAAUUACGAUCGUGAGUAUGAUUGCACUGCAAUUUCGAAGCUUCUUCUCCUGCAUUUUUGUUAUUUGCUAUCAUCCUCUGCUUCAGGUGAUUUCUUCUCCUGCUCUGUCGUUGUUUGUAUCUCAAUCAAAUUCUAUAACUGGAAUAUGCAAAAGUUUCGAAUUUUUAUUUCUAUCUGCUUGCAUUGAUAACAUCGCGGCAUAUGCACUAGUUAAAGAUCAAACAGAAACAGAGCUCAGGAAAAAGUUUCUUCUGCCAUCAUAUUUGAAAAUUCAUGUAAAAUGUAGACAGUAAUCAGCAAAAAGGUGAUUCGCAAUUUGAUUUUUUUUAUGAAAUUAAUUGUUAGGUUGGAGUUGCCAAUUAACAAUUUUAACCACCUUUGACUUUGAAGGAAUUAGAGAUAUGGUCAUACAGAGGCAACACUGUUUCUGCAAGUAGUCCUCUCUUUUCUUUUUAUUAUAUUUUAUUUAGUUAUUAUUUAUUAUUUAUUUUUUGGUUUACUCUGCUUCUUCUUUUUACGUUUCUCAAAUUUUGAAUUUCAUUGCUUUUGAACAUACGACAGUCUGUUAUGUGGCGACCCUGGUUCUUAAUUAAGGUUGUGAAAUAUUAUUGUAAAAGAUGAUUUAUUCAAUUUGAGUAAUUCGUUUGCUUUGAUAAUGAUAGUAAUUUUUUAUUUUGACAAUUUGCAAGGUGAGAAUGGUGCUGAUUGGUGAUUCAGGAUAUGGUUCAAACACCAUUGAAUAAAGCUAUGGACAUGGUGGCUCAACUUAGCUAGAUUGCUAUCAAAAUUGGUAAGUUGGCUUGUCAAUGUACCGAUGCUUUUGUUUUCUCUCAACCCUAAUUACCUUAACUUCAUUUAGUUUGGCUUUGGAGUUGAGUAAUAACUUAUUGUUCAAAUGUUAUUUCCUUAUUGUUCUAAUUCAUCAAAUGUUAUUUCCUUGUUGUUCCAUUGAUAUAUUGGUUGCAUAUCAAGCAGAAACAGAACCCAAAGAAAAUGAAACCAUUUCCAGGCAGCAGUUGGCAGUGAAUUCAUGCAAAUGUUGAUGCCAUUCAUAGAUGUUGAAGACAAUGUUGAGCCAAAGGCGAUAAAUCAUUAAUGCAUAAUUCCCAAAACCUCUAUCCUUCUCUCAUUGUAAUUUGAUUUGAAAUGAAUAAUUGCUAGGUAAUUGAAGCCAAUGUUGUUAAAGACCGUGUUGAGCUACCCAAGCUAAGAAGUUAGUUGCCAAAAAAUGCAGGGGAUCAAAAGAAGCAUUGCAUUUGAAAAGGCAUGAGAUUCUGGUGGCUACAUGUCAACUCAUAUAUGUUUGAAUAAGUUUGAUGGUUCAAGAUUGUUAGCUUCUGUUUAAAUUUGUGCUACUGCAGUGCUACAAUGCUGCUACUGGGAAAUUUGAAUCCCAUAUUAGACUUUCCUCACAUCAGAAGCUGUGGAUCUUCGGACAUCAGGUUUUUUCACAGUUCUGAAACACUCAGGAUUAAACUCUAUUAAAGUGUUGUAGUUAUCUUGUUGUCAGAAUUCCCAUAUUAUUAUCUUUUUCAUGUAAAAUUAUCUUGUUGUCUUCGCCCAUGAAUCUAAGCUAAAAUUUGAACCAAUUGUUUGCUAUUAUAAAUUUCAUUGUUAAAUGUUAAUUGUGAUGUUCGUGUUGAGUUUCUUUUAAAGUCAUAGAAGCCUGACGAUUGAGUUCCAUGGGAUUCUGAGAAGCAGUAAUAUUUUGAACAAGUGAAGGUUCUUCGUUUUUAAUUAUGUUCUGCACUUUUACAGUAUGUGCAGAUGUCUAAGAGGCAGGAUUUUAAUUUCUGUAAUGCUAAAUUUCGCAAAACAAUAAAAAAAAUAAAUGCAUGACAGUGACUUCAAGAAUUUAGAUUAUUGAAUUUGGUCAUUUUAAAAUUGUUGGAAUAUUGAACUUAAGUCAUUUUGAUAAACCAGAGCUCAGAAAUGUAGAAUAUAAAUAUUGGAGAUUUGGACUUCAAUCAUUAGAUUUGAAGCUAAAGAGGUAAGCCAUUAAUUACAUCAAAGGAUUUGGAAAAUGGAGGGAUUGGAAAAAGGAAACUUUUUCAUAAACUACAAGCAUUGGGCAGUUUCAUUUGUCCGAUUCAAGAGGAACGUCACAGAAAGGGGUAAAGAAAAGAGUAGCCUAAGAUAUUUAAGACAAUGUUGAGCCAAAGGAAACAUAAAUCCCAACCAUUGCAUGCGAACAUGAUCACAAUAAGGUCAAGAACCUACCAAACCAUUUUUUUGAGAAUUUUCAAUUGAAAGUGAAACCUUUGGACAUUUACCUAGUAAAGUUAGUUAAACGAGAGAAAUAAAGGGGAAAAGAAAAGUUCACUCAAGUCAAUACAGAAUAAUUAGUUCAAUCUGGAGUAACUAAAACAGAGCCACUAUAUUUUCUAAAAUAUCUGCAUUCAUCACCUUCUCCUACAGCUAGUGAGCUACACACGAAUCAUUUCCUUUUAGCAUUUUUGCAGCAUCAAUUUCUCUCCUCGUUUGUCAUCCAAAAUUAUUCACCAAUACCAUGGCUGAUGCAAUCGUUUCCCUUCUCUUGGAGCAGCUGAUUAUCUUUGCUGCUGAAGAGUUGAAACAACAGGGGAAGCUGGUGAGUGUUGGAUGAGCGGAUCACAGCAUGCGCCAAAUCGCAAAUUGAUCAAUGCUCUUGGUGCUUCUUAUCUGAAGAAGAAGGUGCAAAUUGGGAGCUGCAUUUCACUGUCAUAACAUUUAUUGUAAUUUCAUUUGGAGAUAUGUAAUAUCUGUUGUCCAGAUAUAUUUCAUACACCAGCUGCUAAUAAUUCUGCUUGCAGAGAACUUGCAAAGGAGCUGUGUGAUGUAAUAGAAGACUGGAGUCUGGUCAAUUUUUUCAACCUUAGAUAUUAGGAAGUUAUGUAUUUCAUUAUCAGUUAUCAUUAUGAUUUUUAUCUUCAAAAAGAUAAAUGGAUGGCUUUGAAUGGCUUGUGUUUGAGGAUUUUAGUUGGACUUAUUUUGAUUGAAGUACAUUUUGACAAUAGAAUUCCUUCAUGAUUUAAACAUUCUUUUUAAAAUCAAAUAAUCAAAAAAAUUAAAUAAAUAAAUAAGGUAACUAACAAAUAUUAUUUUAUUUUGUUAGUGUUUUUUUCAUUAAAUAUACAUAAGAGUAUUGUAAUUAAUUGCAACCAAUUUUUCACUAAAUACGCCUACAACAAACUAUUAAUAAUAAAGUGCCACUCUACUGUGCUUCCUACAAGCACCUUGGCCAUACCAUUGAGACGUGUUACGUGGCCAAUUCGGGGCUUCAACCCCAGCGACCCAGUGGGAAUCGGCAGACUAGAGUAGAAGAUGGUAAGAAGUCAGAAGUUCUACCGUUAGAUACUCCACAACCCUCAGAUACUCCUCGACCUGAGCCUUCCAUCACUAAGCAGAUUGCAAACGCGGGGUCCCCGAUCACCAAACCUUCGGAGAACCGGCCUAACGUUACAAAUUCUACAUCCGUUCAGGAGCCGAUUGCCCAAGAUGACACAACUCAUGAUUCUAAGGAACCUCGUGAUCAAAGCUUGUCUCCCCUGCGGAGCAUUGGUGAGUAUAAUCCACAUCUUCAUCAAGCAUCCAACAUAGAUUUUAGGCAUUACAAUUCUCAUAUUGAUAAUGAUGAUAGUUUUGACGAGCACCUAGCGAAUAACAAACACUUUUUAUCUGCUCCUGAGAAUUCUGAGAGAAUAGACUUAAGUCCUGAUUUUAGCAUUGUUGGUCAAUCGAAAAAGGGAUUUAAAUUACUUAUCGGCCGUAAGUAUCGUAAAACAUAUUAUCACCAUCUUCAUCAGUCAUUUUAUUAUGAUUCUCAUGUUAGGCUAUACCUUAAUCUUUUCUUUUUCUGUUGUAUUUUUUUCUCUUGAUUGGAGGUUUUGGUUUUUGUCCCCCUCCUUGUAUCUUUCAUUAUCUUUUAUAAAUUGACAGGUAGGGGUCCCGCCUAACCCUCCACCUUAGAGUGGUAUGCUUAUUUAAAAAAAACUAUUAAUAAUAAAGUGAUAAAAAAUGCCUAAUUUUUCAUACUUUCUAAUUUUUUUUUGCCCUAAAAUUUAGGUAUUUAUGUCAUAAUAUGCCCAUGUGGAUCUCAAUGCCGAAAGUUCGAUAAAUGGCUUUCAAGGAUUACUUAUUAGGUAAAAAAUAUUCAAAGGACAAAAUGGUAAAACUAGAAGGGUGGAGUAAUAUGGCUACCUUGGGUUACAUCGUAAGUCGACUAUAUUUAAAGUAUAAAAUAUUAGAAACUGAACGGUGGAGUAAUCGUCGUUUAGAUGAAUGAUAUGUCAUCUAUGCGUUAUGUGAGGUUAUAGCAACUAUCUAUCUGGUCACUGUUUUCAAGUCUCAAUUGGUAGUCCAAAGAAAAGAAUGAUUCUGCAAUAGCAUUAAGUGUUAAUUGGACACAAAAAGAAGUGUUUUAACCACUUUAAGGAAAGUAAAUGUAAUUUUCUGUCCUAAAGAAAAGGUAAAUGUAUGCACUGUCAAUUAAUCUUUGGUCGACCAGCAACAUCAUAAUUUCGUGUAGGUUCAUUUUUGUUUCUUAAGAGUUUGUAAAAAAAAUGGAAAGAUUUUAAAAUAUAAAUUUCAUAUAUGUUUAUAACUGUUGUUUGGUCUAAUUUCUUAUGUAGAAUUUUCAGAAUCUGUAGGACAUUAGUUUAUAAUUUUGAGAUUUUGCAGCCAUAAAUGUUUUUUUUUUCUUUUUCUUUUUUUGUUGCCAUUUUAUUUUGCUCCUUUAUCUAUGUGCAUGUUGACUGGCUGCAGUGAGUGAAAAUUUACCCAUAUAUGCUGGCUAUUCUUGGACAAUAUUAGAGAAAAUUAUCAUAUUAUCAUAUUAUUUCGCGUGAUGUGAACUUCCAUAACUUAUCAAUUGAAUUGCUGUAAAAUAUUAAAUAGUUUUAUUUUUCUUUUAUCGUGUAACUUGUGUUGAAAAGUGAUUUUAAAAAAAAAAGAGAGUUGAAAAAUCAAAUCUCCAAGUGGGAGAUUGAAGAAAAGGAAAGCCGCAAAAUGAACAGUAGCCGCAAGAUGAACAGUAACCGCAAGAUGAACAAUAGUCAAUGGUGGCUAUAAAUAGAGGAGUGCUCCUCCUUAUUGUUUGUAUCCCAAAUCCCAGAGAAGCGAUCCAAAUUUUGGUGAGAAAUUGAGAGAGAGAAAUAUUCUUAAGCAUGUAGUUAUAUUGGAGAAGUUGGCUCCUCAAUAUGGAUAUUACGGGUUUGCUUUGUUAAGGGAUAUUUCUCGAGAUUAUGUAUUUGGGGCUUGGGUGAGAGAAAAUUUAUUUCUGAAAGUGGUUGUAAUAAUUUUCCACAUAGUGAAUAUUUUUCUCUGGUUGUCUUGUGACAACGGCCGUAGUUUUUCUCCGAAUUUGGAGUUUUCCACGUAAAUCUUGUGUUGUGUGAUUGGUGUAUUCUCCAUUUAAUUUUUCUUAUUAAUUUGUUGCUUGAUAAUUGCUUGAAGAGAUCUUGGGAGGAAGCUCAAUUUCCUAACAACUUACACCAAAAAAGGAAAUGAGUUUAACAUGACCCUCAUUCCGGCACUAAGCAUGUUUUUCUCUAAUGGUUCUUGUAUUGAUGACAGUGCUCUUGGUGCUUCUCAUCUGCUUCUUGCUUUGGUUUCAAACAAGUCUUUCUCCAUCAUGGCAUUUAUUGUAAUUUCAUUUGGAGACAUCUUUCGUUCAAAUAUAUUUCAUAUGCAAGCUGUUAAUAAUUCUGCUUGCAGAAAGCCUACAAAACAGCUGUGUGAUGUAAUAGAAGACCAUAGUCUGGUCAAUUUUUCAACAUUAGAUAUUCAGGUCAUCAGCUUCUCAUGAAUUCUUUCCUGAGUUUCUUUGAAUUAUUUGUGAUGUAAUAACUUGUGCAUUUGAGAAACUGUUCUCUUGAAUUCUUUCUUGAGUUUCUUUGAAUUAUUUGUGAAUAAGUUCCUAAUCGGCUGCUUCUCUUCAGGAUAAGGAAAGUGUUGCAAACUGGUGAAGCAGCUGAUAGAUAAAAGCAAUGGGUACAUCUUUGCUGGCAUGGAUCGAUGCCAGUGCGGUUGAAUUCAGCAAGAUUGGCGUUCGUGAUGUUGUUGAUUGGGAUUAUUUCAGAUAUCCUUCUUUUCACCUAUUUUCGGCCUUGUGAUUCUCAUAUCCAUAGAACGUUUUGGUUAUUUAAUCAUAUUUCAUCGUAUGCAUCUGCAUCUUCUAACCAGUGCGUUUGAGAAACUAAUUUUGCUGUUAGGCAGGUUUUAAGCUUGAUUCAUUUGUUUUUCAUAAAUGUACCAAAGUUAUGUAAACCAAAUAAUCAAAAAUAAAUGAAAGGAAAUGAGUUUAAUAUAACCUCCAUUCCAGCACUAGGCACGUUAAUUGUUCCCCAAGGACUUCUCCUGAUUCCCAUUCCCAAUAAGAAUGGUAAAAUGUCGGGUCGGGCUCGGGCUUGGUCAAGCCCUACACGACCCGAUCAAAAGAAAUUUGAAACCCGACCCUAAAAAAGCCCGAACACUACUUAGUUAGGGUCGGGCUCCGAAUCGUGGCAACAUCGGGUCGGGCCCAACCCGACCCUACCGAAAUAGUUAACCCCACAAUUCAAUUCCCAUUUUCCACCACCAUUUCAACCUAUUCGGCAAUUACUCAACCAUUUCAAACACAAUUCAAUCCACUUUCCACAACCAUUUCAACCAAUUCCACAACUAUUUCAACCCCACACACAAAUCAAUUCCAAAAUCCAACAUGAAAAACACACAAUGCAAUUAAAUUAAAAACAUUCAAUGUAAUUCCACAACCAUUUUACCCAUACACAAUUCAAUUCAACAACCUAACAUAAAAAAUAAAAAAUAAAAAACUAAUGUCUUAUAUAAAUAAAAACACAAUGCAAUUAAAUUAAAAAUACACAAUGUAAUUCCACAACCAUUUUAGUCAUACACAAUUCAAUUCAAUAACCCAACGUAAAAAAAAAAAAAAAAAAAACCUCAUGUCUUAUACAAAUAAAAAUACAAUGCAAUUAAAUUAAAAACAUACAAUGAGUGAUGUUGUGAGGAUGUGUUGUGUGCGUGUGUUAACUUGUGUUAUUUUUUUUUUUAAAUAGGGUCGGGUCGGCAUUAAUCCCGACCCUGACCCUAAAUUUGUUCAGACCUUAAAAUCUUGGCCCUAACCCGACCCUAAACUUAAAAUUUCGGGCCAAAGUCCUAAAAAUUAAGGUCGGAUCAAUCGGGCCAAAAAUAGAGUCGGGCUAAAUUGCCAAGCCUAAUUCCCAACCUCCAUGCUCUCAUGAGGAGUUUAGCACCCAUCAAUUUUUAUUUUUGAAAACUCGUAAUGGUCUGAUAAAAUUAAAGAACGUCAAUAAUGUUACCGGUCUUUAAAUAGUAAUUAAUUUAUUUAAUUUGCCACCUAAAAGAAUCCUACUGGAAAUAGAGGUUAAAAUUUUUAUUAGAUCUACUUACCUUUGUUCACUCAGCAAACAAUUACAAUUCACAACUAGAGAAUCUAUUCGUUGACAAUUGUGAAUUAAAAUUAUAACACUUGAAUUCAAACAUAUCCUUACGAAGUUAUGAAUUUGUUCAUACUUCCAAUGAUUUUUUUUUCCCAAAGCUAAUAAAGCUACCACUUUGAUCAAACGACGACGUUGAAGGAAUUGCGUAUUUUUCAAUGUCCUUUUCCAAACACACGUUGGAGAGAGGGAAAGAAGAAGACUGGCCUAAUUAAGAUAUCUCACAAAGAUUAUUGAUUUAAAAUGUUAUUGUAAAAGAUGUUUAAUACAAUAAUAGUACUUCUUUUGCAUUGUUAUAAUGAGGCUGGUGGGUUUCCUCAGAGGAUGGAUCUAGCUCGCUAGUAUGCACUUGGGAAGAUGCUAAUUAUCGGCCAUAAAAAAGUCUAGGGGUUGUGGCUCUUCCGUGGCCCAGAAAUUCCUAAUCUCAUAUCUCAAACUUGGGCAUUAUGUAAAUAUGUAUUUUUGAGAAUUAAACUAUUGCGUUAGAAAAAUUUUGAGCCAUUGUAAAUUUGUAAUCAUUUUAUUUUGCUAAGAGAAAAUUUUACUUUGUGUUUCACUUUGACUUUUGUUUUGUUUGUGAUAAUAAGAUUCAUACCAAUGUGAUUACACACCUAUCAUGCUUCUAUUUUCAUUUGCUUGUCAUGAUAGAUCAACAUGCUCGAAAAUAUUUAUUUAGGUUGGAAAUAUUUGAAUCCACUAAAAUACUAUACAGAUCCAUUUUAAAAUAAAAAAAAAAUAAUUAUCAUAAUACUCGUGAAGAUAACGCGAUAUCAUACAUAAAAUAAAAUAUUUCGCAAAAAAAAAUACAAAUCUUAAGUAAGUGGGUAUAAAAAAUAUUUUAGUGGGUUCAAGUAGCACUAAUGCCCCCUUAUCAAAAAAUAUAUAAAAAUAAGUAGUCUGAUUGGGUAUACAGUUGGCUAAACUAAAGUUCUGAAGAUAUAUAUAUAUAUAGAUAAUUUAUAAUGUACAUUAUAGAGAAAGAUUUUGAAAGUAAUAUUUUUUAGUAUUAUUAUAUAAUAUUUUGUAAAAAGUAGAGAGAGUGAGCAAAACCAAAUUAAUUUUCUAACCCCUACCUCAUUUAGGAUUUAAACUCAUUCUUUAGUGUCGCCGGCCAUUCAAAUUUUCUAGUCGAAUAGGCUAAAUUGCAUGAAAUUGUGCUAGCUUAGCUUGAUUCUAGAAAUUUUCAGUACACUGUAACACAUUCCCACACUUGUACAUAGCUCGAAAUUCUCUAGAAUUUACUAUAGUAGUGUAGCAUGUAGCUUGUACAUAGGUUUUUCUAAAACACUCCAGACAUUACUAGGCAUGAGAGCUCUCACCAAGCUUUGAGAACUCUCUAGGCAUAAAACAUUCUAGGGCAAGCCUACCCUAAAAAUAGGGCAUGAAGCUUGCCAUUUGAGCAUACAACACAUAAGAACAAUUCAAGCAUACUUGUAAGCUCUCAAACUCUCUUGUACACACUCUUGUGAAUAAUAUACUUUUCCUUUGGCUAUAUUGUUCUCUCUUCUCUCUAGUUUUUUCAAAAGCAUCAUAACUUAGCUAGUCGAAAAAUUCAAGGCUUACUUUGCAACUAUCUCGUAAAAGUUGUUUAAGUACCACAGAAGUUUGCUGUGCAAAAUACUCAUCCCGUAACAUUUGUCAAAUAAAAUUGUUUGAAAGCCACUUACCUAGACUAUUGGACGGAUAUUAUUAUUUUAAUAUGCAAUCUUUUAAUAUAAACUUUUGUCUUAAUUUUCUAUCUCCUAUGAUAAAUUUUAGAAUUUUAAAAAUUUUAAAAAUUAAUAACUAUUAGAAAGAGCAUUCAUUACUGUUAAAAGAAAUCUAUAUAGAUAUAUAGAUACAUAGUAAUAUAAAAACUUACUACAGUAUAAUGUUUUUAGUUUCUUAUUUUUUCAAGAUAAAAAUUCAAAGACACAAGUUAAAUGUUGUGGAAAAUCUUCCACCCAUACAAGAAAUCGUCACAGCUAAAUGCAAACCGAGCUAAAGUAUUAGUUGUUUUAUUACAAUCUCUAAAAAGAUGAGCAAUUCCAAAAUCUUUCUUUGUAACAAUAAGCACUACAGUUCAGCAACUAUCCAAGUCAAAAGCAACUCAAUGUGAGUGCUAAGCUAAAUCAAUUUCAUUAACAAAUUAGAUGCCAAAGAGCAAAGGCUUCAUCCUCAAUUAUAUUGACAUUAUCUGAGUAAACUCUAAAUACCACAAUCAACCCCAAAAAACAUGACUAAACUAUUAUGUUUAAAAUAAAAAUAAAUAAAUUUUUUUGAACGGAAAAAAAUCCCCAAUAACUAAAUUGUUCAAACGUUUUUUAACAUCAUGUGUUUCUAAUAAUUUAGGGUUGGGCAUUCAGUUCGGUUUUUACCGAACCGAACAACUAAAUUAAAUCGAAAUUACCCUGUUCGGUUCAAUUGAAUAGACAAAAACUAGAGCUGGCAAAACGGGUCAUCGGGUCGUGUUCAUGUCGUGUCGUGUCAAAUUUAGUUCAACCCAAACCCGACCCAUUUAAUAAUCGUGUCAAAAUAUUGAGACCCAAACCCGACACGAAAAAAUAAUCGGGUUACCCAAUAACCUGCUUAAUAUCUAUAUAUUUAACAAAAGUUACAUCAAAUAUUUACACAUUAUCAUACAUGCGUAUGUACAUACAUACAUACAUACAUAAUUUAUCGAUAUUAUAAAAUGUACAUAUCUACCAAAAUAUUACACAUUUACACUAUUGAGGUUUUAAUUAAUUUUAUAUAUAUAUAUAUAAUAUUAUAUAUUAAUAUUAUAAAAUAUACAUAUCUACCAAUAUUUCUCAGCCUUGUUGGCAGGUAACUCCGUUCCUUGAUUUCAAGCAGCUUUCUCUUUGAUGGCCAAAAAUAUUGAUUUGGGCUUUGCCCUUUAAAUUAAUGUAAGAGCGGUAGGGAAUAACCGAGUUAUAGUCUUAGCUUUAAGUGAACAUUGAUGGUAACAUGCAUGUGAAGGUUGUAUGUGUUCAGCGGCAAGCUGUAUGCCAAUUUGGUCUAUAUGGUUUUUUUGUUGGUAACUUAUUAAUUUUUAUGCAGGAAGGUUACAGUCAUCAAUUUGGAUCCUGCUAAUGAUAGUUUGCCGUAUCCUUUGUCAGAACCUUUUUACAAAUGCUGUGGUUUGUUGUACUAUAAUUAGUUCAAUCUGAAACUUCCUUGAUGUUAAUAUAGAUAUGAGUGUGCUGUGAAUAUGGAGGACCUCAUUAAACUAAGUGAUGUGAUGAUGGAGCAUUCGCUGGGUCCAAAUGGAGGUUAGUCAGCCUAUUGUUGUUUACUCUUUCUAGCUUUAUCACGCAAUGAUAUUCCUUUGCUUUACAACAAAUUUCAUGAAAUUAACUUCAAUCUAGUGGCUAUGUUCAUAUGCUGUUGAGAUUUUAUGGACAAUGAUUUGGUAGACUUUAUAUGCCGUCUUCUUUCUUUUUGCAGUGAUAUGUUUGUAUUCAAUGUGCUUGUACUUAUUCUACGGUUUCUAAAGUAGGUGUUUUUAUGAUAAACUAGGUCUUGUGUAUUGUAUGGACUAUCUAGAGAAGAUUAUUGACUGGUUGCAGUCGAAAUUGGAACCACUUUUGAAAGGUAAGAAGAGAUCAUUUUGCUUCAUUCUAAUGCCAAUAAUGCUGUCAUGAGACUCAUAAAAAUUGUUAAAACGUUAAUGUUUUUGGUAUUUUGCAGAUCAUUAUCUUCUGUUUGAUUUUCCUGGCCAAGUUGAAUUAUUUUUUCUUCAUUCCAAUGCCAAGAAUGUUAUAUGAGACUCAUAAAGAAGUUAAAUCUCAGGGUAUUGUUACAUCUUACAUCUAUGAAGGGACUCAAAGAGUUGAGAUGAAUUCAUCUUUGUUAUUUUGAUGCCAGAAUUGUGCAAUUCUCAGUUGGUUCCUUUCACAUGCAGUUGACUUCAGUGCAUCUAGUUGAUGCGCAUCUUUGCAGUACUAGAAAAGAAGAUAACAUGGAGAAUUCAACAACUAUACAGUCAUAUUGAUGUCUGUCAACUUGGGUCAUAUGGUGUUGUUUGGAUGGAGAUGUUAGGCCCCAGAUGGUAUACUUGUUAUCAAAUUCCAGUCUACUUCAUUCAUGCUUUGAUGACAUAUGCGGUGCAGCUUCUUAUCUAAGACCUGCAUAUGUUACAGUCAACACUCUGUUCUGUAUUUGGCUGCCAUUCUUUUCAAUGAAUUCAAACCACUUUCUGAAUACUUGCAAAUUCAUCCAGUGUUGUCAUUGAGAUGCCAAUAUGAAAAGAAGCCAUAAUUGCCCUUGAUAGUAUUCUUAUUGAUUGCCUCUUGCCUCACUCAACCUCAGGAAUCUGCUUGUAUGGUGUUCUUCUAAUUUCAAUUGGAGAUUCUUCUAAUUUCAAUUGGAGAUAAGUAAUAUCUGUUGUUCAAAUAUUUUUUAUUUACAAGCUAUUAAUAAAUCUGCUUGCAGAAAGCUUACAAAGGAGCUGUGUGAUGUAAUAGAAGACUACAGUCUGGUCAAUUUUUCAACCUUAGAUAUUCAGGUCAUCAGUUUCUCUUGAAUUCUUUCUUGAGUUUCUUUGAAUUUGUGAAUAAGAUCUUAGUUGGCUGCUUCUCUUCAGGAUAAGGAAAGUGUGGCAAAACUCGUGAAGCUGAUAGAUAAAAGCAACGGGUACAUCUUUGCUGGCAUGGAUGCCAGUGCAGUUGAAUUCAGCAAGAUUGCCGUUCGCAAUGUUGAUUGGGAUUAUUACAGAUAUCCUUCUUUUCACCUAUUUUCAAUCUUGUGAUUCUCAUAUUCAUAAAACUUUUUGGUUAUUAUUAUGGGUCAUCAUAUGCAUCUGCAUCUUCUAACUUGUUUGUUUGAGAAACUAAUUUUGCCGUUAGGUAGGCUUCAAGCUUGAUUCAUGCUUUUUUCAUAAAUGUACCAAAAUCAUGGAAACUUCUUUUUCCCAGAUAUUAUAUCCACACUUUUCCCAUGUAAUUUAGUCAGACAAGUUUUUCUUAACAAAGAUAUCUAGAGUAGCCGAAGUGCAGGAGAAGUACAUUAAGUAUGAUGAAAAUGUUAACUAAAAUGGGACGAGAAGAUAUGUGGAGUGCAAACCGUAAGCGUGCCUCUUACUUUUGUGCAUGUUUACUUGAUUGUGAUUCACGUUUGUUAAUCUAUUUUGGUCUCUUGCAGGAGUUAUAAAGUUUUCAAUCAAUCAAACAUUUAACUCAAGUCCUUAGCUCUUCACUGCUUGAAUGGGUCAGAUAGGACAAGCGCCGAAGAGGUGGUUUUAAUCAAACCCCUCCUAAUUAUGAUGUAUGGUCCGAAUCUCGGACUUUUUGUACAAUAUCAGGCGAUUUUUUUUAGUUGAAUUGGCUAGUGUACACAAAUGUCGAUCAUUGAUUUUUCUCUAGUAUUGUUUGUCAUUACAAGAAACGAAGUAAUGAAAUUUAUCACUGCGUUCAUAGUUACGCUUAAGCUCAAAGAUUACCGUCAAGAUCAUCAACCUGUUGAUGAUCUGAAGCUUCCAUAGAAAAAGGAACCGGACAAAACCCAAGAGAGAGAACAAAAAUAAAUUAAUUAAAAAAAAAGAAGAAAAAUUGCCAAAGCUACUGGUCAGUUGAUAUCAAUCUUUUGCACGUGGGAUGGAAAUGGAACAGUGGGCACUUUGGAUGACUCAUAACUCACUAGAGAGAAACGAAUUUAGGCCGAAUCAUAUAAAGUACGCUAAGCCUUAGUGCGCGCGCUGUUGCGCUGCUGUGUCUGCCGGUGAGAAUAAUUUUUCGUUUUUAAGGUAAUUUUUAUUUAUUUAUUUAUUUUUUUGGUGCAUAUGGUCGAACACUUGGUGGGCACCUCAAUUUUUGGAAUGUUCUCUUCAAUGAAUACAGGGAAAAAGGGACAAAAAUUAAGAACUUUAUUUUGUUCGCGUGGAAUCGAUAUCUGGAUUGGGAUUGUAUGUCGUGUUUAAUUUGAAUUGGUUGAUUCCUCUAAUGAAUUAUUUUGAUAAAUUUAGUAGCAGUAUUUGGCGGCAAAAGUAUCAUUAAUUUUUGGAAAUAUGAUUAUGUUAUUAAUUAUUUUAGCAUUCUAAAAAGUCAAUGGUUAUGUUGGAAAUACUCUAAGGUAGAAUAGAGUACAAAUCACAGUCACACAUACAAAAUGAUAAAUAAUAAAAAAUAUAUUAUAUUUUUGAUCAUAUGAUUAUGAAGACGUAUUUUACCUUAAAGAAGUUCUAAUAAGCGAAUUCUUCAAAAAAAAUAUAAAAUUUCUUUUUUAUCAUACUCAACCGCUUCAAACUUCUAAGAAGUAGAUAUACAAUUAGUGGAAUACUGAAUUGAGUGCGAGCUGCGGAUAAUAUAUAAAAUUGGGAUACAAGCUUCAAGGAAAGUGUAUUGCUAUUCAAAUGUAGAUUUCAAAUUAAGAAGAUAUGCCAGCAAAUUGUAUAAAAAUGUAUAAAUUGAUCAGUAACAUUAAUUCCAAAUGAUGAAAUGAGUUAUCUUGAUCAAAAGGUCAAGAACCUACCUUACUUCUCUUAGAGAUAACUUGCAUCAACCGUUGUGGUAUUGAUACUUGUCUUCAGCUAGUAAAAGACUAAAAGUGAAAGUUUCACAAUUGAAAUAAAGCUAAGGGAAGAUGCUAUGCUCCAUUUAUUAUUAUUAUUAUUGAUGUGGUCGAGAAGUAAAGCCAUGCAUAUGAUGAAGUAUAAAUAAGAAUGCAAUAGCCCGGAAUUCAUUUACACAAACACUUCAAUAUCCUUUUGAUCACUUUUGCAAACAUCAGUUUGUCUCCUCUUGUAUUCACCAUGGUUGAUGCCAUCGUUUCCUCUCUUGUGGAGCAGCUGACUUCCUUCGCUGCUAAAGAGAUAAUACAACAGGUGAUCGAAGUUACACCCCCCAUAUUAUAAAUACUUCUAAUGAUUUUAAUUGGUUUUGUUUUUAUCGGAAACAUUAACUUUGCUUUAUUUUAUUUAUUUAGGCAUUUUAAAUUUUAAAAUUUGAAUUGAAUUCAAUUAAAAUGUGAUGUAGCUAGUAACCACUUUUUUUAUUUCAUUUAUAUUCUCAAUAACUACCCAUAUUUUGGUAACUUACUGUAACCCCCGUAUCUAAGAAAUGAUCAAAACCCACAAUUUUAACUCCACAUAAAUAUUCCAUGUUGAGCUAAGUUUUUGCAUAACAUUCAAGUUUGUUAAAUAGUCAUUAAUUUAAUGUUUAGUAAAAACUUAUCUCUGAAAAUUUUCAUAAUUUUCUUACAUUCUUUGAGUUUGGUGAGUGGCUUCAUAUAAUUUCUUUUCAAUUUAAAUUUUAAUUUGGUUUCUGAUAUAGUCUCUUUACUGAAUUUUAUAUCUUUUAUGAUUCUUGGAUUUUGGGCUCCAACUUUUUAGGAUUUGAUAGUCACAUUUUAUGGCAUGCUUAGAUUGAUUUUCAUGAUUUUUAGUACUCGUUAAGUGACUGAGAAUUUGACAAAAGUUUGAAAGGAAAUCCGUUUCACGAUUCUUAUGUGGAAGGUUCGUAAAAUCAUGAAAUUUGGAUAGGAUUCACUAGCAAUAUGUACAAGACUCUCCAUGAAGUUUCAUAAUUUUUCAUUCGGUCUGGGGUGGUACAGGUGAAGCUUGUGGUUGGUGUUGAAAAAGAAGUGAAAAGCCUUACCAGCCACCUUCAAGCCAUUCAAGCUGUGCUCGAUGAUGCAGAGGAAAAGCAAGUGAAGGACAAAGCUGUUAGACAUUGGCUGGGUAGGCUCAAGUAUGCAUCCUACGACAUUGAAGAUGUGUUGGAUGAGUGGAUCACAGAUAGACACAAAUUGCAAAUUGAGGGUGGCGUUGAUGACAAUGCUCUUGCUGCUCCUCAAAAGAAAAAGAAGGUAUGUUUCUGCUUUCCUGCCUCUUGUUUUGGAUUCAAACAAGAAGAAUUUGGUUUCAGACAAGUCUUUCUACGUUAUGACAUUGCCAACAAGAUCAAAGAAAUGAAUGAAGAGCUACAUGAUAUUGCCACUCAAAAAGACAUGUUUAAUCUUGUUAAGAGUGGCAAUAAAAGUGGUGAAAGACCAAGGCGUGUACAGAGUACCUCCUUGAUUGAUGAGGAAGAGAUUUGUGGUAGAGUUGGUGAGAAGAAUGAACUCAUAAGCAAGCUGUUGCGUGAGAGUAGCGAGCAACAAAAAGGCCUCCAUAUGAUCUCAAUUGUUGGUAUGGGAGGCAUAGGGAAAACUACUCUUGCACAACUAGCUUGUAAUGAUGACGUGGUGAAGAGAAAGUUCGACAAAAUUCUGUGGGUGUGUGUAUCAGAAACUUUUGAGGAGUUUAGGGUUGCCAAAGCAAUCGUUGAAGCUUUGGAUGGUCGUGAAUCUCAUUUAGGUGAAUUCCAAUCUCUUCUUAAACAUAUUGAUGAAUCCAUUGCAGGGAAGAGCUUUCUUCUUGUCUUAGAUGACGUGUGGGAUGGAAAUUACUUGAAAUGGGAACCAUUCUAUCGUUGUCUAAAGAAUGGUCUCCAUGGAAGUAAAAUUUUAGUUACCACACGUAGUGGGUCCGUUGCAUCCAUGAUGGGAUCCAUAGAUAUUAUUCCCAUUGAGAAAUUAGCUGAAGAGGAAUGUUGGUUGUUGUUUAACAAGAUAGCAUUUUUUGGUAGGCCUAUCGAGGAACGUGAAAAAUUCGAACGAAUUGGGCGAAGAAUUGCAGGCAAGUGCAAAGGUUUACCUCUUGCAGCAAAGACAAUAGGUAGUCUCAUGCGUUCUAAACAAACUGAAGAAGAGUGGAAAAGAAUUUUAAAUAGUGAUUUAUGGAAAGUAGAAGAGAUUGAGAAAGAUGUUUUGUCCUCUUUAUUGUUGAGUUACAAUGAUUUGCCAUCUAGAGUAAAAAGAUGUUUUUCAUAUUGUGCUGUCUUUCCAAAAGACUACGAUAUAGAAAAAGACAAACUAAUUACAUUGUGGAUGGCUCAAAGUUUUCUUACUGUAGAAGAAGAUGAGGAGAUGGAGACUAUAGGUGAAGAGUAUUUUAGCAUCUUAGCUUCUCGCUCUUUCUUUCAAGAGUUUAAGAAAAGUUAUGAUAAUCGGAUUAUAGAGUGUAAGAUGCAUGAUAUGGUACAUGAUUUUGCCCGAUUUGUAAGUCAAAAUGAAUGUUUUUCGAUGGCAAUUAAUGGUAGUGAAGAACCAAACGCCACAAACUCUCUUGAUGAGAAGGUCCGUCAUUUAAUGUUAAUCUUUAGUAUAGAGGCUUCAUUACCUGUUUCCACUCCUAGAGUUAAAAGAAUGCGUACCCUCUUAAUUAACGAUAGUGGAUCAUUAAAUGGCGAGAUCCUAGAAGAAUUAUUUAGGGAAUUGACAAGUUUAAGGGCAUUAGAUUUUGGCGGAUCGUUCCACUCAACGCCGUUGUUGACUGCGGAGGUUCCAAGAAACAUAGAAAAGCUGGUACAUUUGAGAUACCUUAAUUUGUCUUUUCAGAAAAUAGUGAAACUACCGGAGACAUUGUGCGAGUUGUAUAAUCUAGAAAAGUUCGAUAUUAGUUGUUGUUUGUAUCUUAGAGAAUUACCUGAAGGGAUUGGGAAGUUAAUAAACAUGAAGCAUUUACGAAAUAGAAGUACUAGUUCUUUAAGGUACAUGCCAGUAGGGAUUGGGAGAUUAACGGGUCUUAGGACCUUGGAUGAGUUCCACGUGAGUGCAGGAGGAGGUGUUGAUGGUAGGAAAGCAUGUAGGCUUGAAUCUCUUAAAAAAUUGGAACACCUUCAAGUAUGUGGUAUAUGUAGACUGGGUGAUGUAUCAGAUGUGGGCGAGGCUAAGCGAUUAGAACUUGACAAAAAGAAAUACCUCUUCAGUUUGACCCUUGAGUUUGAUAAGAAGGAGGAAGAAGACGGAGAAAGGAGGAAGAACGAGGACGAUCAACUUCUUCUUGAAGCCCUGCGAUCACCUCUGGAUUUAAAGGAAUUAGAGAUAGGGUUAUACCGAGGCAACACUGUUUUCCCCAGCUGGAUGACGUCAUUAACCAACUUAAAGAGUUUAAAACUCUCUUUCUGCGAAAAUUGCGAGCAGCUGCCUCCUUUGGGAAAAUUGCCGUCCCUUGAACAGCUCUUCAUAUCGUACAUGUCGAGUGUGAAAAGAGUGGGUGAUGAAUUUUUGGGGGUAGAAAGUGAUCGUCAUGACUCAUCGUCAUCUUCAUCAGUUAUUAUUGCCUUCCCCAAAUUGAAAUCACUUAGUAUUGACGGAUUGAUGGAAUUGGAGGAGUGGGAUUAUGGGAUUACAAGAACGGGAAACACCUUCAUCAACAUCAUGCCACGUCUUUCUUCAUUGGCAAUUAAUUACUGCCCCAAAAUUAAGGCACUGCCCGACCACUUUCAUCAAACGACAACAUUGAAGGAAUUGCGCAUUUGGGGGUGUGACCUUCUGGAAGAACGUUAUUGCAAGGGGGAAGGAGAAGACUGGCCUAAGAUAUCACACAUUCCCAACCUCCAUAUUGGGCUUUGACAAGUAAUUUCUUCUCUUACUCUGAUUU